This 100871-nucleotide long non-coding RNA is filed under the name Medicago truncatula (barrel medic). RNAcentral describes it as "long non-coding RNA (MTRU_LNC000832)". The record is from RNAcentral. Lineage: Eukaryota; Viridiplantae; Streptophyta; Magnoliopsida; Fabales; Fabaceae.
AAAAAAAAAAAAAAAAGUGUGGUGCGCAUACUCAUUAUGAUCACCUUUACUUCAUAUUCCUCCUUUUUUUUUUUUUUUUUAAUUCGCUACUACUUAAUAUAUAUUAUCAUGCAUGUAAUAUAUGUUUUUCGAGUUUAAUUCAAUUGAUAGAGACAUUGUAUGUAAUAUAUGUAGCGGUCGGAGUUUGAACUUCAAACAUCCCACUUAUUUACUUUAUGAAGUGAAUAUCUAGCCACCAUACUACUAGACCAAAAAAUAAAUAAUUAUUUUAUAAUAUAAAAAAAUAAGAAUGAUCUUAACAAGACACUCUUUUAUACCACAGAAAAAACACUCUCUUAAAUAUUAUUUUCAACACAUUCUUUUAUUAGUUGAAAUUUAUGAGUCUCACUAAAUUUAUACGAAUUCUAUAUAAUUUAGUCAAAUGGAAGAUUAAUGUUUUUCACACAAAUUAUUAUAUAGACACCAUGUAUUUAUACGGUUUUCGAAAGAAAAAAAAUCCCUCUUCACGGGUGUUCGUUCUCUCAUCUCACAUAUUCACACUCAAUGAUAUACGGUGUCAAAAUAUAACGUAGGAAAUUGUGUGUCAAAAUCAAAUAAUAAUUUAACGGAAUUAAUUUGAAUUACAAACAGUGAAAAAAUGUGUAUUGAAAAAGUAUGUAGAGUGUGUGCCGCCAUCACUCUUCAAAAAAACAAAAUUAAGUUGGAUAAAAAAAUAAGUAACAAAAAUAGAUUGUAAAAGUGUUUCCAUCUAUUCGUGUUGUGUUAUUAUUUUUCCUAUUAGAAUAGGAAAUACUCUACAAUUUUUGUCACCCUCACUAAAUUUUUCUGGCUCCGUCCCAGAUUAGAGCCAAUCUUUUGUUCAGCCACUCAAUGAGUAUAGGAACAAUCUGAGCCUCUUGUUUGAUUCUGAGAUGCUUGGUUGAUUUAUAGUGCUACAAGUUUACAAGAAUCAUGUACGAUGUGCAUUGCAUCCCAAAGUUGGUGGUGGUGGUUUUGUUGAAAUGCAUGACUCUCAGAGUCAUUUGGAAUACAUGAAGAAUAAGGAGGAUAUGUAUUCUUUGGUGGUUCGUCAAUCUAGUUCGUUGUGUUGUAUCAGUAAUCAAAAUACAUGAAUUCAAGAGUCAUUUAAAUCAUGAAAAUGAGAAAAACUCAAUUAUGUGUGAUUAUUCUAAUAUUUUUAAAAUUAUUUUUUAAUUGAAAUUAAUGAUAUAUAAUUGUAUUUUAUAUUUUUUUAAUUAAUUAACAAUUAGGGAUGAUAAUUCCUUAAAAAAAAAUUAGGGAUGAGAAUAGACCAUGCUCACACACAUGGAUCUCCAGUUUAGUCUAUCUAUGGUAUGCCAUAACAAAUAUAUAUUUUUUUAAAUAGAGAAGAUCCAGACCUUUUUAAAAAUCUAUUUAACUUAAAAUGGCAGGUCGUAUGCUAUUAAAAAAGCCUUUUAGGCUCAUUUAGCCGUCCUACAUAAAUAAAUAUGAAUAAUAUUAUUUAUUAUUAUAUUAUAUUAUAUUUUGUACUUUGAAUUAAAUUAUAAAUUUGUUAACCUUAUUACUAAUUUAAGCUUACUAAUAUAUAUUGAUUUUUCGAACAUUAAAUAUAUUAUAUUAAACCAUAAUUGAAAUAUGAUAUAAUAUGUAAUCUAAAAAAAAUAUAUAAUCAAGUUCACUAAAAAUUCAUAAUAAAUAUCAAAAUAAAGUUUAAUCUCAUUGAUUUAUUAGUUCACUUGUCUAUUUAAAUUUAGAUCACACUAAUUAAUUAAAGAUAUUUAUAUAAAAUAUGUUAAACAUGCUAGCAUGACUCCUUGAGGUCUCAGGUUCGAUUCUAUGUGUCAAUUUAGAUGGACUAAUUUAAUUUUUCAAAAAAAAAAAAUGCCAACAUGACAUGUACCAGACUCAAGCCUUUUUUUUGUUGUUGAAGGAAUGUACCUGACUCAAGCCUAAAAAAUAAACCUAUGACAGGUCAUAAAUCAGACUUUGGCCAUAAAAAUAUUGUAUUGACUAACUUUUUUUAGUAGUAUUUAUAUUUAUAUUUUUGUAACUUUGCAACUUAAUUUUUUUUUUUUUUUUUACAUAUAAAAAUCUAAUAAUAUAAUGAAGAUAGGAGCAUCAUUAUUUUAGUUGGCUCAAGACAUCGAAUAUCUCAUGAUCGAUACUGGUUGAGCAAGCUGGAAAACUGCUAGAAAUGCGACUAAGUUUAAUGUCAAAACAUCACUGGAAAAAAUCGAAGAAAUACAAAAUCCUAAGUAAAAAAAUUAGAUUAGACUCUAGAUAAGUAACAAGCCGCCAAGUUAACGUGUUUAUAGUGACAAUAUUGAUUUAGAAAGAUCACCUGCUCCUUAGAAAUAUCUUAUCAGUAUCGAAUCAUUUAGGUAAAUUUAAUUCCCUAUACUAUUAAAACUGCUAGAAAUGUGAGUAAGUUUAGUGUCAAAACAUCUUUCAUAAAUAUUUCCAAUGUGAACCACCCCUUUUUUAGACAUUCAGACAACUAUUUGACUAAUGGUAACAACCGGUUUUGGAUGACGACAGAUCAGACACAUUGGACCAUGUCCUUACUGAAAUUUGUAUGUACCAAAUUUAAAUAAAAAUACAUCACUUCCUAAGCUUUAAUUUUCCAUAAUAUCAAUUUCUGGUGGUAUUCUUGUAUCAAACGUGGCAAGAAAUUUGUCCUCAAAACAAAAGUGGCAACUUGCUUUAUGGAAGAAAAAAAAAGGUCUCAUAAUUUUAAAUUACAACUCACACAGCCCUCAAUUGCUGUCUCUCGUAUAUACUUUUAUUCUCAUAGUCCGUUAAUAAUUGGAAAGGAAAUGAGGAAUCCUAAAUACAAGGAUUCGAAACCUUCAAUAAUCUAAAAUAUUAUAUAUGUGAACAAUUUGUCAAAAGAAAUUGCUUAAAGUUGGGUAUAUUUAUGAUGGUCAUAGACUCAUAGUAGCUAGCUUCUUAAUGAAAAGAUCCUAACCAAUGGCACUAGAAGUAGUGGUACCACCAGCAAUAGUGUUAUCUUAACGACUGCAUCAUCAUAUAAGAUUCAUUCCCAAUUUUUGGAUUUCUUACAAUAAAAGCAUCAUUUUGAUUUUGAUAAUUGGACCAAACCUAUUCAACGAGAUCAAAUGUGAGAGCAUGUGAGAUACUCUGAAACUAAUUGAUUACCGAAGAUUAUAUUAAGGUUUCUUACCCAAAAAAAGAAGAAGUUAUAUUUUAAUUACAUUUUAUAUAUAAAUAAGAGGAAAAUGCUACUAGUAUUUAAAAAUACAUCUUCUGAAAGAGAAUAAUUAGUUCUGGUCCUAAAAAAAUAGUUUUGAAAAUAAAUAAAUGCAUGUGGUGAGAUUAUUGGGACUUGAAUGGCGUGCAAGUGCAAAAUGAACUAAUAAAGUAUCCAUCCACAUCCAGCACUACACGUGCAAUUAUUUUCUUCUUCUUGCUAAAAACGAACUCAACUUAUUUCCAGCUGUGUACACAUUUGGUUCCUACGCACAACACGCCAACUAGUUUGGUCACCACCCCACCAGAACUGAGCUAUCUUCACCUAUAAUAGUGUUAUCUCAAACGUAUACAACUCAGAAACAUAACAGGUUUAUGUCAAAACAAGUAACAUGUCAUAAGAAUGGCACACUUAUCACGUACAUCAAUUGCACACAUUUGUUUAUUUUUAGUUUUCUUGCAAUCACAUAACAGGUUUGGCAUUGGCAAGUUGUAAUUGCUUAUAGGAACUCUCAAAGACAUAAAAUACGUAUAAGCUUAUGCUUGUCUAAAGAUUAAGAAUACAUUGGCUGUUGCAACCUGUGAUAAGUUCUAAAUUAUGUCAAUGAUUAUCAUAAUACCUAAUAUGAAAACUAAAAAGAAUCAAGUGGCUUAAGUUUCUGUUCUGCCCUCCUACUCCAGAAAUGCACAUGCUCAAAAUGUGUAGAGUCAACUAAUCAUAGAGAUAUAAAAUAGUACUGGUACAUAAUUGAAGCAAUUUGAUCCUAUUAGCUUCUAUGAAGUAAAAUACUAGUACAUGAAAAUGCAAAUUUGUUCAAUAGCAGUAUGAUACUCUAAUGAUUCAAUCAUUAGUUAUUCGAAUUCGACAAAAAUCAGAUAAAUAAAACGCAAACUAAAGCAUACAAAUCCGAUAAAUAAAACGAAAACUAAAGCAAGCCAUACAAGAGAUAAAUGAAAUUGAUCAACAAAAAUGCUAGACUUGAACCAUAAUAUGGAAUUAUCGAUUGCUUUGCUUAAUGGUGAUUUGGAGACCUUCUAACAAAAAAACCAAGCAUGAUAUAUGCCAUCAGCGACAAUCGAUUCAAGGCAGUGUGCUUAUCAUGCUUUUGAAUAUGUAUUCUUGAAGGUAACAAAGAAUACAAACAAACAUAAUUUGAAAGAUCGUAAAACUGAAGCUAGAUUAAGUUUAUCAAUGAUGAGAGACACAAAAUAAAAAACAAUAUGAAGGUGCUUAUGUGAUUCAGUUGAAUCAUUUCAUAAUCAAUGUAAAAAUAAGGUACUGAUCAUCAUGUCCCCCACCCCUUUCCCCCACAAAAGAUAGACAAAUACCGCACCGAUCGCCAUUCUACUAAGUUCCCCUUCAUUGUUUUCUGGCUUUUCUUCCAUUGCUGCUGCAUCACAUGAUUACAUCCCCAUUGACAAUUGCUAACACAGCUGAAUGAUGAAUCUUACGAUUACAAUUUUCCAUCCAACAUUACAAAAUUAAUCUCCCACAUAAUUUUAUCGUAUAUCUGCAGCAGCAAAUGUCACUUGUGCACCUUGUAUUCAUUCAUUCUCAUUAAUCAUUAUGUACUUUGACUUUGAUCAACAUAUAUUCAGGAAGCAAAAAACAAAGUUAAGCUUUUUAGCCUCCCCAAUAAGUUAAUUCACCAUGACCUCAUUCCACUGUUUACAUCCAUAGACCAAGUCCUUCUCGACCGCGGAGAGGGAUCCAUAUUUGAAGAAUGCGACGAAUUGGUCCUCACAGACCUCAACUCUCUACCCAUAACAGACCGUUGAUUCCCAACUCCACCACCAACACCAAAACAACCAAAGAAACUCCCAAAAAACCUUCUCAAACCACCACCUCUUUGUCUUUCUCUACUCCCUCUAGAAGACCAAGAAAUCCUCCUAGGUUCACCACCAUUAUUAAACCCACCAUCCAUUUCAGUAUAAACAACAGGUAACUCUCUCUCAGCACCUCUCCUCCCACCCGAAAAUCUCCCCACAGCAAAACCACCACCAGGCAAUCUCCAAAUAGUCAACCCAACAUUACUCUCUUCCUCAUUCAAACCAACCGAUUGCUGCGACUCCACCUGCGACCAUGAUUGUGAUUGUGAUUGCGAUUGCAAUUGAUUACCAUUUCCAGCAUCAGAAUCAGUCGGUAACUCAUGUCUACAAACCGGACACGAAUUAUGCAGUGCAAGCCAAGGUAAAAUACAAUCAGGAUGAUAAAUAUGCUUACAAGGCAUUUCUCUAACAACAGUACCUAACUCAAAAGCUUCCAUACAAACAGCACAAUGUGAUUCCAUUUCCAAAUGAGUAUUAUCAAUUUCAAGAGUUGGUAAUGAAUCAACAGAAGCUUUUGAUGCUGGUGGAUGUUCAUAUCUUCCAAUACCAUUGAUCUCAAUCUGUGAAAGCUGUUCCAAUAAUCUAUCAAAACCAGAUCCAAGCAAAAACUCUGACAUACUUGGUGGUAAUGGUCUUAAACCAGAACCAGCACCAUCAUCAUAAAAUAACUCAAACCCACGGCUCUCUCCUCUUUCUCCUCCACCGUUGUUACCGGCUUCUGUGGCUGCCUCUGUUGAGCCACCGCCACGGAGGACAAUGACCGGAUUGAAAGGUGACCGGUCACCACCGUUGCGGCGGGUUCUACGGAGGAAAGAUGGACGAGAACCAUUAUGAUUAUGAUCUGAAUUUGGACGUUGACCGAUCAUGUACAUGGCGGCGGCUGGGAAACGUCGGCGGCGGGAAUCAACUUGUGGAGGUUGUUCAAUUUCUUCGAGGAAACCGCCGUCGCAAUCAGGGCAGACGACGGUUUCCUGUCUGCUUAAUCUUACAAAACGAUUGCAUCUAUAACACCAAUAAGAUGUUGUCUCUGACAUAGUGCCCGUCUAAACGCUAGUAAUAAUAAUUACCAGAUCUCUUGUAAGAUCAAAAUUCAAAUGAAUAAAGGAGAAAUAAUAAUAGAGGAUGUGGUAUUAUUAUUUUUGAAAAGGGGAGAAAAAAAUUGAAAAAAUGGUUGAAAUGAAAUUGAAAGGGUUAUGGGUUUCUGGGAGAGAGGAGAGAAAGAUGAUGUGUCGAAGAUAACAAAGAAAGCGCGUAUUGAUUUGUUGGCGUGUCUACAACGCUUUUAUUUAUGUGACACGUGGAGUUAUGCAGUUGGAUGGUAUCCAAACGACAGAUAGGUAAACGUUUUCUCUGUAUCGGCUGGAUGGCUUGAGCUUUGUUAUGUUUACGGGAUUUUGUUUCGAUGGCGCCUUUGUUCAAUAUCUUAACCGAUUUAAAUAUUUUUAAUUAAUUUGUGAUUUCAAAGGAUAUGCUUUGAUAUUAAAAACAAAUUGAAAAAGGAUAUGCUUUAAAUUUAGUCAAAAUUCGAUUUUAUUUGAUUUAAAUGAAAAUUAUUAUUUUUCUUUUUUUUUUUGGUACAAAAAUUAUUAUUUUUCUGUAUCUACAAAAGUAAACAUUCCAUUCUUUAAAAAAAAAGUAAACACUCCAUAUCAGUCUAUUUUUAUAAAUGUGUUUACAAAUGGAGAAAAGUUUGCAUAUAGAGAGAAAAAUAUUUUAACAAUUCAAAAGUUGUCCAAACACUGUUAUAAUUUUAAAAAUAGUGGUAUUGAUUUGGGAUUGCGAAUGUACUCAUCUUAAAAAAAAAUGUAUUUCAGAAAGAAUGUAUAGUAAGAAUUAGUUUGGUAGAAAUAGUUAAAUAGUUAAAAAAGAAUCUAUGGAAAACCUGAAUUAUAUUAACUUAAACAAAAGUAAUACACUUUUUAGUGUUAGAAGAUAGUUAAAAACACUUCUUUAAAAAAAAAAGUUUUUUUUUUACAAAAUUAAACUAAUAUUCAUUCAUUCAAAUCGAGAGAUUACAUAAUUCAACACCGCUAAAAACAUAAAGGAUGAAUCUGCGAACAAACUCACAACAUCCAAGUUAAUAGCAUAUAACGACAUAUUGCCUAUAAAAAUAUAUGAUAAAAUUAAAGUUACCGAAAUAUUCAUGGCCGCCGGAUUUGCAACGUUGACGUCCAAAUCUUUGAUUGAAUAAUCGAUCUUUCAAUAUGAAUAAAAUGAACACCGCAAGAAGAUGGGAAAGCAAACAACACCGCACAAGACGACGAACAACAAACCACCACACUUAGAUGAUGAAAUCACAAAGAAAAAAAACUAGAUCUAUGUGAAAGUCACUUAUUUAGAGAGAGAGAGAGAGAGAGAGAGAGAGAGAGAGAGAGAGAAGAUGAAGAGGGGUGUUCCAGGUCAAAAAUUGACCCAAAAACCACCCCCAAUGAAGAAACGGAAGAGAAAACCUAGAGAGAUAAAAUUAGGGCCGACUUGUUGGAGAUGGAGAGUUUGUGAAAAAAAAGUUGUCCAAUACUACAUUUUUAGAUGAUUGUCAUUUUAUUAAUAGUUUUUCUUUUUCUUUUAAUCAAACUAACAUUUAUUUUUUGUUGUUUCAAUAUCACUGCUCUUAAAAAUAUCUUCCCUGAAAAAAUAUCACUGCUCUUAAAAAUUGGUUAAAUGUGAUUUCAUAUCAUUACAAAAUUAUAAUGUUUUACUUUUAUUCUCAUAAAAAGUGGUAUUUUGUCACAAACCUAAAUCAAGUGAAAACAAUAACAAAAUUGUUAGAUCAAACUUUAUGAUUGAAAUUCAAACAACAAAAAAAUUAGAGACCUAAUGUUUUAAAUCAUUUUACUUUUGUGGGGGAAUCUUUUAAACAAUUUAUAACUAUUUCUUUGAAUUUAUGAAUCUAUAAAUUAUUUAAAAGCUUAGAGACCAAUUUUUUAUUUUUUUUUAAAUAAGACCAAAUUAAAAUUAUUUAAAAGUUUAUAAAGGAUCUAGUUUUUUUUUUUUUGAAAGAAUAAAGGAUCUAGUUAUAAUUUAUUUAAAGGGUAAGGGAAAGACUUAUUUCCCAUGACAUCCUUCAAAAAAAUUAUUUCAAGUUGCACCCAAAGAAAAAGUGUUUAGAAAUUAAUUAAAUAUUUUUAAAAAAUUAUGGAACUUAAUUAAAAAAUUUAAAUUCAAAAUCUUAUUUAGAAAUUAUAAAUUGUUGCAUUAUUAUUAAACCAAAACAAAACCAUAUAAAAAUUGGAAAAAUAAAAAGAAACGCUAGAAGGAGGGGUUGAACCUCCGACCUUGUGGUUAACAGCCACACGCUCUAACCAACUGAGCUAUUCCAGCUUCUUGUGUUCUUUGUCUCACGUUUGAUAUAUGUAACAUAAACGAAAAUGAUAGGUCGUGCAACACUUCAGAUUUUGCUUUCAAAAGUUAUCAAGGUUCAAGCUUCUCCAGUGACACUCUUGUCCCACCAGUUCCAUCAUCAUUAUCAAUUAUAGGAGCAUCUUCGAAAGGGAAAUAUCAAGGGAUUAGCUAAUAGCCUUCAACUAUCGUAUGUAGGUCAUAAGUCUAUUGGUAUUAUGGUAUUAUUAUUCAUGUACGAUUUAAAUUAGUAAAACUGUAUAUUUGUUUUUUGGCUGUUUUUGUUGUUUGGUCUCAUUAGCAGUGCAAAACCAAUAUGAUAUCGAAUCUAUUUUUAUUAGGACAAGAGUCAUAUAAUGAUGUUGUUCCAAACAAUAGUUCACCUCCCAUAUAAUGAUAUUGUGUCACCCUCCAUUCUUGGUGCUGGCUGAUGGCUUACAAUAUAAUACAGUCUAGUUAAAUUUGUUGAUUUUUAUUCAUGGUGAACGAAUUUAUCUUUUUGUAUAAGCUUUAAAAUUAGGUAAUGGUAUGUUUUGUCCUCUUUAGUAUUUUGUUUUGAAACUUGCUACAUUGUAUUCACUCUUUCUCCUUUGAGGCACAUCUUAUGUUUGAAAGAAUUUUUUUAAUCUAGUAUCUUUUGGCAUCUUAAAAAAUAGUUCACUUCCCAAAUUUAAGUGGAAGUGUGUGCUAUACAAAUUACAAUAUUACUUUUUUGACAAGAAAUUACAAUAUUACUUGACAUGCACAUCUUUGUCUUAUGUUUAUUAGUAGGGCCAUGCUAACAUUCUUUGGAUUGUCAAGAAAACAAAAAAAAAGACAUUGGUGUCUAUGCAUUGAAGAUAUUGAAUUUUAUUAUGUGUUUUUCUAUCAUGAGCCUUGAACACUUAUUAAUAUUUUUCUUAUUAAUAUGUCUAAAUAAAUAUUUUAUACAAAAAUGUAUGAACAAUUUUACAACAAUGAUAUAUACCUUCCCUAAAAAAAAAACAAUGAUAUAUACCUUUAAUUUUCAUUUAUCCAUUCAAUGCAUCAUUUUCUCUUUAUAUGUUAUUCUUCUGAUCGCAUCAUCACUAACAACAGAUCACAUCACCAUCUAUGCUUUCCCUUUGAAGAUGUAGACUAGAUAUUGGAUCCUAGCCAAACCAACCAGAAGGUACCAAAAAAUCAAGCUAUAUGAUAAAAGCUUUUUAUUAAGAAGCUGAUCUUUCAAUAGUUUGUUGUAGCUGAGUACUAAUUAAUCUUAUCCAAGAGAGUCAGCUCAAUCUAGCUCACAAAUGUUAUAAAUGGGAUUUUACACUUCUACCCCUAGUUAAGAUACUCUCCUAAAGAAAAGAAAAUUAAAAUCUUGUUAACCUUCAACUUACAUUCAUAUUAUCAAACCAUAGUAUUCUCAUCCACGUUAAGUAGUGACAAGAAAUUUCACAGAUGCAUUACAAGAAAUAUAAUAGCAAUGUUGAAUGCUCAAUCAACAACUUAAAUAAUUGAAGUAAUUAAACAUCUUUCUUACAUGACAAAAUCAAAAUUCCAGAUGACAUAGUACUAUGAAUCACUAACCUUAAAAAUUACAAAAACCAAAACAAAAAUUGUCACAAAUGUCAUAUCAGAAGAACAAAGAACAAAAGACUGCUGCAAAAAAUAUCAUCAUGGAGGGCAAAAUGUAAUGGCAUAACGAUUUGCCAAACAAGACAUAAGCCCGGUUGCAUCAUCAUAAGCAUAGCUAUAAGCAUGAGGACAAACACUCUUAAAAACACGAGCAAACAUAGUUGGCUUGCAAAUUUUCGGAUCAGCAAAUUCACCAGUGCAACAAUACUUAUCUGAUUUUGUAGCCAAACAAGCACUUUUACACCCCACAACUUUCCCAUUAUGCUUCACAACAAGUUGAGAUGGACAACAACCAUUCAAAUCAGCUUGACAAGUAGCAAUGCCACAACCAACACCCCCACCAAUAGGUUUCAUCGACAUUGGAAGGUUAAAACCGUCAACUAAACUAACAUCAUAGUAAUGUAGAGGUGAAUGUGAGGUUCCAAGUGUCAUUUCAACAAGUGUAGCUGGAGGAACACCACCAAUUCCCUUGCAUUUCAAUUGGCCUCCGCAGUCUCCGGUUUGACAUGUGCCUUUUCCGGUUGUUUCGUGGAAGAAACAGCCUUGUCUUCCCCAGAUUCUUCCUGCCCAGUGGUUAGGGAGUUGGAGAACAAGUUCUUCGCCGCUUGGGAGGUGAAAUCCGCCAUCUUUGAUUGAAGGGUGUCCUUCAUUGCUGAGAAUUCCUGGCCAUACACUUUCCUUGCAGUUGUUUACGAGUAUGAGUUGUGUCCCGUUUCCAUCCUUAACAACACCUAAUAUUAUUAACACAAAUAACAUAAGUUCUCAACAGUUUUAACAACAUUGACACUUCAGAUUGAAAGCGUGUAUAAGAUGAAACGAUGCCUGAUUCAAAAACAAUCUUAUUAAAUCACUUAUGUUUUUCAAACUGUUAUCAGUAGUGUUUACGUGUCAGUGUCAUUUUCACUGUUUCAAAGAAUAUAUAUGUGCAUAAAAAAAAGUGAAGAGUAGCUAGAAGAGUACCUGUGGCUGUGACAGAGACGGAGAGAAGAAAGCAGAAGAAAAUCAAGGAAGUAGUCAUUUGGAUUUUGGAAAUGUGUAACCGUUUGUGCUUAGCUCUUUGAUGAGGUAUAAAGUGUGAAAGUGAGUGAUAUAUAUGUGAUAGUGGUGCAUAUAUAAUAUAUGUAUGAACGUGGUUGUCAUUUGUUUCCUUCUUUUUAGCCAUUUUGUGCAUUAUGUGUUUGAUAACCGUUUUGCUAAAGAGACUAGAAGCCCUUUGAUUGUUUUCCACCCAGCACCACUUCUAAAAUUUCUCCAUCACGUUUCAUAUCCUUUUGUUUAAUCACACCUCACAACACAGCUCUACUCUUUUUGUUGAGAUAUUUUUGCACUGAUAUGAUAUAUAACAUAGUAAAAUUCAGCAGAGAUUAAUAAUUAGAAAAAUGAGCCUAUAAUACAACAUGUAAAAUCAAAUGAUUUAAUUUAUUUAUUUAUUAAUUAUAUUUUAAAUUAGAGAUUAAUAAUAAUAGAAUAAUGAGCCUAUAAUACGACAUGUAAAUGAGUGACAAAAAUUCUAAACUUUGUUAUGGUUAUGAUAUACAUUUUCUGUCACUUAAUUAUUAUCUUUUAGAAUAUCUCUUUACCUCAUAUAUCAACAGCCAUAUUAUCUUUUUUAAAAGGGAUAUCAACAACUAUAUUAUUAUCUUUCGAAAAAUAAAACAACCAUAUUAUUAAUUAAUCGUUUCACCCAAAUUCUACUAUAUUAAAAAUAAUUUUAUCACACUUUAUUUAUCUUCCGGUUGAACUCCAUAUUAUCACACUCUUUUUUUUUUUUCGAAUCGGAAGAUUAACAUAAAAAAAAAUCACUAGAGUAUUUUUGUCAAGUUCUUACCAUUCAACAAACGUCUCUUAGAUUUUUUUUUUUUUUUUGACAAGAUAAAAAUAUAAUACCACACACUUUCACUUUGACAAAAAAUGACUAAUGAAACAAAAAUCAUUAAUAGCAAAUUCAGUUCUAUUUCAUUUUAUGAUGUGAAGAUUUUUAUUUAAGUAAUACGUCAAUUGAUAAUUUUACUAAUUUAAUAACGUGUAUAGAUUUCUGCAAGUUGAGUACUUAAAAAAAAGUUAUUUUAUUUUAUAUGUAAUGAUUUUAUCUGUUUGUGUAUCAAUUAAUUUAAGGAUACUUAAAAUAUGAUUUUUUUUCAUUCUAUUCAUGUGAACUCAUUAAAAUAUGGGUUUGGUAUAUGUCCAUGGUAAAUUUUAUUUGCAAUAUCAUGAAACAAUUUUUUUUUUUUAUGAAGGAAUGAAACAAAAUUUUAAUCAUCUUUAAUUAUAUGUCUAACCUAGACAACACCAAAUAAAUAUAGUGAUAUAUGAAACAGAACAAUUUUUUUAGUGGAGGGGUGUUUGUUCUUAAAUUGAACUAAUAACACACAAACUAAAAUGAAAAACAGGGUUGGAGUGUUUAGAUCGUUAUUGAUGGGAGUUAACAAUGCCUCCAUAUUUAGUUUGUCUUUUGCAAAUUUUGGAAUUUUGGUGUAGUGUCUAGGUUUAAACAAGGUUUGACUUUCUUUUGACAUUCACUCAUGUGAUCAUUUUAAAAAUUAUGUAAUGAUAUCAUCUUUUUAGAUGAGAUUGCGCAUGUUGAACAACUGAUGGAUAAAAUUAAAUUCUGCUCUUAAAAAUGAUUUAUGGGUAAAACUUCAUAACUAUUGUACAGUGUGAGGGAGUGAAAUUUGUCUUGUGCUUGGGUCGACAAUUGAUUUCGGCAUUGGUUAAGUAAAGUAAAGUGAGAUGAGAUACUUACCUAUUUUUGGUCGUUGUUUUCAUUUUGUAUAAAGAAAUGUUAUUUUAACUACUUUUUAAUUGUUAAACAUCGUAUAUACCAUUUGCAUUAUCAAUUUUUCUUUUUAAUUCCUCCAAGCCAUCAAUAAUUAUAAAAGAUCUAUUUUUAUCGCUCAACCAUCAAUAGAUUCGGUCGAUACGAGAUUAUAGAUUUUCUUAAAUAUUGUCAGUUUUUUCUUUGAAAACCUACUUAAAUGUUCCGACCUAUUCUCCCCUUUGAAUGUAGGUAUUUUUUUUUUAUUUUGGCUUAAAUAAGUCUUUCAUCCCUGCAAAUAUAAGUCGUUUGAAAUUUCGUCCUUGAAGUUACUAAUAUUUCCAAUCUGCUACUGUAAAUAUUAAUAAUUUGACUUUUGGUCCUAAUUAGUCUUUUUAGCUGAGGUGAGUUGUCAUUAGCAACGUGGUGCUCAUAUGGCAAGUGAUGAUUAACGAUGUGGUUAUCUUAAAUAGGUCUUUCGUUCUUGCAAAUAUAUGUCAUUUGCAUUUUCGUCCAUGAAGUUACUAAUAUGUAAUUAGAACCAUUUUUCAAAUGAUUAAUAUUGCAGUGGCAGAUUAGAAGGAUCAGUAACUUCAUAGACGAAAAUUCAAAUGACCUAUAUUUGCAGGGACGAAAGACCUAUUAAAGCCUUUUAUUUUUUAUCAAGGCCUUGGUUGUGGGCUUAUAAGUUAAGAAGUGGUGAGUGGAUUAAUUAAUUAAUUUUAAUUUCUAAGUAUAUAAAUAAAAAAUAAAAAAUGGGUUUGGGUUUUUAGGGUAAACCAGUGAGAAAACGCACAAAAACAACUCGCAUCAGAAGACCGACCGGCUUCGGAGGAGAGGAUCGGCACGAAUAUCGGUUCUUCCAUUCCACUCUUAAACCGGUUCAGUUACCACCAUUUUACCGCCGAAACCGGAUCCAUUCAAAACCAACCCUAACCGGUCCACCAUCACGGUUCUCCUCUCCCAAAUCCAUUCAAUAAACCGGUACGCUCUUUUCUUUCUUCCUCUUCGUAACUCUUGUCACUUCUUAAAUUUUCGUUUUUUAUCUAUGAAACUUAAAGUUUAUGCUUCAAAGAUUAAAACUUUAUCAUAAUUUAUCACUUUAGGGAUUGAUUAAACAAAUUGGGUCAUUAGAAUGUGCUUGUUUUUGUAGUUUACCCUAACUGGGUUGUUCUGUUUUGAAGUGAUUAUUGAUCAAUGGAGCAAAAUCUUGAACUGGUACCAAUUACAUCACAAAAACACGACCCAGCAUGGAAACAUUGUCAAUUGUUUAAGAAUGGUGAAAAAGUGCAACUUAAAUGCAAUUAUUGUCUCAAGUUUUUCAAAGGUGGUGGGAUUCAUAGGUUUAAGGAACACCUUGCUUGUCAGAAAGGCAAUGCUUCAAUGUGUAGUAGUGUUCCUGCUGAUGUAAGGCAACAUAUGCAGCAGAGUUUGGAUGGUGUUGUUGUGAAGAAGAGGAAGAGACAGAAGAUCGAGGAGGAGAUUAUGAAUGUUAAUCCUUUAGCUACUGUUUUGAAUGGUGGUAAUAAUCAGAUGGAUGUUAAUCAUCAUGGGGUGCAUGUGCAGCCUAUUGGAGUUCAUGAUCCAAUGGAACAGAAUCCGGUCUCGUGUCAGAUGUUUCAUUCGCCCGGUGAAGGAAUGAGUAGAAAUGUAGAGAGAAGGAAGAAGAUUAGAGCUACUAAGAAUCAGAAUCAGAAUCCGGCUGCGGUGGUUUAUAAUACGAACUAUGAGCCUGAACCUGUUGUUGCCCCCAUGGAGAAAAAUACAUUGUUUCCUACAAAGGUGGACCAUCAAAUUCAUAUGGCGAUAGGAAGGUUUUUGUAUGAUAUCGGUGCGCCUUUUGAUGCUGUGAACUCGAUAUAUUUUGAGCAGAUGGUUGAAGCAAUUGCUUCUGGGGGAUCAGGUUUUCAACGUCCAUCGCAUCAUGAACUUCGGGGAUGGGUUCUGAAAAAUUCUGUGGAAGAUGUGAAGAAUGAUGUAGAUAGAUGUAAGAUGACGUGGGGGAGGACUGGCAGUUCGAUUUUGGUUGAUCAAUGGACUACAGAAGCUGGUAGGAUACUGAUAAGUUUUUUGGCUUACUGUCCUGAAGGUGUAGUGUUUUUGAAAUCGUUGGAUGCGACUGAGAGAUUGAUUUCAGAAGAUUUUUUAUACGGGUUGAUGAAAGAAGUAGUAGAAGAAGUUGGAGUUGGGCAAGUUGUGCAAGUGAUUACAUCAGCUGAGAAAUGGUAUGCUGAUGCUGGGAGAAUGCUGACUGAGACUUACCCUAGCCUUUAUUGGAGCCCUUCUGCGGCUCAUUGCAUUGAUUUGAUACUUGAAGAUUUUGGAAAUAUUGAGUGGAUUAGUACAGUUAUUGAACAGGCUAAAUCUAUAACAAGAUUUGUCUACAAUUACAGUGCAAUUUUGAAUAUGGUUAAAAGGUAUACUUUGGGGAAUGAUAUUGUGGAUCCCUCUUUCUCUCGCUUCACGACAGACUUUACCACGUUGAAACGAAUGGUUGUUCUUAAACACAAUUUACAGGCCAUGGUUACUUCUCAGGAAUGGAUGGAUUGUCCAUAUUCAAAGGAAGCAGCAGGUUUGGAGAUGUUAGAUAUACUAAGCAAUCAAACAUUUUGGUCCUCGUGUGAAAUGAUUGUUCGCCUGACACAUCCUCUUUUGAGAGUUCUGAGAACAGCUUCAAGUGAGAUGAGACCUGCAAUGGGAUACACUUAUGAAGGAAUUUACCGGGCAAAAGAAGCGAUUAAGAAAGCACUUAUCAAAAGGGAGGAUUAUAUGGUGUUCUGGAAUAUUAUACAUCAAAGAUGGGAUAGUCUUUGGCAUCAUCCUCUUCAUGCUGCAGGCUUCUAUCUUAAUCCGAAAUUCUUUUAUAGCAUUCAAGGGGAUGUACCCAAUGAGAUUCGCUCAGGGAUGCUUGACUGCAUAGAGAGAUUGGUACCUGAUACAAGAGUCCAAGAUAAAAUUAGCAAAGAAUUAAACUUGUAUAAAUCUGCUGCAGGAGAUUUUGGGAGAAAGAUGGCAAUCAGAGCUAGAGAUAAUCUGCUUCCUUGUAAGAGUCCAAUAACCUAUUCACUUAGAUAUAUUCUUUUGCCAUGUUGUGUGAUUUAACUUUAACUUCUUUGAAAAAUAAAAUUAGAAGCUACGCGCAUUAUUUAUUUAUUAGAAGCUCUUCCAAACAAUCUCAAAAGUGCUUAUGUCAGUAGAUAAACUCAAAUAAAUCAAUUCAAACAGACCCCUAGCACAAACAAAUUAUUAGAUUUCAAAAAUUGUAAAAGAUAACAGGUGAGGAAANCCAUUUGAGUGUUUUAUUUCUUUCAUGACCACUUGUUAAACUUUCAUUUGCCAUUUUUUUUUUCUAGCUGAAUGGUGGUCAACAUAUGGAGGAGGCUGCCCUAACUUGUCCCGCUUAGCAAUUCGCAUUCUUAGCCAAACAUCAAGUGUGAUGUUCUGCAAGAGAAACCAAAUUCCUUUUGAACAGAUAAUCAAUACAAGGAAUUAUAUAGAGCGCCAACAUUUUACUGAUCUCGUCUUUGUUCACUACAAUUUACGGUUGAGACAAAUGUGAGCUUGAACUGCUGUAUAUUGGUAAAUUGUUUCAAUACAGUUGAAGUUGAAAGUAACUUAAAUUAAGCUGUUUGUCUUUCUUUCAGGUUUAUGAAUAAGGAGCAAGAAUCUAGCGAUCCUCUGUCAUUCGACAACAUUUGUAACGUUGAAGACUGGAUCGGGCCAAGGGAUUUGUACUUCGGAGAGUAUGGUAACUCGGAUUGGAUGGCACUUGAUUCAUCUUCCAUUAACACAAUGCCUUUAAGGUCUUUAAACGAUGAACCUGAAGAAAUGUGUGAAGGUAAAUUGUAAACCAUUUUAAUAAAUGUGGAAACUGUUAAACAAAAAUGUGGAAACUGCUGGUAGACUAACCAGGUAGAAAAUGUCAGUAACUAACAUGUUUUCAUCUGUUUGUAGGGUUUGACGAUGAUGAGAUUUUCAUUAGUCUGAAAGAUGAUGAGGAUGUGAAUUCCGGAGACAAGUUCGAAAACCAUUAGUGAAUGAUGAAAGGAACCAUGCUUGCUGACAGCUUCCAAUUUUAGUUUCGACAUGUUUUCCCCAAAUACUGGUUCGUAUGUGUUAAUCUUAAAAAUAGAGGGAAACUAGGGUGGAGUUUACUGGACAUGUGAGAGGAACCAAGUUAUUGUUGAUGUAUUAGUUGGUAUGAUUUGGAAGGUUUUUGUACAGUAUUUGAUAGUUUUGUAGUAUUUCUUACACUACUAGAGUUUACAACUUUUGCAAACUGGAACCUCCAUUUUUAUUUUUAUUUGCUAAGAUUAUGAAUUGUUGAAAGCUAAUUUGAUUUAGAAUCUUUGUGACAAACAUUAAAAAACAUGAGUUAAGAGACAUGAAAAACUGAAGUAGAAAUUGUCUCUUUUGGCCAAAUGGUGUUUGAGAGCUUUGAAAAACCAUAACAAACAGAGUAAGAUGAUCUCAUAUGGUGGUUUGCAUUGCAUUGAUGAUAUUCCAAUAUGGAUUUGCUUCUUGAUAGAAGAAGUUUAUACAACAAUAAUAAAAACAAUAUAUAUACAAAUCGAACAAAAUACGUAGCGUAGGCUUUGUUGAGUCAGUCAACUACCUAUCCUAUCGGCCACCGGAAAGUGAAAGAGACGAAUCAUAUCCACCCGUCGACGACCAUGUAUUCACGCUUUCAAAGAAUGGCGACAUUGGAUACAUUCCCUCAAACUGACGACCACCACCACCCUUUUUCACACCAAAAACAUCAAGUUCCGGCAACGGCAACUCCCCCUCCAAGUACCUAACUACCUGCUUCAUUGUAGGCCUCCGCUCCAGCGAAUCUUCAGAACACAACAACCCCACCUUAAUCACCAAUAAAACCUCCACCUCAUCGUAAACCCCAGCCAACUUAGGAUCCACAAUCUCUAAAGCCGCUCCUAACCUUAAUCUAUCCCAAACCCAAUCCACCAAAACAAGCUCCUCAGGCAAUGCUUUAGGCUCAAUAGGUCUUCUCCCACAAACCACUUCCAACAACAAUGCCCCAAACGCAAACACAUCAGAACUAGUUGUUGGUUUCCCUGUUCUCGUUAACUCGGGUGCUAAAUACCCCAAAGUUCCCACCACCCUCGUCGUGCUUGGAUUCUCACCAUGAUCAUAAAGCUUAGCCAAACCAAAAUCACCUAAUCUUGCAUUCAUCUCAGAAUCCAAAAGAACAUUCCCUGCUUUCACAUCUCUGUGAAUCACUGUUUGUUCCCAUUCCUCAUGCAAAUAAACAAGCCCCGAAGCCACACCUUUUAUAAUCCUAAACCUUUCUUCCCACCUCAAUAUUGCUCUUGGUUGUUCAAAUAUAUACUUAUCUAAACUCCCAUUCUCCAUGAAAUCAUACACUAAGAUUAAAUCAUUUCGCUUCCGACACCAACCUAGUAACUGUACUAGGUUCCUGUGACGAAGUUUACCAAUUGUUUCAAUUUCUGAGAUAAACUCUUGCAACCCUUGUCUUGAUUCUUGGGAGAUUUGUUUCACAGCUAUUUCAGUUUUGGAAUCUGGUAACACCCCUUUGUAAACUUUACCAAAACCACCAAACCCAAGAAGGUUCUUGUCCUUGAACCCUCUUGUAGCCUGCUUUAGUUCUUUGUAAGGAAAUCUAUGUGGUCCCACUUCUAGUUCCCAAGCUUCUAUAACAUCAUUGUUUUUCAUCUUGAAGUAAAAAGCUAAACCAGUUGUUAAAACUAUUAGAAUCACAAAUGAAAUAGUAAGACCCAAGAUUAAGGCCUUUCGAGUUCGAGUAUUGUGUGAAGAGAGUGAAGGAAGAUUUUUCAAAGACAAAGUUUUGGAUUCUCCAUUGAUUUUGAAGCUCCAACCCAUUAUAUAGUGUGAGCCAGAGAGUAACCCUGUUGAAGAAGAAAACCCAACAUACAUAGUUUCUUUGAAAAUUGGUGUUAGAUCUACUUGAUAUGAUAAGAUUGGUGAACUUGGUUUUGAUGAAGUUGGUGAGAGUCUAACUUCUAUAAUGCUUCUUGAGGAAUCAUAGUCGAUCCAUGCUUGAAUCACACUACCACUCUUCAAGUUAAGGUCUUGAAUUUGAACUUGUUUAUUCUCCGAGCCAUCAGUAAAAAAACAUGCUUUAACUGAUUUGUUUGAUACCAUGUUGUUAAGAUUGAUACCAACAUGAUUGUCAUUGAUGUCAUUGAAUUCGAAAUCUUGGACAGUAUCGAAUUCAACGGCGAAUAAGUGAUUCGAAAAGUUGCCUAAAUCAUGUGGGUUGAGAAGGCCUAGAUACUGACUAGGAUAACCAUUGGAGAGUGUUUUGGAAGGUGAAAUGGUGAAGGCAAAGCCAUGUCCUCCUAGUUUUGGAUAUUGAGGGACUAUUGCAAAAGCAAAAGAAGUUGAAAAGGAGAAAGCUUUGGUUGUGGUUUUGUUCUUGAAGUGGAUUGGUGUUGAAUAAAAAGCAUGACCAAGUACUCUUUCAGUGUCAUUUGUUAAACGAAUUAUGCCUUUGUGUUCAAUCACUGCACCUCCGUUUAAGGUUAUGUUGGUAGCAGCUUCAUUGAAUCCAGCAUAGAAAAACUCAUCUUGCUGAGAAUGAGAAUGUAUGGAGUUUGAGGCUAGAAGGACCAUGAUGCAAAGAAGAUAAAGAGGUAUAUUUGCCAUGACAAAGUUAAAGUUGAGGUUGAGGAUGUUGUUGUUAUUGGUUCAAUAUUUAUUAUGUUGUUAAUUGGAAAUCACAUGGUAGUAGCAUGUUGUUUGUAUACUAUAUAGUACUAGUAUUAUAUGUUUGUGUAAAGAUGAGUGUAUUGACUUGAUUGAGCAACCAGAGAGAGUGCGGUGUGCUUUACAGCUUGUAGUUUGUGGGUUGGAAACUGAAACGUGGUUGUAGCUUGUUUGUUUAAUUUCACACGUGGGUGUGUACUGUUUUGUUUCCUACUCCAUUUUAAAUGCCCAUAUAUUUUUAAAAGAUCUUCGAUUCUAUUAAACUGUUAAGUUGUUUCUAUAUUUAACCAUGUACUAUCAAUUCGUUCACGUAUUUUAACAACUUACUAUUGAUAUUUAACUACUUAUUAAACUGUUAAGUUGUUCAUGAACUUAUUGGGUGGUUAACAUGCAUGCAUACAUUGCUUUCUUGUUUAUUAUUAUUAUUAUUAUGAAUUGAGAUCACGUUUUUUUCUAUUAUCUUUUGUUGGACACUACUUUCUCCACCCGACAUCGGAUCAUAAAUGUGCAUUUAGAAAAAUCACUAAAAUUUGCACGCCCUGGUGUGUACUUUGAUAUAAUUUAUGAGGUUUGAAUGUACACUAUCGAGACACGGGUAUUUUUCAAUAGUGAAGAUAAAGUGAAAAGUUUGUUCAUAAAAGUUGUCUAAUUGUAUAAAUAUCAUUUUUCUUUAAAAAAAAAAACGUGUUAAGACGGGAGAAACUUUCCUCUGCACUGUUGUAGUUUUAUUAUGCACUAAAAAAUUACUACAUAGUUGUAUUGAUUUGGUUGUUUUAGACAACUUUUCAUUACUGAUUUAAAAUCUUUCGUUGUCUAAAUGUUUUAUUUUUUAUUGGAGAACAAUAGCAUAUCAUUUCGUUGUAGUAGUUAAAUUCUGUCAAUAAAGAAUAAAAUAGGAAAAAAAAUCUUUGUAAUAUCUAAACUUGAGCAUCUCAUGCUGUCGUCCUUUUCCCAUACAAAUUAUUCUCCACCAUUUGUCUCGUCCGGCUGAAUUUGGAUAGUAUAUCAUGUGUCUGUCUAGUGGUUCUUUCUUUUAUAGUAAUAAAUAAAUAAAAUAUAAACUGAUUUCUUUAUUUCUCUUUUUUAAUAUUUAAAUUCAACUAAUACUGCCUUAUAGUGGAACCUUGAUUGGUUUAAUAAUUUUGUUUGAUCAGCAAUGACUUCUGCAUGUUUUAAUUAGGUAUUUUCAAAUAUGGUUAAAUUAGUGAAAGUUAGGGCUGACAAUGAGCCGAACCAACUCGAAAAUAGUUUGAGAUUCGAUUCGAUAAUUGACUCGUUGAACUUGGUUCAUGAAUCAAAUGAGUCGAACUUGAGUUGAAAAUUAAGCUCGUUAAAUAAAUGAGUCGAACUUGAGUUGAGUAUAGUUCGACUCGUUUGGUUCAUGAACCAGCUCAAUAUAUAUAAAAUAUUAUUUUGCAUAUUGUUAUAUAAUAUGUAAUUUAUUACAAGCUUCUUCCAAUAAUUAUGUACUUUUUCAUAGGAAUUAUUACUAAUUUGAUUAAUAAUCAACGAUAAUUGUUAUGAUAGAGGAAAAAAGUUAAUAUCUUUUGAAGGCUUUUAAACAAACAUUUGUACACAAAUAGUCCCACAUCGGGUGUUUUGAAAAUAUUAGAGAGUAAGAGUGUAUAUAUAAGAGAGGUGGAUGAUAAUGAGUACAAUGUAAAAUAUGGUAUGCGCUUCAGUAGUAAGGGCUAUUGCCUUUCUACCUUCAUAGUUUUAUUUAAUUUAUAUUUUUUUUUUAAAGUCAAAGACAUGUAUUUUUGACAAAAAAAUUGAAGAAAAAAAGCUUUUGAAGUAUAUAAUUCGAGUAGACGAGUUGAACCUAACGAGCCGAACUGAGUUGUUCACGAACUUUAAACGAGCCAAACUUGAGUUAAAAAAAAGGUUUGUUUCAAACUCGAGUUGAGUUUCGAACCGAAUCAAUUCUUAUCGAGUCGAAUCGAGCUCAGACAGGUUCAACUCGACUCAUUUCCAGCCCUAGUGAAAGUCAAGAAUUAGCAUCAACUCAGCAUUUGUGUGUUUGUCUACAGUUUUCAAAGUGAGACAAUCAAAUAUCUGAAUGUGUAGGUAAAGUAACAUACUUCUAUAGUGCUAUGGAUAUGUUUGACUUUUGGGAAUAUACUAUACUGGGAAUUUGAUUAUCAUGUCAAAUAAGGAAAACCGACUUUUAGGUGAUGAAAUAGGUUUUAAAGCACUAGUAAACAUUUCCUUUUUAAAUAUUGAAAGUCAAAUUUAUGUAACAUGCAUCUAUUUCUUCAUGGGAACUCACUGCAAAUUUUUUGAAGGGAAUAGUAAUCUCUUUGAUUUUUUUUUGGAACUCAUUAGCAUCACAUAAAUUAAGGUCAUUAGGAUUAUCAUGCAAACUUGCAAAGAAUUAAAGUUAAAUAUAAACACUGUAUUGUUACUUUAUCAUGCAUGCAAAGAGUUAAAGCUAACACACUAUACUUUUAUCUUUUGCAAUCAAUAGAUUGUCUAGAAGAUACUCCCAAUAGGAUAUACAUAAAGCUAACACUUUGUUUGGAAUUAAAGAAAAGUUGAUCCUGACCAAAAAAAAAAAAAAGGAAAAGUUGAUAAAGGAUUGGGACAGGAGAGAAUGCAAAAACCCUUUCUUUGAUUGGUUUAAAAAUAGGGUUAAUUAAGUUUUUGGUCCAUAUAAAUAUCUGCAGUUUUGUUUUUAGUCCCUAUAAAAAUAAAUCACAUUUUUUAGUCCCUACAAAAUUUUAUUUUAGUGUUUUUAGUCCCUGUUAAAUUAAAAUUUGUUUAAUUAUGCUUAUACUUCUAAAUUUUUAAAAGAUGUUUUACAUACAUGUUCAUAACAUCGUAAGACACUCUUUUGUAAAUUUUUUUAGUUUUUUAACAUAUAAUAAAUUAAAUAUGAAUUUUUCUAAAAGCCAAAUUUUCAAGAUUAUAUUAAUAAAAAUUUGGACCUAAUAAUAAAAUUUUAAGCUACUUUUUUGCGGAGGAACUUUGUAUAAUAUUCUAAGUAAGUAUGUGAAAAUAUAUGUUACAAAUUUAAAAGUUUAAGCACAAUUAAGCAAAUUUUAAUUUUACAAGGACUAAAAGUAUGUGUUGGUCCCUGUUAAAUUGAAAUUUGUUUAAUUAUACUUAAAAUUUUAUACUUUUAAAUUAUUUUUAACAAACAUGUUAAGAACAUUGUAAUUAUCUCUUUUAUAAAAAAUUACAAUUUUUUAACAUGUAAUGAAUUAAAUAUAAUUUUUUUAAAUCACCAAAAAUUCAAGAUAAAACUAACAAAAAUUUGGACCUAAAAAUACAAUUUUGAGUUAAUUUAUUGUGGUGGAACCUUUUAUAAUGUUUUAAACAAGUAUGUAAAAAAUCAUUAAAUUUUUUUAAAUUUUAAGCAUAAUUAAACAAAUUUUAAUUUAAUAGGGACUAAAAACACUAACGGAAAAUUUUGUAGGGACUAAAAAGUGUGAUUUAUUUUUAUAGGGACUAAAAACAAAACUGCAGAUAUUUAUAGGGAACAAAAACUUAAUUAACCCUUAAAAAUAUGUGUGAAGGGUGAAAAAAAGUAGGACCCACAAGGCAAAAGCCAGCCAAUUUAUUCUUGUCUUACUACUCCAAUUGAGAAAUGAUAUUUGUACAAUCAUUUUUGUACAACUUUUGUACAACUUUCUCUCUCAUACUCACAUUAUCUUCUUAUUUUCUCUCUUCCUUUUUCUCUCUAUUGUUUUUGACCAAUAAAAAGAGAACACAACAAAAUUGUUCCAAAAGUUGUACCAAAAAAGUUAUUCAAAUAUCACUACUCUUUACAAUUUUUCUAAUUUUUUUCAAAAUUAUUUUAUCAAUUUUUUAAAAGAUAUUUAUGUCUUUUUAUUCCUAUCAUUGACAUUGUUUAUUUUUCUCUCUUUCAAUCCAAUCAAACAAGAGAAAAAAGUUUUUAUCAUUCUUUUCUUUCAUUUUCUUCACAGGCUCAUCAAUCAUCAUCAUUUAACUAGGAUAAGAAUAAUGGAUCUUAAAUAUUAGAAUCUAGAAAGAAAGAAAGAAAAAAAACAUCAAGGGUGUAAUAGGUAGAAAGAGAAAGGCACCAAAUUAAAUUAAACAUUGUACAUAUAACAAAAUUACAUAGGAAGACACUCCAAAAAGAAAAAUAAUAAUAAAAUUAUCUCAAACUUGGAAUCUUUUCCUUCCACCUAAUAACACAUUGAGAAUGUUACAAGCACGUGCCAUCACAACUUCUAGUAGUUGGAUCGAAGUUUGAGGCAUUUGAAUCAAGAACAAGAACUUUGUAAUGCCUGCACACAAAAAAAAAACAAGCCAAGAUUUUUUAGUCCAAGUUUUUAUUUAAACCAAACAUAAUAGUAACAUUAAUUAAGGUAGAUGCAAUUACAAACCUCCAAGAUCAUUGGAGAAACUAGAAUUUUCCCUCCUUAAUAGCAUCUUGAUUAGCAUCACCAAGAGCAGCACCUUCCAAAUACUUGUCUGCCAAUUGAACUCUCUUCACAUUCUCUUGUUCUGAGACAAGCAUGUUACCAUACUCCAAUAGCUUUUCUAGUGUCAUCUUUGGCUGCUCAAACACUGGUGGUCCGUCCUUUGAGUUCACAAGCUUCUUUCCAAUUGUUUCAAUACCAACUCCAGAAACCCACUUCCUCACUUCAUCAUCGUACACUCUAGCCCUCAAUGCACCGAAGAAAUCUGCAACAAUAAUAGCUCGUAAAUAAGACAGACAAACAAACAGACAGACAGACAGACAGAUAGAUAGGUACCGAUGGAUUGGCCGGGGAAGGUGUCAACAAUCUUGACAAUGUCAUCUUUUGCGAUAUUGUCAUGGCGGAAAAUUCCAAUGCAGACACCAAUACGGUCUUCUCUUGUAGGAGCCCAGUAGAAUUUCUCCAUACGACCAUCACGGAUGAGAGGAGCAUAAAGUGUUGAGAAAUCGUUACCGGUGACAAUGAUGGGCACACGAGCGUUAUCUUCCUUGUUGUACAUACCAGGGAGUUGGACAUUGGUGGGGUUAUCAGCAAUGUUCAUGAGUGUGGCAUUCACCAUCUGGUUGUUGACAGUGUAUUGUGUGGUUCCACCCAUACGACCUGCUCCUGCAUCGAGAUCGUUGAUGAACAGACAACACAUCUUUCCCUUCCUGAUAAUGUCAGCGGCUUCACGGUAUCUCUGUCUGAUCAGUUUUGCUGGCUCUCCUGCAUUUCCACUUUCAAGCUCUCCAGCACUCAUCAUGAUGGGGCUGUAACACAAUUUCAACAUCAAAUUAUGUAGAAGAUUAUGUAGCACAACAUAUGCUAUAUACUGAGCAUAUUUGGAAGAGCUUCUUUGGUCUUGCUUCAUGAAAUAAGCACUUGAAUUAGGCCAUGUUUGCACAAUAAGUUUAUUAAGACCUUAUAGCAUAAACAUUGAUCGUAUAUGUAUAAGCUAUUUCUAUAACAAAAAGAUAAAAUAAAUUCAAAUAAGCCAUAAACUGCUUUUGUACGCUAUCUUGGAGUGCUUAUCGGAAAGAAAAAAAAAGACAACAUCUUAUAGACAUCGUUUAUUUUCAUAAGCUCUCCUAAAUAGUCUCGCAAGCGUAUACGUCAAUAGAACUCACUUGAUUCCCAUCUUAGCAAAGACAAGCUCAGCUUGGAAAGAUUUUCCCUGUCCUUUUCCUCCCCAGACUCCAAGAAUGAGUGGAACCUAUAAAAACAAAAAUGAAAAUAUUGAAUAUGUAUCUCAAUUCUGCUAAAGUCAUAGCAUAGUUUAUAGAGGAAUCAUGUGUCAAAUUUACAUACCUUGAUGUUUGGUAGGGUCAAGAAAUUCUUGGUGAUGUGAACAACAAGCUUGUCCAUAAAAGCAGGAGCAAUGUAAAAUCCAUCCAUAGUGUUGUCAAAGUUGUACCUAAAACACCAUCAUCACAGGUUAGAUCAAAAGAAACUUCAUUUACAAACCAUAGUAAUAAAAUCAUGAGCAAAUUACGAGUAUUUGGUUUUGAAUUAACAAAAUGCGUAGCAAGUCACUCACUGUUUAAGUCCAGUACUAAGGUACUCAUAAGAACUCAUGACUGCAUAAUGAGUUCCAGUAUCUUGUGGUGCUUGGAAAACUGAAUCAACCAUACCCUUUCCUCUUGUGAUGUCUUGUUGGUCAUCUGAUAUAUCAUAGGCCAAACCCCUCCAUCUGUCUCCGUCGGUCUGUUUACCCUCAUCGAUCUCUUUAGCAAAAACUUUGAAGCUUCCUGAGGAAACUUUUGUGUUUGGAAGUCUUGCGGUAAGCUUUUUCAAGCUUGUGCCGAAGAAAGCUGAAUUAGAAACUGUUGGUCCAGCUACUACUGAGCCAUUCAAGCUCAUCUGCAACAUCGCAACACUUCACAUUAUUAAGAGUUCAAUUCUUACAAAUUACAAUUUACCUCCGCCUCUUUUUACUUAUCUAUUGUACAUCAUUUUUUUUGAUAAUUAGUCAAAAAAAUCUAUUGGAUCAUGAUAGAACUUGUAUCGAUUCAAAAAUCUUAGAUACAAGUUCUGUCGUGAUCGACUAGACCAACUCCUUGAAAUCUAUUACUCCUAUAUAUCUUUUUUAGCUUUACAUGAUUUCUAUAUUCGGAUCCGUUUGGAUAAAUAGUUUAAUUGAGUGUUUAUAGCAUAAGUGAUUAUCAUACAAGUGUAAAUGUGUAAACCAUCUAUAUAACAAAGAAUAAAAUAAAUUCAAACUGUUUUUAUACAACUUAUUAUCUGUUUUCAUAAAGCUUAUGAAAACAAUCUGAAAAACAUCUACGAAUAUGUCUUAAACUACUAUAAACUCUCACAGGUACUUACGUCACUAAAUAAGCUUAAAUAAGCCGAUGCGAACGGCCUUGAAUAAGUUCUAUCAUGCAUCAAAUUAUAUCAAAGUAUGAGUGUAAGACAAACUAAUCACCCUUCUAAUAUGGUAUCUAUAAAUGGAUCACUACAUCACACAACACCAUUCUGUGCUACAUAAUCAUGCAUAUUAAUGAUUAAGUAUCACAAAUUCCAAUUAAAAACAUAAUUAACCAAUACUAUGUAACUGCAGUAAUGUAUAUAUAGUACUAGUACUAGUAAUAAAAUUUAAGUCACAUGAUUUGGAGCAUUUAAUUAUUGACAAACACACCUAUGUGAAUGUGAACUAUAUAAACAUGCAAACUAUAUAGUAUUUAAUUAAACAAAUGAAAGUAACAUACUGGAGUUUUGACAGCUCCAACAGUUGAAACUGAAGCAGCCAUGGAUACUGCACUGAUUGGUAUUGCACAAAAGAGAAAGAUAGUUGAAAUUGAAGCAAAUUAUUCUAUGCAAAUUUGUGAUCAAAUUGAGGGAUUUAUAUUAGCUGAUUAAUUGAUAGGGUGUAACAAUAGGAUUGGUCAUUGAAACCAUAACGUCCACACAAUGAAGAUUACCAAGCUGCCACGUGGCAAUCAUAGAGUUGCUACAUUUCUCAUUCACUCUUAAGCAAUGACCUUGAGGUUGGUAUUGAAGGUAUUUCCAUCUCCACAAGUAUUAAGGAGAGUUUCUUACCACACAAGACUUGGAUAGGACUCAUCUCAUCUCAUCUUUAUUCUAAAUAUUCAAGCAUUGGUUACUCUCAUUUUACACUAAAAAUUAAAACAUCAAUGUCUUUUAUUGGUGAGUGACCAAUCAUAAUAUUGCUAUUUUAAACUGAUCAUUAUCAUAUUGGUCUUUCAAUUUAGAUUACAUUAUUAUUACAUACAAACCUAUCAUUUUAUUUCGCAUUAGUCACCCAAUUAUUUUAUUUCUGUAAAUUAAUUUGGAAAAUUCAAGAUAAUUUCAUAAUUUAAAGGGAUUGGACCCAUCAGUUAAUGUCACUGUUACAUUUUGCAUGUUGGCCUAGGAACUCAUAACUUUCAUCAUACUGCAAUUAAAGGAAAUUCAGAACUUUCCUACUUUCUUCACUGAUAUGCUUCACAAUAAUGUCACUUUAUUAGGAAAAAAAAAAUUGUUUUAAAGUAAAUGUCAUUUUCAUUAGAAUUAUUUUCCCCCCAACUAAGCCUUCUAAUUAACGGAUUGGAUUAACUUAUUUGAAUUAUCUAUUGACAUAAAUUUUGUGAAAUUGUUUGGAAAAAUUUAUGAAAACAACUUAUGACAUUGGUGCUUAAACUAUUAUCAGUUUAUUUUUGUAAAUUCUUCAAGAAUUUUUUUGAAAAUAGAUUAUAGUUUAUAAGAAAAAAAUUCAACAUUAUUUUAUCUUUUGUUAUAAAAAUAGCUUAUACAUAAACAUUAAUUAUGAUAAACAAUUGUGUUAUCAACUACAAAUAAGUUGUUUAUCCAAAUAAACCUAUGUAUAUUACUCUUAAAACAAUGUAUUCCACUUUAAUUUAUAACGAUGGAAACACUCUAUUGUUAAUAAGGUUAGUUUGUAAACUGUCAUAUCUUUUGACAUUUUAUAAUAUUUCUUAAACGUCAUUAAUUUUAAAACAGAGGGGCAGUAAGAACUAAGAGCAUCACAUACCUUAUCAAAAUUUCAAGAGGUAAUAGUCAUUUUGAUCCCUAAAUGUGUAAGGAGUAGUCACAAUAGUAUCUCAAUGUAUUAAAAUUCCAAAAUUAUCCCUGAUUGUGCAAUAUAUUAGUCCAUGAUGUUAAAAUUGUCCCUCAAUGUUGACUAUAACUCUUUCUAUAGGGACUUGUAUGACAUUAAGUAAGUUGGUAUGACAAUAAGUAAGUAUACUAAUAUGACAAUAUUAAUAUAAGACUUUAACACGAAAGACUAUUUUGAUUAUAUAAGUGCAUAAUCAGGGACGACUUUGGAAUUUUGAUACAUUCAGAAACUAUUAUGACUACUCGUUGCACAUUCAAAGAUCAAAAUAACUAUUAACCCAAAUUUCAAUGUACGAUUUAAAAUUCUUUCAUUUAACGGAAAUUUUGAAAUCAUCAUAGCACAAAAACUUAACAUGUCAUUGACUUUUUCUUCGAGUUGGAUUUUUUUUUUUUGUUAUCAUGAUAUUGAUACGAAAUUUCCAUCACCGUUUAACAACGACUAAUCUUCUUGGGAGAACAUGUGGGACAUAGAAGGUAGGUUCUCCCCUUUCAACCGAAUUUUUUCAUACGCAUGAGUCAUCAAUUGAACCCCCUGACCACAUGCUUAAGGGCAGAAGUCCCUUAUCACUAAGACUCAAUUUUCCUAACAAACUAGAUUCUUCCUAGAUUCUUCUUAACAAACUAGUGAGUCACUAAUCAUCUACAACUAAUGAGCCAACACUUAAUAGCAACACGGUCAGUCCACUUCUAAUGAUGAUCCUUUGGGGUCUCCCUAACUCAUUGGAGUCAAUCUUCGAUCCUAAUACAUUGUAGCUCAUAUCCUUGUUCGUAUCAUCAUCACUAUAUAUAAUUGAUAAAUUAAGCGAGAUUCACCAUAAUAGUAAAGAUGUCACUGAUAAGAGUUAAUUAUGGUUUAAUACAAAAACCAAAGAGGAGUCGACCUUCACUCAUAAGAUCUUGAUGGUUGUUCAAAAGGUCCCUUCAAAUUGUUCACAUUUAUGACAAAAGUAGAUCGAAAGUUAUGACUCGAUCAGAAUUACACACACAAAAAAAAAAUUGAUAAGAAGUUAUGACCUGAUUAGUUGAGCAAUUUGAGAGACCUAUUAUGCAACCAUUCAAGAUGUCAUUAGAGAAAAUAAAUUCAUUUCAAAGUUUACAAAUGAGGCCCUUAGUAGAGUAGAUAAUUGCUCUUCUCCCUUACAAAAUUGCUCAUUUCCUGAAAAAUGUCAUGCGAGAGUUAACUCACGCUUGACUUUUUUAAAUGUGAAUUAACUCACGCAAGCACUUUUCAGAUCGGUGAACGAGCAAAAACAAACGGGAGAAGAGCAAUUUUCAGUAGAGUAUUUAUAGAGUAAAAGUCCAUAUACCUAAAAAGGCCUUAAAAAAUUAAUAUGGGUCCAUUGGACUUGCAAUACUUAAUUAAAAAACUUAUUCUUUUUCCACCAUAUUGAUUUCUCAUGCGUCCUAUGUAGUUUAAAUUAUAGAAUUCGAACAGCAUAAACACCCCUAUAAAAAUUUUCAAAACACAUUAAAACAUUUCAGAUUUUAGAAUCCGAAUAAGAUGCGCGAGAAACUCAUAGUAUGAGAAAAGUAAUAGUCUGAUUAAAAUAAAACGAAAACAAUUACAAUUCUUGGCAAAUACAAAUACAAAUAAAACUAACAACUAUGUUAAAGGUUUGAAUUGAAAUUUUCAUUGUUUUCCUUGUUAUUUGCUCCUUUUAGCUCCUCUUCAUUCCUUCAUUUUAAAAAAAUUUGACCUCGAAUUUGUGUCUAAUAUGACUUAUAUGAAGAAAGAUACAAGUCAAUGAAAUGAAAUAGAAAAUUAACCUUUCCACCAUAAUCAAAUGGAAAUUGUGAAAAAAGACUAAAUGUACCGAUUGGGUGCAACAUAAUUCCACUUUUCGCAUUCAGCAAUUCAACAUACUAAAGGUAGAGAGAAAGCUAUACUCCCUCUUAAGUUGACAUUAAGGACCAACUUUACCUUCAUAAAAUUGGACUUGGUAACAAACGAUAAUCUAAUUUGUUUUUGCUAAGGUUUUUCAAUGUAAAUUGAGCAUCGGUGAUAUUUUUCUCAUCACAAACCAAUGAUGCUUUUUUCUUUAAAAAGACAAGUUCCUCAAACACAUUAGGAAUAUCAUAUGAAAGCUUAAAGAUUCGGCAAGAAUAGGUAGAGUAAGGAGAGAUAAGGUGAAGCAAAUAACAGUUCUCAAAACAUUAUAAAAAAUUUCAAAAUAAUAAUUUUAUUCUUUAAAUAAGUCAUGGUAAUUUAUUUAUGGAUCAUAAUCUUUUUUUUUUUUUUUAAGAAAUGAUCAUAAUCUAAUAACUAGCAUAACAAUGGCUUGCACACUAUGACAAUAAUAACAUAUAAGUCAUAAUCUUAUACCAAAGGCAUUUAUUUAUGGAUCUAUUAGCAUAAACUCGUUACUUUUAAAAAUUUACACACACAUAUUACUUUUAGGGUUAAAUAAGUAUUUUGUCCUUAUAAAAUCAUGUGUAUCCUUCAAAAUUUUAACUAUUUUUGCAGUCACGUUAAGUACAUUAUAAAAAUCUUUUUUCCAAAAGUUUAAAGUUUUUUAACAAUGGAUAAAAUAAAUAUAAAUUUUUAAGCAAUUAGCACUUAAAAAUUCAUAUUUUGUUAAAAUUUCAAAGUUUUAUGUGAGAGAUUGUUAUAAUAUUCUAAACAUCUCUAUAAAAAUUCAUUCAAAAAAUGUAAAAGGAAAUAUGAUUUUAUUAAAGAACAAAGACCAAAAAUCAUACCCGAACACAUUUAAGGGAUCAAACCUUGCUAAAAAAAACUUUAAAGAGACUAAAAAUAAAUUUUAAGAUAUUUAUGGGGACCAAACCCUUAUUUAGCCCUUACUUUUAUAUAAAAAUAAAACAGUAUACAAGCAUGGAUAAUAAACCAAAUAUAUUCAUUUUUAUCAAAAUAUACACACUUGAAUAGUUUUCAAAUUACGCAUAUAUGUAUCUAAUAUCACAUGUUAAAUCUAACAUAAACAAAAAUUACUUUUGAGAUUCUAUAAAUGAAUUUAGAACAUCAAACAUAUCAUCAUGUAUCCUUAAAAGGAAAAUUGUGUAUUGUGUACCUUCACCACAACCAUAUAUGAAUAAGUAUGUGUAGUCAUAUCUCCAUCAAAGUUACAUUUAUUUUCUCCGGUCAUAUUUAUAAGCAAAUUUUCCAUUUUUAGAUUCAUUAAAUAAUUGAUGUAUCUGAAUUAUAAUAUAGUCCAAAUAUAUCAGUUAUUUAAUAAAUCUUGAAAAACAAAAGUUAUUUAUAAAUGUGACCGAAGAGAGUAUUAUUUAACCAUAAAUAAAUAAAUUAAACCUACAUAUUGCAAGCUCUUGUGUGAAACAAGGAAAAUUUCAAACAAGGUGAUGAUGAUGGUUGCCCAAAUAAAAAUUUUAAGUUUAAUCCAAUGUAAGAACCGUAUGUAUGUUCUUAUAUUACUUUAAUAUAAGAAACUUCUUUAUUUCUUAAAAAAAAAAAAAAAAACUUCUUUAUUGAUAUUAAUAUUAAGGGGGGAAUUCCAAAGAAUCUGAUGAGUCACAUGAUGCUUACUAGUGAUACCGAGAGCGUGAACUAUAGAGGCAUGAUAAGAGGUUAUGUUGUUGACAGAAAUCCAAGUCUUUUUUUUGCAUUUUAGAAAAUCUCUUCAUUUCUGUUUUUCCAAAUUUCAAAACAAGUUACUAUGAAAUUAGUAUAUGCCUUCAUUCUAGCAUGGCGUAUAAACCAAAUCUGACAAUCCUGUAUGUAAAAAUUAUCAGGAUAUGUGGGAGAAACAUGCAUCCAAAUAGACAUUGCUCUAAGGCAAUCUUGUAGAGUAUGCAAAUUACUUUCAACAAUAGCACCACAUCUAUAUAUGACAGGAAGUAUCAGAGGGACGAAAAGACCUAAACAUGAAGACAAAAUGACCAAAUUGUUCAAUCCGAUUCUAAUAACCAUUAUUUCAUUUUUUUUUCUUAUCUUGUUUGAUUCGAUUCUCUACUAGUGUACCAUUUUUAAUGAUAAAAGACCUAAACAUGAAGAAAAAAUGACUAAAUUGUUAUUAAAAAUAAUAGGGUUAAAUAAGUUUUUUGUCCUUAUAAAAUUUUAGAAUUUCACGUUUUAGUCACUCUAAAAAUUUCAUUAAGUUUUAGUCCCCUGAAUAUUUUCGUCACUACUUAUGGUCCAUACUUUUAAGUAAAAUUAUUUGUAUCUUUAAAAAUUUUAAAUUAUUUUUUGCAGUCCUAUUUAAAUUCAAUACAUUAUAGAAAUCUAUUUUACAAAAGUUUAUUUAUUUAUUUUAACAAUAGAUGAAUUAAAUAUGAAUUUUUAAGUUAACACUUACAAAUCGAAUCUUUCAAAAAAAAAAAAAAGUUAACACUUACAAAAUCAUAUUUUGUUAAACAAUUAUAACUUUUGGUGCAAAAAGAUUAUUAUGAUACUCUCUAAACAUCUCAGUUAAUAUUUUUCAAAUUUCUGAAAUAGAAUUGAAUACCGUAGGGUCGUACCAAAACUCUAUCCAUUGCCUUCCCUGUACCAAAAUCAAGUAAUGAAAGCAUUUUACAUCUACAAGCACAACAAAUACAUAAGACAAUAAAUACUCUUGACUUUGAAAGUUGACCCUCUUUUGUGAUGGCCCUUGGCCGACCCAAAGGCCAAGUCCCACCGAUUACCAAUCUCAACUCUCAAAGACUUAUCAAAUGCUCAGUCGAGAGUUCAGCCCCCAACACAUGACAACCCUUAUUUUUUUUUCUUUCUAGAAAUACCUCUUAAGAGAGGCAUGAUGUAAAAGAAGAGUUUUUUUUUUUUUUGAAGGAUGAUGUAAAAAACGAGCGGUGAUAUUUAAACAAGCAUUUAUAAAAAUUUUCUAUGACAAUUUUUUUCUUAUUUUUUAUUGAUCAAAAAUAAUAAAGAGAAAAAGAAAGAGAGAAUAAAACAACUGUAUAAGUAUUACUCUUGAGAUAAAGUUGUUAAAAGAUUAUCAGACUUCUUAUAUGGUACUUGGUUCAAGACUUAACACUAAAAGCAAGUUAAUUGACAAUUAGCUUAUGGUAUUAGCAACAUUAGAAAGAAGAAGAAAAAAACUUAUAAAAUUGGAGAUUCACUUCGCAAAGAAUUGGCCCAACAUAUUAAGAGGUUUAAAACAAAUUUUAUCGUCAUACUUUAAAAAAGUUUAUAAGAAAACAUUGAUAAAACAAGGUUUACUUAGCACAAGGUUUAAACUUAAAGCCAAACUAAGUACUAUUCGUCCUGUUUUGAACGUGAAUACAAGAAAACUACCAAAACUAACUUGCCAACUGUUGCAUUUACAAUAGCUUAAUCAACGCAGUUCAAAGAAAAUUAUGUGGGGAACAAGAUGAACCGUACCUAAGGCAAAAUAUGUAAGUAUUGUCCUAUAAUUAAUCUAUCAUUUUAUAUAUUUAUAAGUAAAAUAAUUUUUUUUUUCAAAAUUUAAAGUUUAAAGUCUUGGAUUGCUUGGUCCUUGAACCAACCCUAACUUCAUAACUAGCCAUGAGCACGAAUAACAUUUAUGUGACAUUGUGGUCUCAAUGUCAUGUGACAUUGGCCAACCCUAAUGUAACAUGUGUCAAUAUUUGCUUAAAGAAAAUAGCAAAAAGCAAAAAAAAAAAAAAAUGGAAAAGAGUGAAGAAAACCACUUGUCACAUUGUGGUUGGCUAAUGUCACAUGACAUUGACACCACAAUUUCACACAAGUGCUAUCCCUAUAAGCAUAUACUCCCUCCGGUCUCAAAUGUAAGAAACUUUUCACUUUUUAGGUUCAUUUAAUAAAUGAUGUCAAUAGAUAUUUAAAUUGUUGGGCAAAAUUCUCUUAAUUACCUACAAUGUGUAGGAAAAAUUUACCCCUUUUAUGAGCUUUUUUUGUGUGAACUGAAUGUCUUUUAUGCAUAACUGCAAAGAUGAAUCCAUUUGGUCGGGUAGGACCGCAAUGAUGACAAAACUCUCUCUAAAAAAAUUAAUGUUGAUGCAUUCAACUACUUUAUGAGUUUGAGUGCAACUAUAAGGUAAAUUCAUAAGUACCUUAGAGUUUGGUUGAACUCCUAGACAAUUUUCUAAAUUUUAUUUUAAAAUAACUAAUAUAAAAAUAUGACAUGACAAUAAAUGUUUAGAUGAAGGGUAUAUACUCAAUCAAACUUUAUCGAUAUCACUGGUUCUAAACUUAACAGAUUUCAGAUUAGAAUAAAUGGAGUAUUACAUUCAUUAAGUAUCUUAGAUAGUUUAGGCUUUGUUUGAAUGCAUCUAAAAAAGUGAAAGGAAAGAACAAGAAGGGAAAGAUUGCCUAAGGAAAGAAAAAGAGUAGAAAGUGAGAGGAUUGUUUUGGUUGUUUGGUACAAGGGAAAGUGGAAUGGAAAGUUGGAGGAAAGAAAGAUCUACAUUUUGUAAUUGGCAUAAUUACCCUUAAACAAAAAUAAUAUAUUAGUAUAUAUAAACAUUUUAUGUACGAAGAAUAAAAUUUGUCAUACAACAAUCGAAUCAUGUAUGCCUAGAGACUAACAAAAAGUUAAAUGGUGAAUUACUUAAAAAAAAAAAAGUUAGGCGUGAAUUGAAAAAAUAAUAAAGAGACACCAACUAAAGUAGUAAAUUAAAUUAAAAAUAAAUAAUAAAAGUUGGGGCAUUUUAAACAAAACAUAUGUUUCCUCAUACUUUCCGUCCAAAUGUGGGGAAAGGUUUCUAAGGUGGGUUCCACAUAUAUUCUUUCUUUCUUUCCUUCACCUUUUUGGAGAGUUCCAAACAAUGGAAAAUCUUUCUUUCCCCAACCUUUCUCUCCUCCUCACUAUUUUUCCCUUGAAAUAAACAUAUUAAAAAUCAUUAUUAUAUAUAUAUUUCAAAAUACACUUAAGUUUAUAACGCGAAACGUAUCCUUACAUGUUUUAAGUUCAACAUUUGUAAAUUAGUAAUUUGUGUGAGGGAAAGUGAACAAGUUAUUUAUUUAUUUAUAUUUUAACAAAUUGGUUCGUUUUUCCAUCUAACUUUAAAAAUAAAAAAAAUGUUUACAUGACCAUUAAACAUUGAAGUGGAAGGUUCAAAAAGUGUUUAUGACAACAAACACGAUUUACAAAUAUUUUUAUCUUAUUGUUUUACCAAUUUAAUUCAAAUUAUACCAGAUAAAUAUUUCAUCAACAUUAAAAAUCAAAUAAUUUAUCAAUUUUGUUUCAAACCAAUACUAAAUAAUACACAUAUAAACCAUAAUUUUGAGAAUUGUGAUCUUAGACCUACCAAGUUAGUAAUAAACGUCCACAUAUGUUUUUUAUGACUAAAAGACUAGUUAUACAUUUUUACCGACAUAAAUGACAAUUUGAAACUAAAAAAUAAAAUGACUAAUCCGAUACAAACAUUAAACUUAAAAACAAGAUGAUGAAUUUAGCUUAAAUUAUUUUACAACUCUCAUUUUUUAAUGCAAAGAGCAUAUUAACUAUUAGCUUUUGAUACUAAAUCUCAACAUCAAAUUCGAUAGCAAAUUAGGUACAUCUCUUACAAUUUGUUAAUAAUCGAGACGAAAUGGAGUAUAUCAAUUACGAUAAAAUAUGAUCCACAAAACAAUAUACUUGUGAAAAAUCCUAUAAUUAAACAAAAACUAGAUAAAAUAUUUUAUGAACGAAAAUGUUAAUAAUACCCAUGAGAAGAGCUUAUUCAUAUCCAGUAUAAUACAUUUGAGAUGCUAAAAUUGUUUAUCUUAAUCAAAUUUCUCAUCAAGUUAUAACUCUUCUAUGUUAAUAUCCAAAUGAUAUCAAUGUAAACACAAUGCAACAGAUUAUAACUGUGUAGACAUUACAAAUUAGUCACUCUUCAACAAAAUUAACUUGAACCAUAGAUGUGCAUUCACUCAUGAAUAGAGAAAUCAAUAACAUCAAAUAUUAUAACUCUAAGCUACUUGGCAGAAACUUGAAUUAUUGCUCAAGUGUCCUAGGGUUUUACAUAUGAUAAUCUGAUCACAUUUGACAAAAACCCGACUCGCAAUUAAGUUACACUUAAAUUCUAAAAUUCAAGAAUUUUAGGUUUCCUUCUGUUUCCCUUUCACUUUGCAUCAUUCCUACUUAGAAACCCAUGCAGCAACAAACAUCUACAAGGGACUUUAUGCUACCAUGAUAAAAUCUAACUUAGAUAAAGUACUAUUCAUAUCCUAUGCUCAUCCAAGAAUCCAAAGAUGCUUGGUUGAGACACUAUAAAGUGAAAAUACUGAGUAAUUGUAUUAUACCAAAGCAAAAACUAAAGAAGCAAAGGCAUAAAGAAAUACCACAAUUGUUAAGGACAAUUUAAAUGUACUUGUGCUUUGUACUAUAGUAGUAAUUGGGGAUUGGUACAAAGAUGAUGAAAUCACAUUAAAAUUUCCCACAUUCAUCGUCAUCCAAAACAAAUGAUGAACUUGAGAAUAAAGUGGGUUGAAUUGAUAACUAGAUUGAAUAAGUCAACUAGCGUAUUAAAUGGAAUAUCUUAGAAGCCAGUCAUGGGUCAAAUACCAACCAAAAUUAAAUUACAAGGAAUGUUUCAGCUACUCUUAUUAUUAGAUGUGAAAGUAAUUAGUUAAACUAAUUAAUUAGUUACCCUUUCUAGUUGUUCUUAUUGGCUAUAUAAGAACAACUAAUUAGUUUAACAAACUUUUACAUCUAAUACUUAUCCAUCAUUGAUGUCUAAUUAUAAUCUAAUUAGUUGAACAACUAAUUGAUCAAAAGAUGUAAGCUAUACGGGUUUCUAAGUAGGAAUGAUACAAAUACAAACUGAAGGCCAAAAUCACAAACUAAUAAUGACAACUAUAGUGUCCAAAUUUAACUAGAGUUAGAUUCCUACAAUACUGAAAAAUUAAGUUAACUGAGCUUAACAGCAUUAUCUACUUUAAAGUCUUAAUUGAUGUGAUUCAUUCAAUGGAAGGGGGGAUGAACCAACCCCACACCACCUUUCCCUCAACAAAGUCUAUCUCAUUGAUCAUCCUACUACAAACACAACACUCCUCAUGAAAAACUAUUCAAUUAAUGCACAACUGUCCAAAGGCAUACAUAAUUUUACUCAUUAAUCAAUCAAGCAUUGAAUAUAUAGGCAUAUAUAUAACACAGCUACGCAAUAGAAUCAAACAAACAUAUAUGCUUACCAUAAAAUCCUGAUUAAUAUAGAAGGCUGCAAAGAAUCAUAGUUAAACUAAUCCAAUAAAAAACAGAUAAUCAGAUAGACAGAUCAAGAGAAACAAAAUUAUCUAAACAUAAUUAACAUCUAAUUCUGCAAGGUUUCUUAGAAACAGCAAACAAAUGAACAAAACAAACAAUCCCUAACCUUGCUAUAUAUAUUCUUACAACAAAAGCAGUCAGAAGUAGAACAUACUGCACACAAGUACUAGCUUAGUCAGUAAUUAAGAUUAAGAUUAAAACAUGAUUAAUUAACAAGGUUCCUAGCUAACUCUUUCAGAAAGAAGGAGGAGGACGAGGAGGUGGAGGACCCCAAAACACAUCAUGAGGCAUUUGAGUACCAUUAUGCAACAAAUUUGGAGGCAAAUUAUACAUAGGCAUUGAAACCUGUUGUAGUUGUUGAUGAUGCUCACCCAAUUCCAAACCUUGAGAAGAAGUACUAGUAACUGCAGCUGCAACAGUUGCUGAAUCCACACCAGAUUGUUGAACUUGAACUUGCAUUUCCUCUUGAUCACCACCACCUUGUUCAUCCUCCAAGGGCAAUCUCUCAUAGGUAGCAUUAGCAAAAGUAGCAGCUAUAACCAUAACAGGUCCAGAAGCAACCAAAGGACCUGCAACAGAACCACCAACAACCUGCCCCUGACCACCAGCUAAAUAAACAGUUAAUCCAGUCGCUCCAGCCGGAGAAGGCGGAGGUAGAAAAGCUCCCGAAAGUGAAAGUAUCUCGAAUCUUCCAUGAAGAGUAAUAACACCACCAGGAGCAGCCGGCUGUCUAAGGGUUACAUUAGCUACAAUGCCACUCCCACUCAAAACCGACACACCGCGGUGACGGCGGUUAGCAAAGGUGGCAAUACUCUCCGCCACAUCACUACCACUGCUGAUUUCCAAGACAUGGCUUCUUAGCGCAUUUGGGGAUUCUUUGGUUAUAACAAUGGGUGGUUUGGGUUUGUUUUUGGAUCCUGGUGGUCUCCCACGUGGCCUCCGACCACCACUGCUACUGCCUGGCUCAGAUGGGUUUUGUUCUUCAUUGUUGUUGUCUUCCUCUUCAUUAUUGUUGUUGUUGCUGUUGCUGCUGUUUGUUGGAGUUGAGUUCGCGUUGUUGUUGUUGUUUUCCAUCAACUCUUGCUCUCUUUUCAGAUGUUGAAGUGAUGAUGGUGAUGAAGGCAUUGAUUCUCUAUGACCCAUAGCCACAUUUCCAGUCCACCAACGAUUUGCCAUAAUCUUCUUUGAUUUGGAAGAAUGAAAGAAAAUCUUCAAGUUCAGAGUUGAGAGAGAGAGAAAGAGAAAGAAAGAGAUAUAGCUUUGAAAAGAAGCUGAGAUAUAUCAACUUUGUUUGAAUCUAAAGACUCAGAUCUAUCUCUGCAGCAGAAACCUUGAAAACCAAAACCUUAUCUUAUUAUCUCAAAAGAAAAUAAAAGAAUCUAUCAAGUUUCAAGUACAUGUUUUAUUUUUGUUUUUUUGCAUGUAAACCCUAACCACAUAAAUAAAAUCAAACAAGUCACAUCCACCUAAUUAUAUAACAAAAAAUAAAAUGGUGGAUGAAUAUAUAACAAAAGGAGAGAACAAAAGAGAAGUAGAAGUAGAAGUAGAAGAAACCGUGUUGAAGAAGUACAAGAAGAAAAAAGGGAGUAAGUAACCCUUGAACUAGAAGAGUCUCAGGUUUUGUGGCAUUUGAAUCAGAAAAGGUGUUGUAGUGUAACCUGGGGAAAGGAAAGAUUGUGAUAAUAUGCGUUUGUAGUACCUCAAUCUAUGCCACUAAAAGGGGUCAGAUGAUAGAUUAAUUAGUACAGUUACAACAGUACUGUAGUAGUACCUUACCUCUCUCUAGUGAGAGGGACCCUCAAAGUUUCUAUAUCUGUCUGGGUAUACGUGAAGUGUGUUUCAGUUUCAAAAGAAAAGAUGAUAACAUAACACCGUCCUUUGAACUUGCCUUUAUCUAUAUUUGUUAGUGGUUUUGUGUGAAGUGAAGGGUGGUUUUUGGUUGUCUCCCUGGUAAGCGGUUAUAGAGUUGUGUUCAAAGUUUUCAACUUCCUAAGUAAGCAGAAACACAUCCACUUGGUGUUGUUGUGUCACCUACUCGUGACCCUUCUUCGUUCAAAACAAGAUUAGUAGAAAAGAUUGCGCAACUUGCGCAAGACACUUUGUUGUGUGUACUCCAUAAUUAUGAUGAUGCAAGGAAAAUUAUGUGUUCAAGAGUCAUGGUUAACCAACUUUUAAUUAUGAUAGAUAGAUCUACUAUGUUUAUUUUGUUAUGUACUCCCUCUGUUUGAAAAUAUACCUCGUUUAAAGUUUUUACGUACAUAUUAAAAAAUGUAUUGAUUAAAAGAAAAAGAGAUGUUAUUUUACCAAAUUAUUCAAUCAACUAUUGGUUUUGUCGUUUAAAAAGAUUAUGGAUGCAAUUUGUUAUCUGUUUGACUUCUAUUUCUACAUAUUUCCUCCAUCUCAAAAUAAUAUUCUCCUCGUCCUAUAUUAUGUGACACUAUUGACUCAGCCACAUAUAUCAAUGUACAAUUUUGAUCUUAAAUAUCUCUAAUAAUCUAUUAGAAAAGAGGCUUAAUUACAUUUUUGGUCAUCUAACUAUUUAAUUGGUAACGGUUUGGUUCUCUAACUAAAAAAAUAUUUAUUUUGGUCCUCUAACUUUAUCACCGUUACCAUAUUUCGUCCUUUCUGAUAAAUUAAAUCAAAUUCUGUUAAGUGUGUGCAUAGAUGGCAAUUAACUUCAUGCUUCAACUUUCCAUUUUUCUUCUUUUGCCUUGCAAUCUUCAUAUCACGUUCAUCAACAUCAUCACAUUUAUCAUCAUCAUCAACAACAAAUUGAAAAUAGUUACAACCACUAUCAUUUCGAUUCCUCCAAUUCCUACAACCCCAAAACUUCUUCCCACAGUUAGGGUUUGUAAUUUCAGUAACAGUCUUCAGAACUACAAACUCACUACACUGACAUUUUCGAAUUUGUCUCCUAAACCCAGAACUUACAGAUCCGGACAUGGCCCUUCCACCUUCGUUGUUGUUUCUUCUGUUAAAUCGAGAUCCUGCACUAGACAUGGUCAAGUGACGAAAAUGAACAAGAAGAGAUUCGAAUUAAAGGAAGAUGAAGAAGGACUUUGAAUUGGAGGAAGAUGAAGAUGGAACCCUAAUUUUUGGGGGAAAAAGUAACAAUAAGAACAAACCACCAAAAACCCACAAGAUUAUAUAGUGCUGACUCAUAUAUUGUCAAAUCAGCCCUUAAUUGCCAUCUAUGCACACACUUAACAGAAUUUGAUUUAAUUUAACUGGAAGGACGAAAUAUGGUAACGGUGAUAAAGUUAGAGGACCAAAAUAAAUCAUUUUUUAGUUAGAGGACCAAACUGUUACCAAUUAAAUAGUUAGAGGACCAAAAAGAUAAUUAAGCCUAGAAAAAAUUAUGAAAAUUUGAUGUUUUGAAAAUAUUAAUCGAAACAAAUUCAACAUCUUAUAUGUUAUAAUUUAUCUUUGUAUAUUAUUAGAAAAAUAUGAUCAAGGUAUGUUAUGUGAAUAGUACACGUUUUCAAAUUAGGUCAUUUAAAAUGAUAUGGAGUAUAUGCUGGAGUUAAGAUAGGUUUGUACAAAGUUUUUAAGGAAAUGAUUAAUUGUUUUAAUUUUAAUGUUAAAAUGAGUAUCAUUUACUAAAAUAAUCUUAUUAAUUGUAGUUAAUGGAAUAAUUAAGUUGGACGAAAUUCAAUAAAUAAUAGUAUGAUAAUAGAAAAAUAUAUAAAUGAUGCAUUUAUAUUUUAAAUAAUAAUUAUUUUGAGACAGAGAAAAAAUGUUAAAGAUACAAUUCUUUUGAGACCGAAGGAGUAAAAAAUUGAUUGAACAAAUUUUAAUUAAUGAACUUUAGAAGUUAUGGUUAAUGGACUUUAAACAAUGCUCUCUUUAAUAAGAUUGAUUUUUUUUAUUUAAAAAGAUUAAUGAUGCAAGAUGUUGUAUGAUUGUCAUCUUUUUUUAUAUAAAAAAAAUAAUCAUUAAACCAUUUUCAUAUGAUUAGGUAUGGCAAUGGGGCGGGGUGAGGACGAGUUUUAUCUUCCUCGUCCUCAUAUUCGAUUCUCAUAUAUUUAUCAGUUACCCUGCUCAUAUUCAACGUGGAUGAAAAAUUGAAUCACAUCGUCGUCCCCGCAUUGAAUAAUUUUUUUUAAAGAAAAAUUGAAGUUUUUUUGCAACCCCUAGAGGAAUGUUGUGAUGCAUUAUCUAGCAAUAUGUUCACUUUAACAUUUGUUAGAACGAAUGAUUUAAUUGCUCCUUUAAAUAUCAAUGAUAGUUUUUAUAACAUGACCAUUAUCAAACAAAAUAACAUGACAUAUCAACAUAAAGUAAUUUUCUACAUUCAGGACGGGUUUGAGUAUAGGUUCGAGGUGGAUAUCUGAUACUUGUUACAUAUCUCAUAUCCGUAUUUUUAAGUCGGGGAAAACUCAUAUCCAUUCCCAAACCCAGUCAAAACAGAGAAAACCUGUCAAAUUAAGUUUGAUUCGAGUGAAUAACUGCGGGUAUGAGUUUUGUUGUCAUGCCUAUAUAUGAUAGAUCCUCCCCAAGAACAAGUUCAAAUUCUAAUUAAAAGAAUCAAUGAUGAAUCAAAUUCUAGAUUACUACAUUUUUCAUUGGAAAACAUGCAAAUUUAAUUUCUAUUUUCACAUGUACUUUGCCAUGUCCUCACUUUUCAUGCUAGUUCAUUAAAAAAAUGUGUGACACACUGCUUUUAGGGUAAAAAUGAGGAUUAGAGCAAAAGUGCAAAAACAUGUGAAAAACAGGGGCCAAAACAUAUGAUUUUGAAAUGGAGAGAUACCGAUUUCGUAAGAAUACUACUAAUAUAGAGGAUCCAAAAUACAAUUAAACCUUUUAAAAGUUUUGAUUUAAUAGGGUUUUGUUGAUAUAGAAUCUAAAUCCCUAUUUUUAAUUUUAAAGAUAACAAACUAAUUAAAUUAAACUUUAUUAAUUCUGAUUUUAAUUGUUAUAUAACUUGUGCUCUUGAGUAUCUUUUUUUUAAGUUAAAGGUAUAAAAGCAUUGUACAAUUAUCAAGGAAAGCACCAAGUUAUGAUGGAGAGAUUGAUCUCAAGUAUUGGUUUCAAAUAUGGAUUUAAUGUUCAAAUAAGGCCAAGCACGUACAGGGAAAUGGAAUGUUACAUUUGAGGAAGCAAUAAAUAUUUCAAGCAUAAAUUAUAUCAUGACAAGGGAAUAUUAUUUGAAGCUUACUACAAAUGAACAUAUGAACAAAAAGAACAUAUUUAAUGUCAUGUGCAAAAAUGGUUGGCAUGAGAAUGACCACUAUAUUUUCGACAACACAUCAAGAGUGUAAGACAAAUACAAAACUAUAAACCUUUGGAUAUUUACUUUAUGGUCACUUCACAACAUGACAAGAAAGCUACCUAGUACAAGAAAAGCCUUUUCUUUGGGCUCAAGUCUUAUGGUACAGCAACAAGUGAAAAGGAAAUGAGCUGUACAAAGCUCAUGUCUCACGUAGCAAGCAACAAAGUACAAAGGAAAGCCUCAGCAGAUUUAGAGAUCGAUCUCAACUUCGAAAGGAACAGUUUCAUCUCAAAGGCUCCCUUGAAACUUGCGCUGCAAGAAAGGAAGAAUUUAACAAGAGUUUUUCUCCUAUAAAUAGAAGACUUCAGCAAGAGAGAAAAACAACUUUUGAGAAAAAGAGAAAAGAUAAUAUUCAUUAAGAAUUUCUUUGUUUACAAAUCACUUAAGAACCAUAUCUUUGUUUUGAGCAAGCAGCUCUUUUGUGUAUUAAAUCUUUGAAGAAGUUUAAUACUUUUAAAUACUAUUGUAAAAGAAUCUGCAAGUGUGCAGAAAGGUUGUAGAAAUUCUUGCUCGUAACGGCAAGUGACUUGACCAAGUGAAGGUUGAAAGAAAGUGUUGUAAAGAUUAGAAAGAUCUAAGAAGAAAGAAGGAAUUGAGAUUAAGUCAUAACUCAAUUACCUAGUGGAAAAUCUCACAAGUAUUGUGGGGACUGGACUAACCCAAGUUGGGUGAACCAGGAUAACUUUUUUUGUGUGAUCCUUCUUCCUUAUCUAUUUUUUUAUUUGCACUAGUCACACACCUUCACUAUAUCUAUUUAAAAUUCCAUUUAAAUCACUAACGUUUUUGUUGAGAAUUUUUAAUAGGUAAUUUUUAUUACAUCACAAUUCAAACCCCCUUUUCUUGUGAUAUUAUUUACUUCAGGUUUUAUUUUUCUUCAUUUUAUAUUUUCUUUUCAAAGCAAUGCUUUAACUAAAUAAAAAGCUAAUUAAAUUUUUUAAUGCAUAUAUGUAUUUUAAUUAUAUUUUUUAAAGCAUAUAUGUAUUUAAGUAUUUUUAGUGCACUCGAUCAGCUGCAAUCAAUUGGACAAUUCAAAUUUUAAAACAAUUUUUUAAUUUAAAAUUAUUACGUUCAAAUCCAAAUCGUCUUAUCUUUAUUGGAUGACUGCAUGUAAUCGUCGACUUGUGACUCCACACAAGUUUUAUACUUAUUUUUAGUGUGCGUAGGGGCGGAUCCAUGAUUUUUUUUUUGUGUGGUUAAAAUAAUAGUCAAAAAAUUUAUCCAAUGAAAUAAAAGACAAUGUAUUAUUUAACCUAAAAUAACAGUUUUAAUAAUUUUAUUUGGGCUAGUUUUAUUAGUUAAAGCCAAUUUGUAACUCUAACAAAGUAACGAUUGCUAAUUGAAACAAUAAAAAAAAUGUUAAUUGAAACAAAAUGAGUUAAAGCCAACUUUCUCUAACAUUCACCUUAAGAUGUAUUUAACAACUUUUUAGUUAUAUCUUCGGUAAAACGCACCUUAAUAAAAAUUAAUGGGUGUAUUCAAACAAACCCCAUAUAUACAUAUAUAUGGAUGAAUUCACCAUAAAACGUGGUGUGGAUAAAGAGAGUAUGUAUGUGAGAAAAAGAAUGAGAUUAAAUCAAUCGAUGAGUUAAAAUAUAAAUAGAGAGGACUUUUAUAGUGAAUGACGAUAUUGACUUUUAAGUUAUUGAAAUCUAUUUAAGCUAAAAAUAAAAAUCGUAACACAUUUUAAAUUUUAAUUGUCUGUUUGACCAAGUAGUAGUAUAUAUAUUAGUGUCUUGGUUGGUCACUUUGAACUAUGUUCUUGCACCACCGUAGCUCGAGCACUGCGUGGGGCUCCAUAGGGAAAAUUGCAUUGCACUGCGUGGGGCUCCAUAGAGAUGUGCUUUCGAAGGUAUUGCAAAGGAGAUUGUUCUCCGACGAGGGGAAAGAGACAUGCAAAGCGAUUAGCACCUCGAUGUUCAAGUUAGUGAGAGAAAUGAGGAGGAAAGUGUGCAAAAUGUGGUCAAAUUAUAAUCAUACAUUGGGUGUGAUGUUGGGUCACACUUUUAUAAUUGAAGACGUUGUAACCUUCUCCUAAAAACCCAACGCAAAGUGCGAUAAGCCAUUAGACAUUGGUCUGACGGCUACGGUGUAACCAAGAGUGCUCUUACGCGGCGAGGCGUAUAGGAGAUCCAUUGUGGUGUCCUGAUAUGUGAAGAUUUUAAGUUAAUAGACCUGUUAAUAUUAAGUCGGCGAUACAAACUUUUGCCCAAUCCAAAACAAUUAUUAAUUUAAAAAAGUAGAGAAACCAGAACCAAUACCACAUCAAAUCUUAAGAAAAAUCAAUCAUCAUCUUUCUUCUCAAUUUUAUCAUAGUGAAGAAAAAAUAUAUAAAUUAAUAAAAAUGUUAAAAAAUAAUGAGAAAAUAAGAGUUAUCAAUUAAGUUUAGUAAAACAGAGAAAGUGUUACAAACAAAUACUCCCUUCAUUACUAAUUAUAAAAAAAUUGACUUUUUAAGUUCAUUCAAUAAUAAUAUAUAUGGUUCAUAAUAUAGACCACAUACAUCAUUAUUAAUCGAAUGAACUUAACAAAUAAAAUUUCUUUAUAAUUAAAAUCGGAGGUAGUACAUGCAUAUCUCCCUACUCCAUAAGAGAAAAAAGUUGGGCGUGUAUGGAGCUGGAGUGGGGCAACGUGCUGGUUGUCACUGCAGUGGGACAUCACUGUCUGCAAACAAGGACAAAGGAGCGAGUGCCAAUGUCUGAAUUCCAGUCUCCAUUCUCCAGAACUUCACCAUUGACUACCCAUAAAAAUUAUGGAGAAUUAUUUCAAUGCUUAUUUAAUUUUAAAAACUGACCCGUUGUAUACUUUCUCCUCUGUUUUUUUUUGUUGGUGGAAUUAGAAUAUACUUGCCCCAUUCUUAGCACGUGUCUUUGUAUGAACAAGAAAAUAUUUCUUAUUAAUAAAGAUAAUUUAUCUUUAAUUAAUGAUUUAUUUUAUAUUUUAUAAUACUUGUUCAUUAAUUUUAGCAGAGAGACAAUAAACAUUCUCGUAAUAUUCUAGCAUGACCAAAUUUUUAUGGAAGAUGUUAACAUGUGUCCUUAAGACACAAGUUAAGAAGCUAAAGAUAGAAUAUUUUUUUUGAAAAUUGUGUAUUCAACAUCAUAAAAAUUUACACUUUUAUGCUUUUAAUAUAAAAUUUAUUGUUUAUUUCCUUUUAUACCUCCUUAACUUGUCCUUAAAGUACAAGUUAACAUGACUAAAUUUUUAUUGGUCCUAAAUUGUACGAUUCAUUGAAGAAUAAAAUAUAAGAAAUGUUAACUAGUGCCCCCGGGACAUUGAGGUACUGAUUAAGGUCUUUAAAUGAUAAUUUAUCAUGAAAAUAUGUGUAAUCAAUGCAUCAAAAAUCAAACUCUUUGAUUUUUUUAUAACAUAAUUUCUUCUUUUAGAAUCCUUAAAGAGUAUCUCUGAGACACUCGUUAACAAGAUCCAUAAAGUAUUUAUGAAUUUUGAUUUUAUAGGAAAACCUCUCCCUUAUUAAUUAUUGUCAGGACCGUAAAUCUCUUUUUAGCUAUGGUCAAGACCAAGCUGUCUCCUUCUCGAAAAAAAAGGACCAAGCUGUCUCUUUUAAUUAUUGUUAGGGAUCUGAUUAUCCAUUUUUAAAAAAAUCGUAAUAAACUAAAACAAAUUUUUUGACGAUAAUUUAAGUUGAUAAUUUUUUUCACAGGGAGCAAAUUAAAUUUCUCCCUUUUCUUCUUUAUAUAUUCACUCUUUAUUAUUAUAUUAAACUACUUUUUUUUUUUACAAAGUGAUUAUAUUAAACUGCUAAAUUAGCAUAAAAUCUAAUUCUAACUAUAUUAUAUGUAUGCCCUAAAAAAAACUUUAUUAUAUGUAUGAAAUUAAAAACAGAUCAGCAACACGUGGUUGAUCCAAGCAUAUGGCUAACCCCAAGACUCAAGCUCUACUAAAGUAAAGGAUUUAGGUGUCAAAAAUAAUUUACUUACAAAGAGAAAAUGCCUUCAAGGAAAACAAUUUAUGUUACUAUUAAUUAUAAGAACAUCCGCAACUGUCUUAAAACUAUUUGAUUGACAAGUAAUUGAAUUAUUCGGAAGGAAUGCAACUUUAGGAUCUUUCAAAAUAAAGAAUCAACUAUCAUUGAAAUUGUUGACAAGGUGAAAUUUUAUUCAUAAUGGUGGCUUAAGGUUUAUAAAUCUCAUACUUUUGUCGAUUUUCAUGUCUGGUGGACUAAACCAUUUGUCUGUCUAGGUUACUCCAUCUUGCAGUAAUUUAGUUGCAACUGUUUUUGUUUUUUUGUUUUGCAUUUUGUCACACCAUGUGUUUAACUUAUCGUUUUUUUCUCCGAUAUUUAUUUAAUUAUGCCUUUGGCUUCUUAAAAAUACUAUUAAUUAUAUUCCAGUUUCAUUUCAAGGAUAUACAUUGAAAUAAUAUCUACGUUCUCUCAUAAGACCAAGUCCAAUGGUGUGAAAAUGCUAUGUUGAAAGCAACAUUAAACAUGUGAAAUGCUUCAAUGGUGGUGUUGAAGGAUGAUGUGGAAGAAAGAGAGGUUGAAUGGUUUCAACAUUGUUUAAUCUGACCACGUAGGGACACGUGGCAAGCCGAGAAUGGCCAGAACGGCGCGUAUAGCACACGCGCGAGCAGCGCGUGAUGCUCAGAAAGUGGAGAGAGAAACAAAUUUUUGGAUAAGUAGGGACACGUUUUCAGUUCUGAUUGGUUGUCCAGAUUCUUAUCAUUUUAAUAAUUGGACCUCAAUUAUUUCUUUUAAAAUUAAUUUUUUUUUUAAAAAUACCAAAAUUCAUGAUUUUUUUUUCUCUAUAAAUAGAGAUUUGAUUCAUUUGAUUUGGACACAGAAAAAAAAAACAAGUUUUUCACUAUCUUAAUCUUAUUAUUAUUUUUCUAUUAGCAAACUAAGUGAAGUUUUAAUCUUAUUUUUAAUGAAAUGGAUCCCAAUAAUAACCAUUUCAACACCCAAAAUUAUUCUAAUUACCCAUUUAACUACGAAAAUUCCAACAAUUUUUCAACCAACGUCCUCAAAACAUACUUAAUUUUGGUUUUACACCAAAUUUCAACCAGUCAUACUCUAUUCCAAACUUUCAUCCAUAUUAUGGAUCUAUGAUGAGAUAUUCAUCUCAAACACCCUCGUUUUAUGGUUAUAUGCCAAUGGAGAAUGAAAAUUUUCUCAGUGUUGGUGCAUCUCAAUUUCCUGAAUUUUCAACACAAAUAACUCCUGGUGGCAUGGCAGUUGCUAAUGAAGUCACUCCAAAUCCAGAAGAUUCAACUCCUAAGAGCAGGAAAAGUAAGGAACCAGCAUGGAACACUGAACAAAAUUUGGUGUUAAUUAGUGUAUGGAUUAAGUUUGGAACAAGCAAUGUUGUCGGGAGAAGCUAGAGGGGUGAAAUAUAUUGGGGUGAAAUUGCUGAGUAUUGUAAUGAGUAUGGCUCAUUUGAUUCUCCGCGGGAUCUAGUUGCAUGCCGAAAUCAUUUUAAUUAUAUAAGCAAAGUAAUAAAUAAAUGGAUUGGUGCUUAUGAUGCCGCUAAGCGUUUGCAAGGAAGUGGUUGGUCGGAAGAUGAUAUUUUGGCAAAAGUGCAGGAAUUAUUUGCAUGUGGGAAGAAUGUUCAAUUUACUUUAAAGGAAGAAUGGCACGCUCUCCGUGAUCAACCACAUUAUGGUAGUCAAAUGGGAGGAAAUGUUGGGUCAGGAAGUAGUGGAUCUAAGAGAUCUCACGAUGAUUCUGUAGGAUCUAGUGCUCGUCCAAUGGGUAGGGAGGCAGCUAAAAAAGAGGUAAAAAGAAAAGCAAGAACGAUGCCUUGGAGGAGGUGGGAAAGGAGUGGGUUCAAUUCAAAGAAAUCAAGGUGCAAGAGAUUGAACAAUUGGAAGGUAGUGCAUCUCGUACUAGAAAAUAUUUCAAUAGAGAUCAUGCAACGGCAAACCAAAGACUAAUUGACGACUACUUUGCCAAUGAGCCUACAUAUGACGAUGCAAUGUUUCGUCAUCGGUACCUGAUGCAAAAACACGUUUUCCUUCGAAUCAUUGGAGACCUUUCAAGUAGUGAUAACUACUUCACCCAGCGAGUUGAUGCAGCCAAUAAAGAAGGUAUAUCACUGUUAGCAAAAUGUACCACAACAAUGUGAAUGUUAGCAUAUGGUGUGGCAGCAGAUGCGGUCGAUGACUACAUCAAAAUAGGAAGUAGUACAAAUUGGAGUGCCUACUUAGAUUCUGCAAAGGAAUCAUAUGAUUGUAUGAGCAAGUGUACUUGAGAGCACCAACCCAAGAUGACCUGUGAUGACAGUCCGUCAUUCGUUAUUUUAGAGUCUUUUUAUAUGUAUUUUGAUCACAAAUUGGAGUUUACAAGGAAACUUAUGCAGCAAAAGAGUAGAAAACUGAAGAAAAUACAAAGAAGAGAAUCGUGUCACGAUUUGGUAAAAACGUGACACGAUUUUCGAAGACCAAAAUCAAGCUUCGACAUUGAAGAAAUCGUGUCACGAUGGCAUAAUCGUGGCACGAUCUGAGGAAACCCUAAUUCAGUGAUUUGCGAUUCAAGGAGAAUUGUGCCACGAUUUACUUAAAUCGUGGCACGAUUUUAGGCGGAAUUCUGUGCCUAUUUAAGCUGAAGUCUAUUCCAAAGACAAGGGUUACGAAUUGGAGAGAGCAAAGUGCGAUUUUGAGACCUAAAGACGGCUAGGAUGGUGAUUUCUUCAACCUUCUAUUAGUUCAUGUAUGUUUUGAUUCCACUAUUGAUUAUGCUAUUUGUAAAUUCAAUUAUGAGUAGCUAAAUCUCUUAGAGAUUAGGUGUGAGAUGAUUCUUUGUAACCCCUAAUUGAACCAUGUUGCUGUGAAACUCUAUUUACUGUGAAUGACAAUCUAGUUUUUAUUCAAUUCAAUUGUUCUUAAUGCUUUUUAUAUCCUGAUCAAAUAUAAAUAUGAUUUAGUGAGAAUGAAUGACUACUGACCAUAGCUUUCUACUUAGACAGAAUUGAAUUGUUAUAAUAAACAGGGUUAGUCUAGGAAUGGAUAAUCGUUUGUUAGUGAUAUUAGGUUAACGUGCUUAAACCUUCAAAGAUUAUUAGACCACCUAAGGAAUUAGGGGUUGUAAUUUGAGAAGAGGGUCCUAACUCAAGGGAUUGAUUAGAAUUAUUUUGUUAACUAUCGUGAAACUAGAAAAUCAUUCAUAAGAAUAGGUGCAGUAUACCAAUUAGGGAAACAUAGAUGAUUCGAAAGACCUGAUCUUAUCUCUCUCUUAUUCUUUCCAAAACUAUCUUUAUAUUCUGUUUAUUUAAUUUUAUGCAAACCAAAACUACUGUCUCAGGCAUUAAAAUAAUUUACACAUCCUAAAUAUUAACCUUAUUGCUAAAUUGAGAUUAACACAGUCCUCGUGGGAACGAUAUUUUUACUACUUCGAUAGUAUUUAGUGCACUUGCUAAAAUUAUCUAUCAACCUGCAAAGAAUACUGCAUGUUAGUGAAAUGCGGGGGUUCCCAGGGAUGAUCGGGAGUAUUGACUGCAUGCACUGGGAGUAGAAAAAUUGUCAUAAAGCAUGGGAAGGUCAAUUUACCAGGGGGGGAUAAGGGAACCACCACAGUUAUUGUUGAAGCAGUUGCAUCUCAUGAUCUAUAGAUCUGGCAUGCCUUUUUUGGAUGUCCAGGAACGUUGAACGAUAUAAAUGUUCUAGACCGGUCACCAAUGUUUGAUGAUGUGGAAUAGGGCAAGGCUCCAAGGUUGAAUUACUUUGUGAAUCAACGUCCCUAUAAUAUGACAUACUAUGUAGCUGAUGGUAUCUACCCUUCUUAUCCAACUUUUGUCAAAUCAAUUAGAUUUUCUCAAAGUGAACCCGAUAAGUUAUUUGCAAAACAUCAGGAGGCAUGUCGGAAGGACAUCGAACGUGCUUUUGGAGUGCUUCAAGCUCGAUUUAAAAUCAUCUGUGAACCAGCUCGCUUGUGGGACAUAGCCGAUUUGGGUNCUCAAAGUGAACCCGAUAAGUUAUUUGCAAAACAUCAGGAGGCAUGUCGGAAGGACAUCGAACGUGCUUUUGGAGUGCUUCAAGCUCGAUUUAAAAUCAUCUGUGAACCAGCUCGCUUGUGGGACAUAGCCGAUUUGGGUAUCAUCAUGAGGUCAUGCAUCAUAUUGCAUAAUAUAAUUGUUGAGGAUGAACGAGAUACAUAUGCUCAACGUUGGACCGAUUUUGAGCAACCUGGGGGAAGUGGAUCUAGUACACCGCAACCAUGCUCGACCGAGGUGUUACCAACUUUUGCAAAUCAUGUGCGUGCUAGAUCCGAGUUGCGUGAUCCAGAUGUUCAUCACGAAUUGCAAGCAGACCUAGUGAAGCACAUAUGGACAAAGUUUGGAAUGUAUCGUGAUUGAAGAUGAUUUCUAUCGUACUAAAUAAAUUACUUGCGUGUUGUAUGCUUAGUUUGUUGUAUUGCAUUUUAAGUUAUUUGUGUGUCGCAUGCUUAGUUUGUUGUAUUGCAUUUUAAGUUAAGAAAAUAAAAAUAAAUUAUUUUGUAAAAUUUUGUUUUUCCAAAAAACCUAAAAGAUAAAUAGUUAAUUGUAUUAUUUUAAUUUAAUUAUAAUCGAUAAUUAUAAUCCAUAAUUUUAUGUAAUUAUAAAAACAAAAAUUAAAUAAAAAUAAGAAAUAAAAAGUGGUGGUGUAGGGUGUUAAUGAAAAACCAUUAGAGAGGGUAAAGUUGAAUGAGUAUAAGAGAGAGAAAAUGAUGUUGAGUGUUGAAAUUGAAAAAAUGAAUAUUGAAUGGUGUUGAAAGCAAAAACCAUUCGAGAUGGUCUAAAAAGUUAAUACUAUUUACGUGCAUACGUGGGUGGGGGAAGAAGUAACGAUGAUGCGUCCUUUUUUGUUGCGUGAUGCGUCCUUUUAUGCAUUGGAAUCCUUCUUCUUUUUUUGUACACUCCCUUUUAUGCAUUGGAAUCCUCCUUCUUUUUUUGUACAUUCACCUGCAAAACCUUCUUUCGUACCAACAACAUGUAAGCAGGAGGACACAUAUCAGGUGCAGUGGUGCUGAUGCUUCUUUUAUUCAAUAUUCAUAAAAUUUAAGUGUUGGUAUAUAGGAUCAUGAUAUGAGUUAGUGAUGAUACACGAUCCUUUUAAAGUGGAUAGGAUGUCGUGAUUGGAGUUCAAGCCUCGACAUGUGUGAAUUUACAAUGAGUAUUAUAUUUUUCUUUUAUCUAUAGGAAAAAGUGACAGUGAUAAAUAACUAAGAAAUGAAAAACUAGUAAUAUAAUUGAUUGAGUUCAAUGUUACUAAUAAUUUCCUUAAAAAAAUGUUAGUAAUAAUUGAUAAAUAACUCAUAGAUAAGAAAAAGACCCCCAUGGAGCUUAUAUAUGGACUCACAUUUUUAUGAGUAGGCCAAGUAUUUUCCCUGGUGCUAUUGAGGGUGAAGUUUUUUCUAGCACAAAAGUACUUCCCUCUUACUAUUAAUAAUUAAACCAAACAUCUUAAAUUUAAAAGAAAAGUAGAAAAAAGGGGUCGUCCCCGUGAACUUAACUCACUUAAUAAGGAAUAAUGCAUAUUAUAUACAGGGGCUGAGAUUCGAACCCCGGAUACCUCACUUAUUCACCUUUGAGGUAUUUCUCUAGUCGUUAGAUUACUUGACAAAAAAAAAGGGUCUGAUGCACUUGUUAAAGAAUUAAAUAUAAUAAAAUUAUCCCGUAUGCACUAGCUAAUUAACAUGACCUGGUUUAAAAUAAUCACUUCCUCUCCAAUCAAACCCACGAAUCAAAUCCAUGCUUCAGUAAAGCCAUUUUUCGAUAAAUUUAUAAAAGCAACAUUAUUAUAAUGAGAUAAGAUGGUAUGUCAAGUGACACAAAUGAUAUAUAUUUGAGUCUCUUAACCACUUAAUUCAUAGUUUGAUCUAUGGUUGUUGUGUAUAAAAAAUUUGUUGAUAAAUAUCGAUCCUUUAAAUAAAUAUCAGUUAAAUCGAAAGAUUAAUCUCUACAAUGUUGCAGAAAAAUAUUUUAUUCUAAACAAACAACCGAAGUCUUCAUUACUCAUAAUGUCGUGCCUAAAAUUCCAAUGAUUAAAUUCUCAAAUUGCACGUGAGAAUACUUUAUUUAAAAAAAAUAACAAAGUCUUCAUUACUCAUAUUGUCGUGGCUAAAAUUCUAACAUGAUCUCAAAAGUUUUUUUUUUGGGAAACAUGAUCUCAAAAGUUAGAUAUAGCAAAACCAAAGUCUUAACUACUCCGAAGAUUGAAAGUUAACUCCACAAAUAUCGUUAUCUAUUCAUAGAAAUGGAAAUUCGAAGAAGGAGGGCACAAUUAGAAAAUUCGAUCGAACGGCAAUAGCAGUUGAACAGUUUUUUUAUAAAAAAAUUAUUGGUUAAACUUUACUCAUGGAUUAGCAAGACUCAUUUCCUCUAAGAACCUACGAGUUAAAAUUGAAGAAAACAUUCAUCGAUUUUGAUUCUCUAAGAACACUAUAAGAUUUGGUAGGAACGAUUUUAUUGGUUGAAUGUACAAUUUGAACUUUGAAAUUAGAACAAACUGUUUCUUUUUUGACUGAAAAACAAAAGAAUUAUCAAGCAACUUGAGCAGUUGAGCUUGUGCAUUUUACAUAGCGUGGUGGAUAAACCGAUUUGUCUAAUUACUAUCAACUAGACUCUAACCCGUGCGAUGCACGGGUUUUGUAGAGUUUCAUAUAUAAAAUAUCAAAUUGGCUAUAUUAUUACUUGUAGAGUUACAUUUAAACUCAGAAACAUUCAAAGUAAGUGACAAUUGAAAGUGAUCGACAUACACAAUCUCAAAGAAGCAAAUUAACAACAUUUAGUUUGCAUCAAUAAAAAUGAAUAUGGAAUCAAAGUCAUUACUUUGCCAAAACAAAGUAAUGUUAUAGUCUACUGUAGUGAUUUUUGCAAAUAAAAAGUCAGAAUAAACAACUUCAAGUAUAUAAUAUAAGAGAAACAAAGAGGUCGACAAAAUUACAGAGAAAAACGAAGUUUCUAAUGAUAAAAUUAUCAUCUAGAUCAAUCAAAUUAUCUCCAAUUUUAAAGAUGCAACUUUAAUAUCGUAAAACGUAGUAAACGUACACAAAAAAAAAUGAAAAAGAACUACUACCAAUAAAGGUACCGCUAAUAAUAAAAAAUAACUGCUAUUAGAGAGGAAACCGCUAAGGCGGUUGGGGCUUUAAAAAAAUGUUUUAGUCAUGUAUUUCAUUUUUGGAAGCAACAAUAUUGCAACAAAAAUAGAAGUAGCAUAGUGGUUAUAGUUGUAGAGUGUAAGCAUAUGGUACCUGAUUCAAUUCCUUUCAAACUCUUUUUUUCAUAAAAGUUAUUCAGAUCCACCAAAAAAGGCGGGAUUAAUUAGGGCAAACUUAUCAGAGCUGUUUAACAUUUAUAUAUAUAUAUAUUAUAAGAUUAAGAUUGGAAACCGGAGUUGAAAACCACUAGAGUAUUUCUUGCCGUAUAUUAUAAGAUUAAGAUUGGAAACCGGAGUUGAAAACCACUAGAGUAUUUCUUGCCGCCACGCCAUACUAUCAAGAUAAUAAUGGCGUAUUUUUUUUAAUUCGGUAUCCGAUCCAAGGACCGACUAAUCUGAGGGACCAAUCCCAUCGCCCACUUGCGAAGGCACCGUUCUAAGCCAGCCGAAGCAAAGCUCUGUAUAGACUUGCCCACUGAAAUUAACAUCAGAGAUAGUCGAACGUGAGACCUUGAGAGAAGCACACUUAAAAAUGUCAAGCCAACCACCAAGUCAACCCCAAAUGGGUUAUGAUGACGUAUUGUUAGUGUAUACUUCACAAUUAUUUUACACAUACUACUAACGAUAGGUUGUUGUAUUUCAAUUAAUAAAAAUGAAAACUCUAUGUCUACCAAAAAAAAAAAAAUGAAAACUCUAUCAUAUUAAUUAAUUGAGGUGACAUCACAUUAUUGGAUAUAUAUGUAAAGUAACUUUACACCGUUAGUGUAUAGUAACAAAAUAAUUAUUUUAAAAAAAUGAAUGGGAUCUUUAUUUCAUUUGAUUUGGUUUUAAUGUGUCUCGGUUUUAUGGAAAGAACGGAAUGAUAGGUUAUUUCAGAAUCGUCAAAGUUCUAUACCACUAUUGUUAGAUAAAGUAAAAUCAAAUACCUUGUGGUGGUUGAAAGCCAGCAACAUAGUCUUUAUUUUUGGUACACAUAGUUGGUGGUCGAGCCCGCUUCUAUGUAUGUGCAUUGACUAUCUUUGAUGUAAUUUUGACAGGGUUGUAAUCUUUUUGUGAUUGUUUUGGCACGUCUUGUGCUUCAACAAUUACAAUGUUCAUAGUAAUAUAUUCCAUUUUUGUUUCUUAAAAAAAAUAAAAUUAAUGGUUUAUUUUUAAGGUUUUAUUUUCAUAUACCGUCGUGUAUUGUUAGAAUGUCAGCACAUAUGAUAUCCAAUCAUGUUCAUGUACAUGACUCUAGAUGCGGUUAUGAACAAAAUAAAACGUUUUUACUAAUCAUUCAACUAUGAUAAAUUGAUAGUACGAAAAUCAUUUCGGUGACACUAUAAUAUGAAUUAAAUUCUUAUUUGUAUAGUUUAAAAACUAAGAAGUUAUAUAACAAUUUUUUUAAUGUAUGAUUUCAAAUGCUUAAAACUAUAAAAACAAGAAUUUAAUUCAUAUAUGCAGUGUCAAUUGAAAGAUGAUUUUUAUAUUACUCCUUCCGUUCUAAAAUAUAAGUUGUUUUGGAUCAAAUAUUUGUCUCAAAUCAUAAGUCGAUUUACAAUACAUACGAAGAAUUAUUGGUAUAUUUUUUUAUCAUACACUUAUCUAUUUAUUAAUGUCUCUUCUUUCAAUUUUUACUUUAUCUUUCAUAUACUAUUUAUUAAGGACAAUUUUGUAAAACAACUCAUAAUAUUUUUUUCCUAUAUAAAAUAAAAAAAUUAAUUACAUUUGUUAAUACGUGUGAAAUUGUAAAAACAUCUUAUUAUUAUUUAGGAAGGAAGGAGUAGUAUUUAUUUAUUUUUUAACCAUAAAAACUUGAGCUAAAUUGAACCAAAGAAAAACUACAUUCAUUUUCUCCGCGAGCAUAACUCAGUUGGUAUAAACAAUGCAUGAUAUAGGUAAGGGCCGAAAUUCGAAUCACACACACUCACUUCUCUAUAUUUAAAAUAUGUGAGCUUCAGUCAAUAAACUAUUUGACAAAAAUAAACAACGUCUAUCAAAACAUUGACCGAUCAACCAUAACAAAAAUAAGACGUAGUAUUUAAUUUCUUCUUAUCUCUCCACCAGCCCUUAUUCCUUUACACGCUUAUGGAUUUCAAAGCCAUCUCUUUGCAACUUUCAAUGCCAUCUUAUCCAACCUUGAGUAGUAGUGAUACGCUUAUCACAAGGUUCGAAAUCAACAAUUUCUCAAAUUUCUCACAAACUACUUGCUUGUUUUCCCCUUGUGAGCUGAGGGGCAUGGAUCCAAUUCCUUUUUGGUGACAACUGACUUGUUAAGUCCAAUAAAAAGACUCAUACUAGGUUUCUUAGGAGUGAUUUCCCCUCUCUUGUUCGUGUCGGUGGGUUUAGAAAUUCAAAAGCUGUGUUUGUGAGUUUGGAGAGAAAGGAAAGUGAGGGUUUGUGUUUGUGAGUUUGGAGGGAGAGGAAAGUGAGGGUUUGAAAAAAGAGGAAGGAAUAAGUGAAAGAAAUAGAGGAUAUUGGAGAUUUAUUUUUCUUUGAAAUAUAAAACCCUCCCCAUUUGGGGAAUUAAAAAUUGCACUGGAGAUUUUUCGGGGGUUUGAGAGGAUUUAUAUGAAUUCUUCAAAUAUAAUAUUUGUUAUUACAAUAUUUUUAAAAUUAAAAAUUAAAAAUAUAUUAAUCAUAAACAUUAGUUUAUCAUUCUCUAAAAAAAUAAUCUUUCAAAAAAUGUGAAAUUUAUCAAUUUCCCCCUAUAUUUCUCAUCCCCCAAGGCCCUUCAUUCCCUUCCUCUCUAAACUCACAAAAAAAGCCUAAUACAAGAGAGCGCGAAGAGAAGCUCAAAAAUUAUGUUAUAGAAUUCUAUAUAUUUUUUUUAAAUGAAGAGAAUUACUAGUUUUAAAGAUAAUUGUGCACAUUCUUUAAAAAAAAAGAAGAAGAAGAUAAUUGUGCAUAUACUUAUAUUUGUAUUAAUAUAAACUUUAAUACUUUUUUUUUUUUUUUAUCAACCAAUGUAUGUAUCUUUUAGGAUUAAUUAAGGAAACAAUCUCUAUAAAUAUUCAAAAAUUCGUUUUUAGUCCUUGUAAAAUAAAAUCACACAUUUUUAUUGUUUAAAAAGAUCUCUCAAUUUACCGUAUAAAUCAGAGGAGUCGUGAUAAGACAAAAUAGUGUAACAAUCUGGAUUUUAAAUUUGAUGCUUGACGAGAGCACCAACAAGAAAAUGUUGAAGUUGAAAUUGCAAAUUAAUCUACUCUCAUGAAAAACAAAUCAGUGUUUCUAUAUAACAUAUUACUUAAAUCAUAAUUUACUAUACUAUUUCCUUAAUAACUCGCACUCUAUAUUAGUAUGUUGGACAAAUGAGUAAAUAUCACUAAAAAUGUGACAAUCAUACGAUUUUUAUAACGGGGAUGCCAUGACCUUCCUAUGUCCGUAGGAAAGUCCGCCAUUGUCGAGGGGUCAUCACCCCCGAUAAAAGUUGAAUAAAUCUCAGUAGACAUAUGUUGUAUAUAGCAUAUUUUAAAUGUAUGUUAUUUUUUUGAUAAAUUUAAAAUGAUUGAGAAUCCAAUAUUAAACAAUCAAAGUAAAAAAACAUAGUAAGAGUGCACAGGAAAACCUAACCGCCACACUCUCUUCAUCCUUGUAAAAGAUGAGUGAUUUAGGACUAAUUUUUGUCUGAAAUCACCACUGAAAAUCAUUCUAGUUAUAUUCUUCUCCUAAAUUCCAAAUAUCAUAUGCAGUAUCAUCAGGUACAAGACCUUUAUCAAGCAUCUCAUCAUGCAUAAAUAGACCUUCAGAUGGUUAACAAGGAGACUUAGGAUCAGACAUUAUGGAAAUAGACUUCAUAUGAUCUGAGGCAGAAAUAGUCUCAUGGUGUACUAAUACUAUGGCCUUACAAUAAAAUAAGCUUUAUUUUGAGAGAAUUGUUAAAAUAAAAUUUUAAACCAACUUAUACAUAAGUCAUGAAUUAUUUUAUACACUUAAUAUUAAUCACUUCUUAUGAUCAUGCUGGGUUGAAAUCCAUUCGCAGUAAAUCCUCCAUCAACAGAAAUAACUUGUCCAGUGAUGUAAGAAGCAGCUGGCAGACAAAGGAAAGCCACCAAGGAAGACACUUCAUGUGUUUCUGCUAUCCGUUUUAUCGGUGUUCGAGAUAGUACUUCAUUCACAAACUCUUUGUUAGCAUAUAACUGUAAGAAAGGUAAACAGUUAGCAACAUAACAUUAUUAUUAUCAGAACAAACUUAACCAAUCUUCAUAAAGAAAAAAUGAUUAAAGGUGUGAAAAGAGUAUUACAUAAUCAUUAAGCGGUGUUUUUGUAUACCAAGGCGCGACGCAAUUGAUCCUUAUAUUGUCUUUUGCCCAUUCACAAGCAAGACCUUUGUUCAGCUGAUUGAUUGCAGCUGAAGAAAACAGCACGGUGGAUCGAAUCUCUUUAGUAAAUGUCGAAAUAGUUUGUAUCCGUCAAUCAUGUUUAAGCAAAUGAAGACAUAAUGAUACAUAUAGUUACCUUUACAUGCUGCGUAUAUCGUUCCAGAACCUACGUGUGUCAGAGAUGCAACAGAGGAAUUGAAUACAAUGCUUCCAUUUCCAGAUUCUUUAAGAAGAGGAUAUGUCAGUUGGCAUAGAUGGUAUGCAGAAUCCAAGUUAAUAGUCAUCAAUUUUGAAUAAUCUUCUGUUGUAUACUCAAUUGUUGGUUUCCUCACAUUUGUUCCAACAUUGUUUACCUAAGUUCAUUAAGAUUAUGAAAUGAGCACAAUUUAGUAUGAGCUGAAGUCAUGCGUGACAGUAAGGAAGUCUAGCAAUUUUUUUAAGCAUAUCCACUUUCAAGUUAAAAUGUGUGUGACAUGACAUGGAACAUGGUGCAGCAAAACACAGCACAAAUUUAGAAACACCGUUAGAAUCAUAAUGCAUUAGAUUGAUCAACAAUACACUCAAAAUGUGAAAUUACGAACUGACAAGGUUUGGGUAAUUCAACUCAUUUGAACCUAAUGAUAAAGAGUUGGAGAUCCUGGAUUCAAACUCGAAUAAAAGACUAAAUACUAAUCUAACAAUUAAGUACCAACAUUUGUCAAUAAAAAAAAUCUAAUAUAAAAUAAUGAGACUAGGAGAGUACGAUUGGAUAAAUAGUUUUACAAAUUGUUUUGGAAAAUAAAUGCUAAAAUAAUAUUUUAAUGAUUAAGAGUCUUUUUAUUUUUUUAUCAAGUAGCUAUUAGGCUAGAAAUUCACCUCUCAAGUGAAUAAGUGGAAAUCCGGGAUUAAAACUCAGGUAUAUGCAUAUAUAAUGCAAUGUUUCAAACAAUUGAGCUCAUGACACAAUUAAGAGUCUUCUAAAUGACGUGUUUACGCAUAUGACUGGACGUGUAUGAAAACAUAUUUUGAAACAAAAAUUUCCACUAAAUUUUCAACAAUCAUCUAUAAAUUUAUGAAGAGAAAAGUUAAAAAAAGAAUAUAUGUAUUGUAUGAGUCAGUUUCAUGAAUUAAAGGUUUAAAUAUGUAAAUCGUCUCUUUAAGUUCGCGUGUUUUUGGUUUUCGUCCUUGUAUCUUUUUUUGUUCUAAAACACACCCUGUAAGUUAUAAACAUUUUGCUUUUGGUCCCUGCCGUCAGCAUCUGUUACAAAAAUGCUUAUGUGUCUGACGGCAGCUGACAUGACGAUGUGUGACAUGGCAAGUGAGGCUUAUGUGUCAUUCCAAAUGUCCAGUGGCAAGGUUAUAGGGACUAAAUCCAAAAACGAAAACUUACAGAGGGAUGAAAUUCAAAAAAACGACUUAGCAAAACUUUAAAUUAAAAACUUUGUUUUCCUUUCUUCACCUUCUUCCUUCCUAUCUUCAUCAUCUUCAAUCUCACCUUCAUCAACAUUUAUCAAUCUUCAUCAUCUUCAAUCUCACCUUCAUCAACAUUUAUCAAUCUUCAUCAAACCCAGAAAACAUAAAUUAAACAUUCAAAUUCUUUAAUCAAAAUCUCAUUUUUCAUUUCCUCUUAUUAAACUCUUCUUUUAAACUCUUUGUUUUAAACAUAUUCUUUCUUAAUUCUCAAUUCUCCCCCUUCUUUCAAUUCCAUAUUCGAGACAUAACAUAAUUAAACAAAAGAAGGAAAAAAAACUUCAAUGAAGAAAAAUAUAUAUGAAGGAUGUUGAGAAGAAACCCAAAACCCAAAUCUUCUUCUUAUAAUUCCAAUUUUAAUUUCGUCAAUGUGGACUAGAAUAUAAGCUUAGAUAAAACAAACCUACGAAUAUGAUAGGAUUUUUUAUGGCUGGAAGAACGUUGCAAUGUUUCAAAUUAGCAUCUUUUGGAAAACUGGGCCUCUGAAAUUUGCUAGAAAAAAUGUGUUGCUCGAAAGAAAAAAAUGCAAUUGGUGUGUGGUUUAAUGUAAAAUUUUGAAGGUUAAUUUAAUUCAAGUUAUGUGUUGUUGUUGUUUGAAGAUUUAUGGGUACAAUUAAUUUUCGGUGAUUAUGAAUCGAUAGAAGGAAAUAGAAAAAGAACCAAAACAAGGAUCCUUAAAGUGUUUAUUAUACUAUAUAGUAUAUCUAAAGAAAAGAGAUGCAAUUUGGGUGUAGAUGUGGAGAUUUUAGGGUUUGAGUAUGAUUUAAAUUAGGAAUUGGGAAUACAUUGAAUCUGGUGAAUGAGAAGAUUUUGAUGGAAAUAGAAAAUAAGAUUUUGAUUAAAGAGUUUGAAUGUAUAAUUUAUGUUUUAUGGGUUUGAUGAAGAUUGAUGAAUGUUGAUGAAGGUGAGGUUGAAGAUGAUGAAGAAGAGGAAGGAAGAAGAUGAAGAAAGAAACACAAGAUUUUUAAUUUAAAAUUUUGUUAUUCCUGUUUUUGAAUUUCGUCCCUUUGUAAAUUUGCGUUUUUGGAUUUGGUCCCUGUAACUUUGCCAUUUGACAUCUGGAACGACACAUAAGCCUUGUUUGCCACAUCACACGUUGCCACGUCAGCUGUCGUUAGACACAUAAGCGUUUUUGUAACAAAUGAUGACGUUAGGGACCAAAAGCAUAAGGCUUAUAACUUACAUGAUCUGUUUUAGAACAAAAAAAGAUACAGGACGAAAACCAAAAACACGCGAACUUAAAGGAGUGAUUUACAUAUUUAAGCCUGAAUUAAAAGCUGAUUUAGACUAAUUUCAACAUCAACAUAACAUAGAAAUGCAAAACAAAAUAUAUAGAAAAGAAAAAACUCACAAGAAUGUUGAGCUUGCCGUUGAAAGCAGAAGCCACUUUUCUAACAAGCUCUUCUCUUUGAGAAGAAGAAGUCACAUCACAAACUGAUCCAUAAACAGAAAAACCUUUCUCCUUCCACUCAUUUAAGCAUUUAUUCAAUUCUUCUUCAUUCCUAGAACAAGUGUACACUAUAGCACCAAACUCAGCAAGUUCCUCUACGAUAGCAUGACCGAUCCCACGAGUUCCGCCGGUGACAAGAGCUGUGAAUCCCUUGAGGGACCAUCUUGAGCUUCUGCUUCUGCUACUGUUCUCUUGCUUUGCCAUUAUUGUUUUUGUUACCUUAUCUUGCUAACACUGAGAACGUGUAUGUGUUUUGUGGUUAUUUUAUAUAUCAAAUGAUUGAAGAUUAUUUAUAUUUGAAAAUUUUGUACAGUGUACUAUAUUUUUGGAAUAUUGUUUAUAAGUUGUCAAUGACUUCUGAGUAUACAACAACCAUUAUUGGUUGAAGUGUGUUCUAAUCUUAUACAAUAUGAAAAUCUUUAAAAUUUGAAUGUAGGAAAAAGUUGUAUUCCUAUUAUAAAUACAUAUGAACAAUAACAACAUAAAAUUUGAUAUCUCUUGCUAAACAUGAGAUAAGUUUUUUUUUUUUUUUUUUGACGGAAUGAGAUAAGUUAAAAAACUAAUAUUUACAUAAAUGUGUUACUCUGUAUAUAUACUAGUGUGUGACCCGUGACGUUGCACGGGCCGAUUAUUCGUUGGGAAUAUCAACAAUUAAUCGCUUAUCAUCGCAAAUUGAAAAUGAAACAAAAUAUCAAAUUUGUACACAACACUCGUCCGCAUUGAUUUAAUUUUUAAUGUUUUAAUUCAAAAUAAAUGAUAGAUGCAAACGUCAAUACGCAAUAGAGGAAAAAUCAAUAAGUUUUCAAUCAUUGACCAUUCACGAUCAAGGAUACUACGCAUACAGUGACACGAAUAUUACGUGUGAUGAUAGUUGGUUACUUAAUUACUAUCACAUAAAUGAAAAAAAAAAAUAUCAAAGUUAGUUACCUAUUAUGAAAAUAUAUCGAAACAAAUACGCUUAUGCAACAAUGUAUUAUUACGUACAAAUAAAUUAUUUAUUACAUUAUCGAGAAGUCCUAGCUCAAUUGGCAAAAAUAUCGAAAUUGUUAGGCUGGAUGUCAUGACCGGGGUUCGAACCCCGUUACCUCCACUUGUGUGUGAGAGUUUAUAAUGGCUUUGCCAUUUCGUCUAUCUACAAAAAAAAAAAAAAAAUUAUUAUAUUGAUGACCAGAAUAAUAUAUUCAUAUUUCCAUAUUGUAAAUGAUUGGCCACAACUACCGGAAUAUUUUACAAAAAACAAACAAAAAAACUACCACGACCAACAUUUGUCAACAAUCAUAAACCGGUCUAAUCUCUGAUGUAACAUUUUUUUUUAUUACCAUAAUAAACUUUUAAAGAUUAUUAAUACACACGUUUCUAAAAACGCAAACUAUUGCAGACCAAACAAUAUCACCACAACGGAAGAAAUACAAACAAAUCACAUUCACCUUCAAUUCCGCAAUCGAAAUCCAAGACAUAAAAAAAUAAAUAACGUACAAAGCAGUUAAAAAAGAGGACUACAUUAAUAUGUUAAGAAUAAACUAUUGCUCUGUACUGUCGGGUACCACAUAAAUUUUAGAAUAAGCGGUUAAAAUAAAGUAUUACAUUAGAAAGUUCUUGCAUAAAUUUGAUAGCGUCUAUCAUAUUUGCAAUGUUCGCACAGAUUAAUUUGAUAUGUCACUAUUCAAUAUACCUUUUUCAAUACAUAACCGUUUUAGGUGAAAUCCAAACUUUGCUUGUUAAGGUUGCAGAGUCAAGCUCUAACUAUUAAGCUGACAUCUCCCAAACAUAUCAGCAAGAGAAUGACUACGGUUCAGUCACUUACAACCUUAGAAAGUUUGAGGUCUAUUCUUGGGCCUAACUUGAUAUUUAACGAAGAAAUGUAAAGAAAAAAUUGUAACGGAUUCACCAUAAAAUCGAAAAAAAAUAAUAUAAAAGUGCAAUUUUAGGAGUCACAAAAAGACAGUUAUAUGUAUUUAAUUCUUAGUGUUCCUUCAAAAAAAAAAAUGUUUUAACUGAUUUUUAACAAAACGCUGAUCCCACUUAGUGGGAUAAGAUUUAGUUGUUGUUGUUGAACUGAUUGAUUUUUAACAAAAUCGAAGCAUAAUCCAUAUGAAUUCUCGAUUAAGAAGUUGAAAGAUAAAAUGGAACAUGCCGAGAUUUAAGGUUUAGUUUACGGGAACUUCUAUGGUGUUACUCUGUAUAUAUAUUAAAUGUGUUACUCUGUAUAUAUAUUAAAUAGUUAGACUUAAACCAUCCUAAAAAAAAAAAAGUUAAACUUACAUGGAUAUUUGUCAUCUUAUUUUGGCUAAUUGAUGAUUUUGGUUGGAAUGUUGGUUUAUUUAGAAGUCUAGAUAAUGUGAUUAUAGUAAUAUUGAUGGUCGUUCGAUUGGUAACCAUGGUAGAUCAAGCUUUGAGAGUUUUAUCGGGAACUCGGUUGGUGGUUGGAUCACUCGUUUUGUGGGGAGCUGUGAUCAUACUACUAAUAUUAAUGUCGAGUUGCAUGUUGUUUCGUAUGAGAUGCAAAUCACUUGAACCAUAGAUUUAGAAACAUCAUUUGCGAGUCAAAUUGUCAGACAAUAUUAACUUUUAUCAAGGACGGGUCAGGUCCGGUCUUACCUACUAAUCACUAUGCUCCUCUUAUUUAUAACAUCUAUUCUUCUAAUAUUGAAAAAUUAAUAAAAAUCUUAUAUAAUGAGAACCAAAAGUUAUUAGUGGGAAAAAGAGAUAAUGGGCAAAGACUAUGUUGUUUAGUUGCUGUCCAAAAGUUAUCUUGAGCUUGCAAUAUCUGUCCCCUUUUAUUUCUUUAACCCAAUAGAAUUCCUUUGUUCUGUGCCAAAUAAUAAAAUAAAAAUGAAAAUUGGGCUUCAUCCAUAAGAAUAGAACAUUUUUAGAAUUUGCAAUUGAUAUGAAAUGGUGCCUUUUCCCUAUAUUCCUUCCUAGAUAAGUCAUAGUUCAUAAAUAUAAUCAGUACUAACAUUUAGAAAACAAUGAUAAAUGGUAAAAUGAGAACCAGGCCCUUGUUUUUGACAGAUCCUCUAACUAGAAUUUGAUGAAAUGCCAUUGUGUUAUUUAAACAACCCAGAAAAUCCAUUUACGGUAAAUCCUCCGUCAACGGAAACAGUUUGUCCAGUGAUGUAGGAAGCAGCUGGCAGGCAAAGGAAAGUCACCAAGGCAGACACUUCAUGUGUUUCUGCUAUCCGUUUUAUCGGUGUUCGAGAUAAUACUUCAUCCACAAACUCUUUGUUAGCAAUAAACUGUAAGAAAGGUAAAGAAUUAUUAGCAACAUAAGUUAUGUACAUAACAUUGCCAUUUGGAUUAAUAGCUACAGAUGAUCACAGUGACAGUACAGUUACAGAUAUGUUUUUGAUUCAUCAACACUUAAAAGAGUUAGACUACUAAAACAUGAUUUUGGUCGCAUGAAUCAGAUUAACAUCAGAUGAGCCACAAUUGUGUGCCGUAUACAUAUGUGAAUCAGAGUAAUAUCAUAAGAGUAUCAAUGAAAUCACAAUGUAGCAAAAUAUAUAAAACUCUAUAUGAGCCAUCCAAAUAUGCAAGCAAUUUUGAUUUUCCUAUUCAAUAAUCUAAAGAAUUAUAGAAACUCAAAAGACUAAUAGACAUAUACUUCUACCUUAAAUUCUUAAUACUCCUACACUUUUAAUGAUCCUUAAAAAGGAGUAUGAUAUGAAAAAACAUCAAAAGCACGGAGUAUUUACGAUGAACACAAAAAUAGCAAAAUAGAAGAAUACUAUAUGCUCAUCAAACAAUGACUGAUCAGUCACUGUUUUUUCAAAUGAAAUCAUCACUGCAAACUUAACCAAUCUUCAUAUAGAAAAAGUGAUAAGGCCAGAGAAUGGAUAACUAAAGGUGUAAAAAGAGCAUUACCUGUUCCACAAGCGAUGUUUUUGUAUACCACGGUGCAACACAGUUGCUCCUUAUAUUGUCUUUUGCCCAUUCACAAGCAAGAUUCUUUGUUAGCUGAUUGAUCGCGGCUGAAGAAAGCAGCACGGUGAAUCUCUUCAGUAAAUGCCUUUCAAAUAGUCUGUAUCCAUUAAGUUUAAGCAAAAGAUGACAUAAUGAUACAUUAAGUUACCUUUACUCACUGCAUAGAUGCUUCCAGUACCUACACUUAUUAGAGAUGCAACAGAGGAAAUGAACACAAUGCUUCCAUUUCCAGAUUCUUUAAGAAGAGGAUAUGCUAGUUGACAUAGAUGGUAUGCAGAAUCCAAGUUAGUAGUCAUCACUUUUGAAUAAUCUUCGGCUGUAUACUCAAUUGUUGGCUUCCUCACAUUUGUACCAGCAUUGUUUACCUAAUAGCUCACAAGAUUAUGAUAUGAACAUAACUUUUAUUAUAAGCUGAAGUCAUGCAUACCAGAAACAAGACGAAAAGGUGAACAUUUCUGAGUAUAUUUGGAGCAUUCAUAAGAAAGUCUUAACUGACCAAAGUGCAUCAAAAGAUUGCAAUUUUUGUUAAGUAGGUAAUGUAACCACUUGAAAAUCAAGUGCGUGUAAGAUUGGCGAUGGACCAAUGCUCAAGGCCCUCGCUAGGUGGAGUAAGCAGGCUUAUGACAACUUUAGCAUAGUGACAAGCCCUCACUCAAAGCCUAAAGCGACACUCAUUUUGAAACGGAGGGAGUACUAUUUUUUUAUCACUAGGAAAAAAUCAUAAAACAUGUUGCAGCAAUACACAGAAUGAUGAAACACCGUUAGAGUUAUAAUGCAUUAGAUCGAUCUCCAAUACACUCAAAAAGUGAACUGAUAUUCCAACAUCAAACAACGAGGCUAUAAGAGUAAGUUUGGAUAUAUACUUAACAAAUUCUUAUAAAAAGCGAACGUUAAAAUAACCUUUAAGACAAAUGUACAAAUUAAAUAAUAAAUAAUGUAUUCUGUUGUGCAGGUUGAAAUUAAUUCUGACAUUUCAAUUUUUCGGAAAUUUUUCCAACUAAGUUUCCUACAAGCAUCAACGAAUUGAUUAAAAAAGGUUAAAAACUGAAUAUUUGUAUUAUAUGAGUAAUUUUCAUGAAUUCAAAGACUACAUUUAUGCAAAAUUCAACAUCAACAUAAUAUACAAAUGCAAAACAAAAUAUAUAGAAAAAGAAAAACUCACAAGUAUGUUGAGCUUGCCGUUGAAAGCAGAAGCAACUUGUCGAAUAAGCUCCUCUCUUUGAGAAGGAGAAGAAGCAUCACAAACCGAUCCAUAGACAGAAAAACCCUUCUCUUUCCACUCAUUUAAGCAUUUAUUCAGCUCUUCUUCAUUCCUAGAGCAAGUGAACACUGUGGCACCAAACUCAGCUAGUUCCUCCACCACAGCAUGACCGAUUCCACGAGUUCCACCAGUAACUAGAGCAGUAGUUCCCUUGAGAGACCAUCUUGAGCCUCUCAUACUGCUCUCCUGGUUCUCCAUUGUUGUUUUUGUGAGUUCUCUUACACGGAGAACGUGUUUGUUUUGUUGUUGUGAACCGGAUAUCCUUUGCGCACAAUUGCAGUGACUAAUCCCUCGAGUUGGGUGGGACUGCGAGGAGUGGUGAAACUCUCUCUCAAGAAAUUUAACACUGUAUUCGCAUGGCUGAAUUUGAAUCAAGGAUUUCUGGUUAAACUGAAAGAGAUCGUUUAUCAUCUCAUGCAAGUGUUCAUAUGCCAAACAACCUCGUUUAUUUAUAUUUGAAAAAACUGUGCAGUGUGCUGACUGUGGCCAAAACCUGAUUUGGGGAGUCAAAAAACAUUAUAUUGAUCUCCACCACAUGGGCCCAUUGUGGGGGUAUCUUUAGUUAACAAGAAACAGAAUAAUGAAGCAAUUCAUGAAAAACAAAAGACAACAAUGAAGCAUAUUUUUUUGUUUUAUUAUUCUUGAAUGUGACUCACACAUUCACAAGUUACAUACUUCUGCUUUUGAUCAAAGAUGCCCCUGAACAAAGUGAAACAUUAUAUCAACUGAAAAACAAAUUUGAAACAGUUACCAUUGAAGAUGAUUCUACUAUUGAGCUGUUGAUCUUAACCCCCUUUCAUUAAUUUAUUAUGUGCCAAGAAUUCAAACAAAAUUUUAGACUGGAUACAAUAAGAAUGCAACAUCUUAAGAAUUUGCAAUUGACAUGAAAUGCUGCUUUUUUUGUCCCUCCAUUUAUUCCUUCCUAGAUGAAUCAUAGUAGAUGAACAUAAUCAGGAAAACCAUCCAGAAAAUAAAAUGAGAAAUAAUGAACUGAAAGCCAAACCCUAUAAACAGGAGGAUUUGGUGAAUACCUUUGUGCUGUGUAAACGAAGACAAUAAAAAUGAUAUUUUUAUUUUAGUUAAUCCUUAUGCUGGGAUGAAAUCCAUUUACAUUGAAUUUUCCAUCAACAGAAAUAGUUUGUCCAAUGAUGUGGGAAGCAGCUGGCAAGCAAAGGAAAGUCACCAAUUAAGAUACGUCAUCCGUUUCUGCUAUCCGUUGUAUCGGUGUUCUAGAUAAUACUUCAUUUACAGACUCUAAGUUAGCAAUCAACCGUAAUCGGAAGAUAAACUCUACAGGUGAUCACACUGACAUUACAGUAACAGAUAUGUUUUUGAUUAUUCAUCAGUGGUUAAAGAGUCAGCCUGUGUUAGCAGGAAAACCUCCAUACCAUACACAGACAGACACACCUACCAUCUACACAAACACAGCAGGCCAAAGAAAACAUCGUCGUGAAUCACUUUAGUAAACUCCUUUAAAAAAUAUCAUGUUUGAACAAAUGACAUAAAUGAUACAUUCAAGUUUACGUUUGCACGCAGCAUAUAUGGUUCCAGAACCUAUGCUUGUUAGAGAUGCAACGGAGGAAUUGAAUACAAUGCUUCUUGCAUUUCCAGAUUCUUUAAGAAGAGGAUAUGUCAGUUGGCAUAGAUGGUAUGCAGAAUCCAAGUUAGUAAUCAUCACUUUUGAGUAAUCUUCGGUUCUUUACUCACUUGUUGGCUUCCUCACAUUUGUGUCAGCGGCUCACAAAAUUAUAAUAUGCACAGUCGAACACAGUUCAGUAUAAGCUGAAGUCAUGCAUAACCGAAACAAGUCUAGCGCAUUAACAAAAAGAACAAUAAAAAGAAACAAUUUCUAAUUUUAUGAUUGUUAAAUACAAAUAGCUAAUUAGUAAUAUAUAUAGAUCCUGAUUUCAGUUGUUAAGUACAUUUUGAUGAUAUUAAUGCUGCCCUUCUGAGUGCAUUUGAGGCAUAAAUAAGAUAUUCCCGAUUGGCCAAAGUAUAUUGGCUUCAAAUUUGUGGUUUGGAAGAACAGAGAAAUCGUGACACGAUUUCAUCAACGUGUCACAAUUUUCAGGUAGUGAGCAUGGUUUGCAGGGUGUUCAAUCGUGUCACGAUUUUGAGAAAACGUGACACAAUUUUCAAACUUGCUGGGUACGUUUUUCAGGAUAAGAUUGGUCUUACCUUGGGUCGUACGCACCAAUCGUGUCACGAUUUGGAAAAACGUGACACGAUUUUGACAGCUGAAGACUGCUAUAUAAGUGUUCUUGUGCAGAUUUUGAAGGAGAGCUUGAAGAGACAGAAACUUGGAUUACAAAGGAGGUAACUUUAGAGUUGAGUGUCGAUGAUCUUUUGGGUUGGGAAACAUUGUAAACACCUUGGGGAGUGAGAUUUCAUCAUUGGAAUGAUCAAAUAGCUUCCUUUUGUGUUUUCUCUUAGGAUUCAUUAUUGAGAGUGUGGGUGACACAAGAUGGGUAGAAAUUAGGUCUUGCUCUUGUGUAAGCUUAUAAGCUAAUUUCUUGUAACUCUUUUGUAACAAUUUCAUCAUAGUGGAUUGGAGGGCUGCUCUCUCCCCCAGAUUAGGUCAUAUUGGACCGAACUGGGUCAACAAUCUUUUGGUGUGUUUGUUCCUUUCUUUCAUUGCUUAUCUUUGUGCUUUGAUUAUGCUUAUGGUGUUGCUCUAAACUUAGAUCUAGGUCUGUUUUUGUUGUUGUUGCUUGGAGACACUUUACACAUUGAUUACCACUUCCUUUGCUCCACACAUCUUUGUUAUUCAUUGGUGUGAUUUUUACCGGAAUUCACAACACAAAUUUUUAAUUUUCUAAGCAUUUAACAAUAUUUGCAAGUCAGGUGCAUGUAAAUGGAAGUUUUUGUUGGUUGUACGCUGCAUGAACACGCAUGCACACACGCCCGCUCAUUUUUACAUUAUCAUCUCACUUUUUUAUAAUGGCAAAUAUGUCAUUUACUAAAUAUGUAUCUUUCCUUCUUCUAACUAUCUAUUCACUUUCUCUCCUACCAAAAAACCACCUCACUUUCUUCAAACUUUCAUUCCUCUUUCUUUCUUUCUUUCUUUUCUCAUCCAAACAAAGCACUAAGAUUUUGAGAGCUAUGUGCAAAGUAUAAACUUCUUUUUUUUUUUUGAACAAACAAAGUAUAAACUUCUUAUCCUAGUUUUUUUUCUCUAAGUCUUGACGCACAUGCACACUUCACUUUUUUUUAUAUCAAAUAAUCCAACUCUUUGUUUUUAGGGAUCCAACUCAUUAUUUAUUAUUCCCUCCAUCUCAUUUUAAUUGUCACUUUAGCAUUUUUUCUAUAUAUGUCUCAAAAUAAUUGUCACUUUAGAAUAUCAAUGCAACAUUUAUUAUUAUUUUUUGUUAAUAAUAUACCCCUCUUUAUUGAAUUUCACUUCACUUAACUACAAUUAGUAAGACAAUUAUAAUGAGACAGAGUAUUAAUAAACUUUAUUUGAUGCAUGCAUGCAUACAUUAUAUCAUAUCACUUCUCACUGGCCAUAUUAUGUAUGUGCCAAAAGUAUUUGAAGGAUUAGUAAAAAAUUUGUAAGAUGCUCCAUUUUUGGUCGUAGUAGAGUCAUAUUACCGACUUAUCCUUCCGGGAUAGAGAGUAUGCAUUGUACGAUAGCUAAGUGUUAAGCGGGCCAAUUGCAUUGAUUUAUUUCUCCACCUUGUUUUCUCUCAAGUACUCCAUCCGUUUUAAAAUAACUGCUUCUUUAAUAUUUUUUUCCUGUCUCAACAUAAUUGUCAUUUUAGAAUAUCAAUACAACAUUUAUUAUUUUUUUCACUAUUAUAAUCUUAUUUAUUGAAUUUCAUCUAACUUAAUUGCUCCAUUAACUACAAUUAAUAAUGGUGUUUUAGUAAAUGAUAUUAAUUUUAUCAUUAAAAUCAACAUAAUUAAUUAUUUCUUUAAUAACAAUGCACAAACCUUAAAAUACUAAUAUUGUAGUAUAUGCAAGAUUACUACCAUAUACUGUUCUAUUGGAAAAAGUUUUCUUAUAAGUUUGUGUAUAGUUUGACAAUUUGGGUUCAUUUAAGCAAAACAUCUAGUUUUAUGUUGUUCUUAACAUUCAGAGCACGGUUAAAAUAACAUAGGGGUCUUGUGAAAAGUGAUGAACAUGUGCCAUGAUCUCUCCAUCUAAGAGUAUCAUGUUUAUAAGGAGGUUUUCAAAAAUUAACUUAACAAAAGGUGGGUGGCCAUUGUAUGAAUUACCAUUGUUUGACAAAAGCAACAGUGAAAAAUGAUCAUGAAAUAUUGCAAAGCAAACAUGAAACAACAUUGUGUAUGUUAUGGAGAUAUAUAACUCAAGUUGCUCCUUGGAAAAACUGAAAAGAAUGCAAUUGUGCUUAGAUUUAAAUAAGCAUGAACAAUCAAAGCAUACAUUCACAGAGAUAAUUCACAAUGAUAUGAAGAAUUUUUUGUACCAAUAUCAUUGACCGAGUUACAAAGCUUGACUUUAGUGUCCUAGAGGAAACAUUGAAAGGUGGGAUCAAUUUUACUAUUCUAGGUCUUGAGUUUCUGAUUUACUUGGACCUAAGCUACAAUGAUUUUAAUUCACCAAGUAUUCUGCCAAAUCUAUACAACUUCAUGCCUCUAACCUUCAAUAUUUGGACUUAUUUUCAAAUAUUCAUACUGAUAAUUUAUAUAGUAAAAUCUCAACCUUAGCAAUAUUGAUUUUCACAAAGAGCCCAAUUGUCUUUAUUUGGUUUCUAUGAUUCCUAAUUUUUCGGUGCUACACUUCCGUCUUUGUAAAUUAAACAUCAUCUACCGAGGGUGUUCAUAAGAUUUUGAGUAUCAUAUGCAAAGUAUGAAUUUAUUAUCCUUUUUUCCUGUAAGUGAUCACGCACGCACGCGAACACAAAACUAUGUGUGUGAUUUAAGAAUUUUACUACUUCGCUAAAAAGAAUAUAUAUAUAUAUAUAUAAUCUUAUUGUGCAUGGAGAGGAGUCAACUAUGACGACAUCACUAAUAGAGUUACAAAGCUUGAUUUUAGUAUCCACAAGGAAACCGAGAGGUGAGAUCGAUUUUUACAUUCUAGUACUUGAGUUUCUAAACUACUUUGAUCUAAGGCUACAAUGAUUUUAAUUCACAAAUAUUCCACCAAUUCUACACAACUUCUAACAUGCCUCUAACCUUGAAUAUUUGGACUUAUCCUCAAACAAUCUUUGUAUCGAUAUAUUGGCUUUCUAACAUUUCUUCCAUCAAAUAUCUCGAGCUUAGUAACAUUGAUCUUUCUUCCAUUACACACGCACGCACGCACACACACAUUUCCACAUUACUAUCUCACUUUUUUUAUAAGGGCAAAUAUAUAAUUUACUAAAUACGUAUCUUUCUUUCCUCUAACUAUCUAUUAGUUUUCUCUCCUACAAAAAAAAAAAAAAAAACCAUCUCACUUUCUUCAAAUUUUCAUUCCUUCAAUAUUCAUUCCUCUUUAUAUCUUUAGUAUCAAGUAGUCAAAAGAGCAAAAUUUACCAACCAAAUCCAUUCUUAGAUAAUUUCACUGUAAGGAAGCAUGGGGAAGUACUUGACAGCUGAUGUGGCCUUCCAACCGCUACAACUUAAUUUGAUCAAUGGAGUUCGAAGGCUACACAAGCAUGAAAUAUCAAAUGUUAUAUAUAAAGUGUUCUAUUUUACAUAAUAUUCAUAUAAAUGUUAUUGAUAUUACUUGUAACUUCAAGAAUUUGGUCUGAGGUAUCAACAUCUUUUUCAAUCAAUGACCAUGAUCCAUGGGCAAAGGAAUCAAAAUUCAAGAAGCAGUUUUCUUUCUUGCUAUCAACCAAAAGGAGGCAACUUUUGAAAUGGGCAAAUCCUUUGUAUUAGGAACAUUUUUUGUUGGAUCUAAAGAUGAACAUAUAUCAUAGGAACUCAUGAUUUGUUUUUCAGUUAAUGACAGCUGCUCCUCUGCGUCAACUAACUCAGUGUAGUAUGGCAGCAAAGUGAAUUUCAUGUAUGUUGUCAUCGAUGGUUAUGAUCUUGCAAAAUUCCUUUUACGGUAAGAAUGCUAGGUUUUGAUUCAAUUUUCUGUGGUAGUAAUUGUUCAAUAACACGACUUUAUGCAUCUACAUCAUAAUCAGAUUAUUAAAUACGUUUGGAUCUUUAAAUUUAAUAUCAGAUAGAAACAGUUCGAAUAGUUUUUAUUUAAUCUUUGGAUUAGCUUACCUAAAAGGAAUUGCAAGUAGAUGUCAAAGUCAGAAAUUUAAAUUGGGUACCAUGAUUGAAGAAUAAUUUCUGUUUUGAUGUCUAUUAAUCCUUAGUAUUUUUUAUAUCAAAUCAUAUCUUUUUUUUAAAAAAAAAAUCAAAAGUGAAAUUUUUUAUCAAUUUGAAUGCCAUUAUUGACCAAUUCAUAACCAUCUCUGAGGGGAUUUAAAAAUUCUACUUGUAGCUAGCAACAAUAACUCAUACACUAAGCAAUCAAAAAAAGAAUAAAACCAUCUCUUUUGGUUUUUACUAAGAGAGGGAUAUAGCUAUGUUAUAAACAAAAUAUACUGGUCUUUCAACCCCUAUUUUCACAAGACCAAGGAUUACAUACAUAGACAUUGUAUACACAGUGAAUUCAAGUUCGGUUAUUCAUCCCAUGUAACUAUAUAAAUCAAGUUCUAAUUUUUAUAGACGGCUAUAGCAUUCUAUUUUUCGAAUUCUAUUGUUUGGUUUAAAAUAGUAAAGUCUUUGGAUUUCAAAUAAUAAAAUGCUUCAAAGUGAAUGAAAAAAAAACCUGUUUUGCAACUUUUUCGUGUUGUGAUGUUGGAACAUUGUCAUUGUAGGAAUCAUCCUCUCGCAACAAUGGAGAUACCAAAUACUCAAGGAAAGAUCCGAUUGCAUGAACAGUUGGACACCCUUUUGCUUUCCUCAAACAAGUUGGGCAUACUUCCAAGAAAUUUAUCUUUGAAUCUGAUGUGAAGAAGAAAACUGGUCAAAAAGAUAGCAAUGUCUUUUCGUGUUCUUUGGUUCUCUCAGAAAUAAUCUAUAUUGAUGAUAUAUUCUAGGUAUUUAUGUUUAGGCUGUUUGUUCAGUUCGAAAAAAACUCUAACACUAAAGGCAAGUAAUUACAACCAACAACACACUACAAUUAUUAUAAAAAUAACAAAAAAAAACCUAUAUCCAGGAAAAAAACCUAUGUGUCUUGGAGCAGGAGACGGGGGAGGAUACGUGGUUAUGCCCUCUAUGUCGGAAUAAUCACGCCCACCCCCCGAUGAAUAACAUGAAUACAUAUGCCACCUAAAUAAAACAAUUCUCUUAAACAAAACAUCUUACCAAUAUGAUUGAGGUCUUCCAACCGUUUUAUCGAAGAAAAUAAAAAACUUAGAAUAUGAUUGAGUUUUAUUAAAUACCCGUUUACCCUCAUCUAUUCUAAAACCAAUAAUAAAUUAGUGUAAAAAUUCUCCUAUGUUAGUGAGAAAUUCAGAAAACAUGCAUUUCACAAUAAGAAAUCCAGAAACAUGCAUUUGCAUUUCACAAGAGAAACUGUUACAUUAAUAUUAUACCGUAAUACAACACAGUGGAUGAAAUGUUUUCCAAAAACAAAAGUGGAUGAUGAUGGUGAUGGGAAGUUGCCUCCCAAAAAAACUCCUAACACUAAAUGCAAGUAAUUACAACCAACAACACACUACAAUUAUUAUAAAAAAUAACAACAAAAAAAAACCAAUGUCCAGGAAAAAAACCUACGUGUCUUGGUUUAUUUAUCAUCCUCUAAUUACAACCAAACUAACUUUGAAGGACUUUUAAAGGUGGAAUCAUUGUUUUAUUCUUUGAAACUGAAAGAAGAGAAACCUCUUUUUAUUUUUAUCUUUGUGUUGUACCUGUGUUAUUGUAGUUCCAAAUUUUAUUAUACUUGUGCACCACUCAUACUUGUAUUAGAGUCAACCAAUUAAUCAGUCUAACAAUUUUUUAACAAGCCAAAAAUAGAAGAAAAAAAAUCAAAAAAAGAUCAACAUUUGAGUCUCAACAAGCUAAUGAAGUGAAAAAUACACUGACACAACAAUUAGGUCAAUUCUUAAAAAAAGUGAUAUAUUUGAUAAUAUUGAAAAUGAAAAAAAAAAUAGAUAUGAAAACAUGGAGAGUGCAUUUAUAAUUCUUUGAUAUUUAGAUGCCUUCAAUUUUUCGCCAAAUUGUACAUAUAAUUUAUAUUUAUACUGGCUUUCUCAACUUUCUUCCAUAAUAAAAUAUCGACUUUAGUAAUAUUGAUUUUCACAAAGAACCAACUUGACUUAUGUUGGUUUCUAUGAUUCAUAUAAUUUGUGAGGGCUACACUUCCGUCUUUAUAAACUAGACACCAUCUACCGAGGACCGUCUAAAAGAGUGCCAUAUCUACAUGAGAAAUGAUAUAUGUACAUUAUGAACUUAUUGUCCUUUUUUCCUGUAGUGGUCACGCACGCACGCGCACACAAAACUUAAUAGGCCAACUUAAUACUUUUCACUUCAUCAAUAGACUUCAAAUAGGAAGUGUUAAGAAAACUAAAUUGAAAUUAUAUUGGGUUAGCAUGGUGGUAUUGACUCGAGACUUGGGACUUGGGAGUGUGCUCCUCCUCAAUGUUUCAGGUUCGAUUCUCUCCGUGCCAAUUUGGAUGGGCUAGUUUAGCUUCUUAAAAAACAAAUGAAAUUAGAAAAUUGCUUUUUUGACAAAUGAAAGUUCCUAUUGACACAAGUAAAAUACAUAAAUACCCCCAGCGGUAGUUAACUACCGUUAUCCAAAGCGUCGGCAGAUAACUGCCGCUGGAAGCUAGCAGUUGUUAACAAACGCUACGUUCUGCGAAUAAACAAGAACAUAACCCUCAUUUUUCCAUUUUCCAGAUUUCUCAACUUCCAAAUUUCUCCAAACUUGUACUUCACGAAUUUGCGCCAAAUUUCAUCAAUUAAUUCACAAGUAAGUUCUUUCCUUCCUAUUUACAUGCAGUGUAGUUUGUUUAGGGUGUUAGUUUUCAUAAUUUUGAGUCAAAUGUUAGUUUUAGGUUAGGUUAGAAAAUUGAAAAUUAAGCUUGAUUUAGAUGUUUUAAAGUAUUAUUUAUGCUGAAUUGUUGUUGUUUAGUGUAAAUGUAGGUACAAUGUAGCCCUUUAGAUGUUCAAAUAACACUAGCUGUGCUCCUAAUUUAGAGUGCACAUAAGGUGUUUGAUGAAAUGCCUAAGUGAGAAAAUGUUGCUUUUUUGUGUAAUUUUUUUUCAAAUAUGUUCAAUUUUAUAAUGUAUAUAUGCUGUAAUUAUUAUAGACUUGGAUUUAUAAAUUUUUUGGCAAGUUUGAUGAAUGACAUAAUAUGGUAUAUUACAUAAAGUUUGAUGAAUGUGUUAUAUUAAAUUUUAUUUAUCAUAUAUGCUUAAGUUUAAUUUGUGAUAAUGUAAGGGUUAGAACAUUGCUCCAUAAAUUUGGCAUAAUGAUAACCAUAGUGUGAUAAGUGGCUAAUUUCAUGGAGUACAAACUUUGCAGACUCAAAAAAGUUAGACAUCUAUCAUUCAAACAUGGCUUGAGGAGGACAGGCAGUGAAGAAGGAAUAGAAGCUGUCUUUGGUCUUUUUUAAGUUAUGCCUUUGUCUCCACAUGAAUCACCAGUUUGCAAUUUUUUUGCUAAACAUUGAAUUCUUUGUUCUGUUUCAAGAAUUCAAACAAAAUUUUAGUCUUGAUCCAAUAAGAACGGAACAUUUUAAGAAUUUGCAAUUGACAUGACAUGGUGCCUUUUUCAUUUGUUCCUUCCAAGAGUAGUCAUAGUAAAUGAACAUCAUCAGGAAUACUAUUCAGAAAACAAAAUGAUAUAUGACAAACUGAAAGCCAGAUCCUAUUAAACCAAAACUUGACGAAUAGCAUUAUUGUGUUGAAAAUAAACAAAUCACAUCCAGUGCAUUAGGUAAUCCUCAUGCUGGGUUGAAACCCAUUCACAGUAAAUCCUCCAUCAACAGAAACAAUCUGGCCAGUGAUGUAGGAAGCAGCUGGCAGGCAAAGGAAAGUCACCAAGGAAGACACUUCAUGUGUUUCUGCUAUACGCUUUAUUGGUGUUCGAGAUAGUACUUGAUUCACAAACUCUUCGUUAGCAAUUAGCUGUAAGAAAGACAAAUUAGCAACACAAGUUAUGAACAAAACAUUGCCAUUAAUAGAUUAAUACUACAGAUGAGCACACUAACAUUACAGUCACAUAUAUGUUUUGAAUCAUCAGCACUUAAUGAAUUAGCCUAUGAUAGCAGAAAACCCUCCAUACACAGAUAAACAAACCACCUACACAAACACAGCAGGUACAACACACUACACUAGAGCAUGUGCAGAUCCAAGAAAGAUGUUACAGAGCCAAACCUAUGUGUCAUAACAAAUAGGUCCAUAUUUUCCAUGUUGCUGCCCUCAAAGCCAGUUCAUUUCUUAUUCAUAUGUAUUAAUUUCUAUGUAGUCAAUCCCGGAUAGCGGCCGACCCCAAAAGUGGGAUAGCGGGUAGCGGGAUCGCCGGGAUUGAUCAACUUUUGGACAAAUUACAUGAAUGAGGUAAAGUAUAAAAAACCAUAUAUUUGAUAUAAAAUUAAACAAAUAACUCAAAACUCAUGGAACACUCAUAAAUCAAAAACAUUCACAAGUCUUAAUCAAAACAUUACAUCCAAUUCCAAACUCCAACACAAGUCAAGGAUUGGCCGGGAUCCUCUCCGUUGCGAUUUUCCUCUGGGCUGCUCCACUCCUAUGGAUCGCGCCAGGAUUGGCUGGGAUUGACUACCCAGAUUAUUUUAAGAAGUAUAUUCUAAAACAUGAUUUCGGUAUCUUCGCAUACGUGAAUCAAAGAGACGUGACAUUGGAUGAGCCACAAUUGUGUGUCAUAUACAUACGUGAAUCAAACAGAAGGCAGCAGGUAGAUAUUAUUUUUGAAAAAAAUUAUGGAGAAGAAAAGCUAUCAGAUCAUUAAAAAGUUGUCAUUUACGUCACCCUGUAUGCAAUACUAAAUGAAUUAUAUAAUGCAAGUAUUCACCAGUGUUAUCAAAUGGCUACCAUGGCAGAAUGACUUGUCUGAAUUUUUUGACAACCACCAUAGACAAUGGCGCAUUUCUAUGGUGUAUUUUAGUCUUCUGCCAUAUUUCACCAUGGACAACACUGGUAAUCACCGAGAAUAAAGCAACAACCAAUUUAUUAUCUUUGGUUCUAACAGACAAAUGGUGCUUUGCUAAGUGCAUAUACAGACACUUUGCCUGUUGAUACCUUAAAGUUUCUGAUUAUCAAAUGAUCUUGAUGGUAGUAAUUACGCUGAUUGAAAACAAAACACCAAAACAUACAUUUUCCCGUCAAUAUGGAAAAUCAUUAGACUUGUGAUAAGGGCACCACUACCAAUGAAAUCAGAAUGUAGCAAAAUAUGAGUCAUCCCAAAUAUGCAAGCAAUUUUGAUUUCCCUAUUCAAUAAUCCAAAGAGUUAUCGACACUCAGAGACUAUAGACAUGCAGUACUGAGUUCUAUCUUAAAUUCUUCCUAAUCCUACACUACCAAAUGAUCCUCAAAAUGGAGUAUCAAUGUAAAAACAUCAAAACACAGGUCAUUAUUUACUAUAAAGAACCCAAUAACAAAAUAGAAGAAUACCAUACCAUACACCUCCGAUUAAACAAUGACCAAUCAGUCAUUUCAUACAAAUCAAAUGAUCAUUACAAAUUCAAACAAUCUUCAUAAAAAAAAAAUGACAAAGCCACAGAAUGAAUAAUUGAAGGUGUGAAAGAGCAUUACAUGUUCCACAAGUGGUGUUUUUGUAUACCAGGGUGCGACACAGUUGCUCCUUAUGUUGUCUUUCGCCCAUUCACAAGCAAGACUUUUUGUCAGCUGAUUGAUUGCAGCUGAAGAAAACAACACAAUAAAUCUUUUAGUUUGUAUCCAUUAUAUUUCAACAAAAGGUUAAAGAUAACAUAAUGCUUCCAUUUCCAAAUUACCUUUACUCGCUGCAUAGAUGCUUCCAGUACCUACGCUUGUCAGAGACCCAACAGAGGAAAUGAAAACAAUGCUUCCAUUUCCAGAUUCUUUAAGAAGAGGAUAUGUCAGUUGGCAUAGAUGAUAUGCAGAAUCCAAGUUAGUAGUCAUCACUUUCGAAUAAUCUUCGGCCGUAUACUCGAUUGUUGGCUUCCUCACAUUUGUUCCAGCAUUGUUCACCUAAACUCACAAGAACAUCAUAUCAACAUAUGAGAUGAAGUCAUAACAUAGCACCGACACUUCUGAUCGAAGAGAUAUCCAAUGUAGGACACAGACACAUGUGAUUACAUUCAUUUUCUUAAAUUCAGCAUCAAUUAUAUAGAAAUGCAAAACAAAAUAUAUAGAAAAGGAAAAACUCACAAAUAUGUUGAGUUUGCCAUUGAAAGAAGAAGCCACAUUUUGAAUAAGCUCCUCUCUUUGAGAAGAAGAAGAUGCAUCACAAACAGAUCCAUAAACAGAAAAACCUUUCUCUUUCCACUCAUUUAAGCGUUUAUUCAGCUCCUCUUGGUUCCUAGAACAAGUGUAGACUGUGGCACCAAACUCAGCGAGUUCUUCCACGAUAGCAUGUCCGAUUCCACGUGUUCCGCCGGUGACGAGAGCAGUGAAUCCCUUGAGGGACCAUCUUGAGCUUCUGCUACUGCUCUCUGCGUUCGCCAUUCUUGUUUUUGUGACCUCUUCGAUAAUUUUAUCCAAGAACCAACGACGUCGUUUAGUUUGAAAUUUCUUUCCGUGUGUUUUACCAAAUUUGCUGAGCGAGAUCUGGGCCUAACAAUAUUACACUCGACUGUGCUUUUCUAGCCCCCCCAAUUUCUCCCAGACCCCCCCAAGUUUUAUUGUUUGAUUCAUGUUUUAUAUUUUGUUUUAUGAUAUAUACGUAGAUAUGGUUGAACCCCUCAUUGUUCCAAAAAUGGAUCCAGAGGUCUAUUCCAUUGAUAAGUGUGAAAUAUUGUCCCUAAAAGAAGUAUGAAGAUCGAAAAGAGAUUAUUAAUUUGGUUCAUUGUCAAGCAAGAAAUGCAUGAUUUACUAUAUAUUAAAAUAGAUAAAUUCGAUGGUGAUUAUUUUUCCUACUAUUUUGUUGAUGGAUUCCACUUAUAAAACCAAACACUACAAAAUUUCAUUGUUUAAGAUAGCUGGGGUCACCUCAAUGCAAUUGGCAUACUCUGUUGGGUUUGAUUUUCUGACUUGUGAAAAAGAGGAUAAUUUCUCUUGGGCUCUAUAUAUGAGUGUAUUGAUCUUUUGAAGUGUAAAGAAAAUAUGUCGAAGUUAAUUGUUAUGGAUAGGGAUAUCACAUUGAUGAAUGUUCUUGCCAAAACGUUUCCAACUUCUACUAAUUUGGUGUGUGAAUUUCAUAUUUCGAAAAAUGUGAGAGCUAGGUGCAAGACAAAUUGCAAAGUGACAAGUUCGAAAUAAAAAUAGGUGAAGUCGACGAAUUUAUGUAACACCAUCAUGGAUGCUUGAAAAUUAGUGUAUUCUCUUUACGAGGAACUAUAUACAUAUGUAACUGUACACUUGAGAAAAGUAUGAAAUAUUACCAAAAUUCAUGAAUCAUGUUGAAAGUACCAUAUUGAAACCCUUAAAGAAAAAAACUAUGAAGGUGUGGACAAACCGUGUUAUGCAUUUUGGUAACACAACAAAAAAUAUAAAUGAAUAUGCUCAUGGUAGAUUGAAACAAUAUUUCGGGUUGUGGUUGGGAAACUAUACACAACAUGUUAACGUUGCAAUUGAUUACAUCUCAAUGUCAACAUCAAUAUGUUCAAUCCGUGAGCUAGAACCUUCUACUCCCUCACUCACAUUCACUUUGACAACAACCACAUCCACGUGUUGGAGGAGAGUUUGCCUCUCGCUCUCUGCGAACAUGAAACAAACUGAAUGGAGAUAACUCCUAAACAGUUCAGAUCGUAUCUCCUGAACGUUAUGCACAAUUGAAAUUUUAGCGUGCCUGAAGCAAUUGGUUUUUCUAUUUGGAUGGUUUCUUAUUCACUUUGGUUGCUCCCCUCCAUUGAUUAUGCUACUGGUUGCUUUGAUUUUUUUCAAAGUUAAUUUUGUAACAAGUUUAAAGUUUUAGUUUGAGAGGGUAGGGUUAGAACAUUAGUUGUUUUGAGUUUAUAUUAUCGAAUAUAUUUUUCAUUAUUUGAGAAACUCUCAAUGCUUUUUGUCGUCGCUUUGCGAUUUUGAGAGAAUGUGUUAGAUAAUAAGUCGUUAGACUCAUGCCCUUGAACCUUUUAAGUUUCUAAGUUAAUAGAGUUCAUUUAAGUUUAAUUAUAUAAUCAGUCAUCAGUUUUGCUUUUAAAAACAACAAAAAAACUAAGUAAAAGAAUGUUAAAAACCUGUCAAAUAAAAUCAUAAAAAUACCACAAAAAAAUCUAAAAAUUAAAUAAAACUAAUGCAAAUUUUUUUGGAUUUUUCUGAGAAUAUGAAAAAAUAACAAAAAAAUAAAAAAUGGGUCUAAACGAUGAAAUUUUGGAUUUUGAGGGGCGGAGGAGUCAUAGUCAUUGAAUUUUUUUCUGAUUUUCUGGGAAGUUUCGGAGCAAUCCGAUCAAGUAGCUCGAAAACCCAAUUUUUGACUAAUAACGGGUAUCAAUGACCCAAAACAGAAGGAUAAGAGUUAGGAAGAUUAAUAUUGUCCCUAAAAUGAGAGUUACAAACAUGUUUAGAAUUUGUGCUGAUACAGUUCGGAUUAUAUAAUCUGAACUAUUUUUCCCUUGAAAAAUGGUGUUUAGGGGAGUGUUCGGAUUAUGUAAUCCGAAAAAAUCAUGUAAUAUUGCGCCCUAUUUUUUGAAGUUUUCGGAUUACAAAAUCUAAAAACAUCCAUAACUCAUUUUUUUCACUCUAUAACAAAGGAAAACACCAGUUCAGAUUAUGAAAUCCGAAAACAUCAAAAGCAUUUUGAUCAAAAACGCAGGGUGCGCAAGAAUGACAUAGUGUGGGAAAAGUAUUACUCUAAAUUCUUUUGUAACCUUUGGUCUAGUAUGCUAUUGGUAUUUUAUUCAAACUCUAAGUGUCUUUCUUGUUUUGUUCUCUUUUCUAUUUGAUUAACAAUGACGAUACAAGCUUGAAUUGUGAGAUAUUGGUUCAUGUAGGGAUUUCAAUCACGUGGCACGUUCACAUGUGUAGGUAAAUAGGAGCCUAAAAAUAACAAAAGUUACAAUCACGGAAAGACUAAUUCAUUAUGAUUAUAUUGUAAUCUUCUACUGCCAUCACGUGCAUGUAGAGAGAAACACCCCUAUUUUCAAUUUGUCAAAUGAGCCACUACUUUUUUUUUCUUCCAAAAAAAUUAUAUCAAGUUCUCUAUUCAGAAAGAGACAGUAUAAGAAGGAGAAUAAGCUUACGAAGUGUCAUUUGUCAAAGUUGUCAUUCAUACAUAAUCAAUUAAUGAAGAGAUUAAUUAUAUCAGUAUUGAAAAAAUGUUUGUGUAGUUGUUUUCACUGCUUAGCCAGCUACACUUACUCUAUACAUCUCCUUGGCAAUAGUUGCAUGAAAAGAGUAAUAUAUACCUUCUACAGUAAUAACUUUGCAUACAUGAAAGAACACUAAAUAAAGCAUAUCUAGCUAAAUCAGAGUACUAAUUAUAUAUAUACCUAUAUAAAGGAAAAUUUCACAAUGAAUACACAUACAUCACCCCAUGUGAGUUCUCUCCACAACCAUACAAUGAAUACUUUCUAUUCUCUUGAUUUAAUCAAAUUAAUGUCAAGGUAGAUCAAGAAUUAUUCUCUUUUAUCAAUAUAUGAGAUGUUCAAAAAAAAUAAAAGAUCAAGAAUUAUUGAAAAUUAGGAAGAGAAAAUAUAUUGUUUUGACUUUUGAGUUAGAUCAAAACAACAUAAUAUUGUUUCUAUAUAUAUCAGCAAACUAGAAAGAGCAUGAAGUCAACACAGCUAUAUAUUUCAUCAAAUCAAAUCAAAUUUCUUUAUUUAGAAAGGUUGAAAAUAAGAUACUUAUGGCGUCCCCGUGUAUUCUGGAGCAACGGUCGGUGUCACAAUAAUAAUGGAUAAUAAGGUGACUAUAAAUUAAACUGCACUAUAUUUAAGUUGCUACAAGCAGAAUAGUCUCGAGCUUCUAAAAAAUUGACAUAUUUAGAGAUAAAUAUAGUAAUAUACAGCAUAGCUAAUUAAUAACGUGGAUAUGGAUGUAUCACACCAAGAGGAAAAACAAUAACAUGCUGCUAUAAAGCCAAUGAUGUAAUGUUUUUUCUUUUCUAACUUCACCAAACUUAAUUCAUUGAUAUUUAUAUGACUGUUUAUAAGAGUAUAUUAUUAAUGUUCAAUUCCCGUGUGUAGUUGGUUGGUUUUUUGGAUGUGUUAGGAAGCAACAUGUGGAAAACAAUUGGAAUGCUGUGGUGUAGGAAGCAAGUAGGUGAGAGUGAUCCAUCCAGGUAAAAAUGGUGAAUGCCAAAAACAAAAAAACAAUUCUAGGUAAAAAUAUUUAUUCAUAAUUUUGUGCAUGUGAGAAAGAGAACUGUUGGCUCCUUGGAAUAUAAGUAGGCAAGUAGCUGAAGUGACUAAUAACUAUCACUUACUGUCAGGUCUCAUAUCAUUUUUCUUUAUUGAAGAAAAGUUUUACUCACAUCGUACUAUUGAUUAUUGGGAUUUGAGAGAUACAGAGAAGAAGCUUAUAAAAGAAGGGAGAAUCUCAUAAUCUAAAAAACACUGCUAAGUCUUAUAUCACGAAAUGAGAUCGGUUAUAUAGAUCAAGCAACGUCAUAAUAUUCUAUCAUAUAUUAUAUAUCUAUCAAACUCGUUAUUCUUUAAAUCAUUUUUAAUAGUUUUUUUUUUUAUAAUUUUUUUAAGUAUUCCUAUGUCAUUAGUGAUUUGACUAUUUUUCAUCUGAUAUACUCCUUUUACUACAAAAUUUACAUAUUUUCUCUCUAAAAGACAAACCACGUAGUCUAGUUUUCACCGUCUUUUAUACUAUAUUUGCUACUCUAACUCUCUCUAGUGUUUUUAUUUUUAAUCCUAUCAUAUUUAGUUAUACCGCACGUCAAACUCAACAUCCUCAUCUCUACUAUUCUUAAUUUAGUUUCAUGUUGGUUCUUGACAAAGCAACAAAUUUCAUACAACAUUGUCGAUCAUAAAACUGCUCGUUCCUUUAACUUUAGUGGUAUUUUCGUAUGACAUAUAAAACUAUGAGGCCCUUUUUCGUUUCUACCACCCAACUUGAAUUCGAUAAUUUACAUAUCAUUCUAUUUCUCACUUAUUUUGUAAUAUGUAUCCAAGAUAUCUAAACUGUGUAACUUAUAGUAUGAUAUGAUCUCCAACGUUCACCUAUAAACGAGAAACACUUUGCCUUUUGCUAAUAAUACAUUUCAUAUACUUUGUUUUGCUUCUUCUUAGGCGGAAACCAUAUGUUUCUAGGGUUCGUCUGGAAAUUUCCAACCUCCCAUUUAACGACUCUCUAAGUAGGAAUAUAUCAUCAACCAAAAACACACAUCUCGAUGCUAACUUUUGGAUAUGUUAUGUACGUACAUCCAAAACAAAGUAAAAGGAUAAGGGUUUAAGGUCGAACCUAGUUGCAAUUAUAUUGCUAUGGAUAAAUCAUCGAUGUCUUCAUCUUGUGGCCUCACACUAGUUGAGACACCCUCAUAUAUAUCCUUGAUUGCUCGAAUAUAUAUAGGCAAUCCUAACUCAUUUCUUUCUAGGGAUUUCUAGGCACAUCUCUCUCACAUGAUUUCCCUAAAUUUAUGAAAACUAAGUGCAAGUCUUUUUUAUCCAGUAUUGAUCCAUCACACAUCGUAGUAAAUGGAUUGCUUUCAUGGUCGACCUCCCAUACAUAAAACCAAAUUGGUGAUCAGUAACUCGUGUCUCCUUUCUUUUACUUUGUGUUCUUGAAUCCGAGAUAUAUUAGUUGUAAUUAUGAUCCGUUGAUAUAGAUCUCAUAUUUGUCAUCAUAUAAUAUGUGGAAACACUUCUUCCAUAUCUAUCCUUUAUAUCUUUUUUUUAACCAAAAUUUUACCUUCAUCUUUAAUACACUUCAUUUGAUCAAAGUGUCUUGUCUUUCUUUCCAUUUCCCAUCCCUUAACAAGUCUAUACAAAGAUUUUUCUCCCUCCUUAGGAUAUGAAAAGAGAGACAUCUCAUAAAAUAUCGGAUAAAAGAGAGUGAUAAAGUUAAGUAAUACUUUUUUAGUUAAUACUUUAAAGUUGAUUUUUUUUCCCUGUUGAUUCUUGUCUAAAACUUGCAGUUGCUGAAGGUGUCAAAUAUGGCAGUGUAACUGUGAGACAUAGUUGAGAACCAGAAAGGGGAGGGUGGAAAAUAUUAUUAUAGAUAAAUAAACUCAACCUGGUUUACCUGAAUAUAUUUUUCUAUACAUUUCUAUGAAUUCCCUCUCACUGUGAAACCCUAGCCUAAAGAUUCCAUUUCCCAUUAACAUAUUAGAAAUUAUGAAUUUGCAUGUCCAACUUGAUGACAAUAAUAUAAUAUUGAUUGAUUACAAUUGUGUUAUGUUUUUAAUAUUUGUAAUAAUUUACCCUUAAUGAACUUUAUCUAAAGUGAUCACCAUAAAUUUAUGCAAUUGUAUAUUUGCUCAAAAAUGGAAAAUCAAAGUGAUCACUAGCUUCUACAUAUGCAACAAAUUAAAUAGGACUGUCACAUGUAACCUGAGAUAGAAUUAGCAUUCAAGUUAAACAUUUCAUUUCUUAAAAAAAAAAAAAAAAAAAAAAAAAAAAAAAAAAAGUUAAACAUUUCAUGAAAAUAAUGAAACCUUGUCAUUAUUUUCAAGGUUUUAAUUAGACAAAGAAAUUAAAGGUCGUUGCAUAGAUAUUUAUCUAUGAACUUCUAAUUAAUAAACUAGAAAAAGGACAAAACACUGACCAUUAAUAUUCCAUUACAAUCUGUUUCUGUCCUAUAUGCUAAACUUUCUGUGUUAGUUUCCCAAGCCUGAGUUCAAGAUCCAAGUCUUCUAUUCCAGGCUUAACUCCAAUUACAAACUCUGCAGACUGAAAAGUUAAACAUCUAUCAUUCAAACAUGGCUUCAGCAAGACAGGCAGUGAAGAAGAAAUGGAAGCUGUCUUUGGUCUUUUAUAAUUUAUGCCUUUGUCCCCACCACAUGAAUCAUCCUCAGUUUGCAAUUUUUGGCCAAACAUUGAAUUAUUUUGUCCCAUAGACAAACUUGUUUCAACAUAAUCAUUACAACCAUAACCUUUGAAAAUUUGCUCCUUUGCAUUAGCUAGCCCUUUUUGUUCAGAAUCAAGAGACUCCUUGUGGUUAUUCCCCCAUUUAAUUGAAGAAGAAUAUGAAGACAUGUUUGGCUGAAAACAGUUUUCUUGUGUAUAUGUAGUUGAUGGCCAAGUAGAAGAGUUAUCUCUGCUUGUUGUAACUGUAACAUAAUUUAGAGUAACAAUUAGUAAAAAGUUAAGAUAACAAUCUAAGUGAAGAGUGAAGAACUUACAAUGAUUUUUGUGAUGAGAAUGAAGUUCUAAUUCAUUAUGGUGGUUAAGACUUUGUUUGAGCUUAGCUCUAUCUCUUCUAUGAACAUUCAUGUGACCACCUAAAGCUUGAGCAGACCUAAACUCUCUUUUACAGAAGUGACAUGAGUAAGAUCUUGGAGGCCAUAUACAUCCACCAAGUAUCCUAGCUGCAUCUUCUGCAAAAGCUUUUUCCUCCCAAGACCUAUUGUUGAUGGUUCCAAAUGAUGGUACUACUUCAUUGUGUGAGUGCAAGAUUUGUUUCCUUUUCAUCCACAUCAUAUUUAGUGAUUCCUCCAUCUUGAUAUCAAGUGUAGAGUGUGUAGAAAGUAAUUAACAAUGAGAUCUAGUUAUAGGAUAUAAAACUGGUGGAAGAAGCUUUAUAUAAUGAGAAAAAUAGCUAGAAAGGGAACUGAGUUAAUUAACAUAGUGGUGUCUAUUUUUUAACUAGGGUUGCAUUUGUAUUUGCAUGUCCUUGUAGUUCUAUUUGAAAGCAACUUAAAAGAAAAUAUGAGAGGAGAGAAAAAAAAGGUAGCUGGAAAAGUAUUGUUAUAAGGUAGCUUCUGUAUUUUGCUUGCUUUUAGUACUAAACUGAACCUUUUCUGUUGUUUUUAUUUGCUUGCUAAACAGGCCCUAAGGGGGGUCCCAUUUAUGAAACUGUUUUGCAUUUAUAGAAGAUUUGAUUGAUUCACCAUGGUAAAGGAGAUAAAUAACGGUUAUGACUGAGUGUGAUAAAAUACUAUAUAGUAAACUGUUUAUCUUAAGUUUCCACCAAGCUCAUAUGGUAUAUAAUACUGUUAGUCUGUUACUACUGUCUGGUAGUGUAACUUAACUUCAACUAUUUAGUAUGUACCUAAAGUGUGUGCCAUAAUUUAACACAUUUCCAUUGUACCAAAAACAAGUGUAUAGCAUUUCUGUUCCACCACAGUAACUAUUUUAUAAUUAUAGUAUGUAGAAAACGUAUUUACUCUUCUUUCCUCUCAUCAUGCUUGCUUGCCAAUUUUAAACCUAAUAAAUAACAAUGCAAAAACUCAAAAUGAAUGUACUAAAUUUGAUAUAGAGAAAUGUUGUUAAAAUCUGGACUUUUACUUCAGGUUGAAAGGGAAUAGCAAAAUCGAGACUCCUAAAAUCGCAAUCAAAAUCGAUGAAUUUUGUCUAUUUUGGGAUUCUACUAUAGAUUUGAGUCGUUGAAGGUGAAGAAAGUCGUAAAAUUCAGGAUUUUAAGAUUUAAGUCAGGAUUUUGAUAACAAUACGUGUACAACCAUUUUUGAACAACGUUUGGAUAACUUUUUCUCUCAUACGAUCAUUGUGUUUUUUUUUUUUUUUCUCUCUAUUGUUUAUGACUAAUAAAAACAGAGAAGAAAAAAAUUAUCUCAAAAAUUAUCACAAAACGAUUGUACAAAUAUUAUUAAUGUUUUUGAUAUAUUAGGUCAAGUUAAAAAAUAUUUAAAAAAGGAAAAGAACUACUAGAAGCAUGCACAUUGCACAUCCUGCUAUUCUGUUAACAAACUGCAUUUUCGGUUUCCACACCAAAAACAGCAUGCAGGUUACUUAAUAAACGGAUUGCCAAAAAAAAGAAAGUAUCAAGUUACUUACAGUUGUUGAUAACCAAUUUUUAAAUAAUAAUAAUAAUACAGUGAAUAAAUAAAUGUAUAAAAAUGUAAAUCAAAGAGUUGAAGUCAUUCCUUUCUGUCGUCCAUGAACAAAGGAUAUAUUAAGUUUAUGAAGUAUAGCUAUAUUUUAUUUGAUUAUCUAAAAACCUUUUCCUUUUGCAUGUUUUGCUCUAGAAACCCAAAAUGAGAGAAUCUAAAUCUCUUUUGUUGAGUCACUUAAAUGGUAAAAGUUUGACUUUGUUACAUCAAGUGACAUGAUUCAAAUCACAUUGAAAUCCUUGUAAAAAUGACAAUUAAUAUGUCAUCGUUAUUAAUAAUUAUUUUUCUUCCUCAAAUUUUUCUUAAAAAAAAUGAGAAACUAUGCCCACCCUCAAAUCAUUUUGAAUGUACACAUCAAAAAAUAUAAUUUUUUAUGUUGUCUCGAUGUGUAUUUCCAGACAAACCAGAGUUUGUGUCUGAAUAUACACAUCUAAGAUUAUUAGUGUUUUUUAUACAAAUGAAUGAGUAGUUUUUUCUUAAUUCUAUGCUGGCAAUUCAAAUUUAUGUGUCAAGUGGGCAAUGGAUUUAAUCUGUGUGUUUCUUUUUGUAUAAGAAACCUAUACACAGUUAAAAGAAAAUCAAUAUUGAAGGCUAGACAUGAUUCUUUUAAUGAUGUUUAGUCAAAAUAAUGUUUUUAAUAAUGUUGAAAAAAUAUUCGAUGUUUGUGUGAUAUUUGAUAUAAAAAAUCUGCCCCUAUGAAUUUGACAGGAGUUCAUAUUUAUAAUAAAUGGCAAAUGUUAGUUUUUAAAAAAUAAAUGGCAGCUUUAAACGAAUAAAUUUUUUAACGGCAAAUGAUAGUAUUUUAGUUUUUUUUUUCUUUCUUUUUGUCAAGGCUUAAUUUCUGGACCUCCAAUUCGUUAAUCAUUAACCAUUAACUCAAAUCACUUGAGUUAUCUAACCUACCUAAACUAAUCUUUUAUCAAUGAAACUGUUUUAUAUAUAUAUAUAUAUAUAUAUAUAUAUAUAGUUUAUUAUGAUCCAUCUAAAUACGUAUAUCUCAAAGAUAAUUUAAAAGUGGACCUUUACGAUAUUUAAUAAAGAAAUAAAUAUUUUUAUUGAUAAAAAAUGGAUAGUAAUGUAUAUUUAUUUAAAAAUUAUUAUAAAUAUUAAAUUUUACCUUUAAAUCGGGUUCAUACUAUAAGAUAACUAUUAUUAGAAAGUACAUGCUUAAAGAUUGGACUUUUUUUAAGGAAAGAGUGCAACACAAUGACUUUUCAGAAGGUCACCCAUCCUAAUGCUACUCUCGUUCAAGCACGUUUAACUGAGAAGUUCGUGUAUGAUCGCAUCUUGGACUUUUCAACUAUGUCACACUCUCAUGGAGGGUAAUAUGUGUGCUGAUUUUUUAGCCAAGCUUAAAACAAAGACUACAGAUGAUCUAUUGGUUGUGCUUAAUCGUCCAGCUAAGCUUCGCUUAUUGCUUACGGUAGACAAUAUGGAUGUUGUUUAUCAUCGCAGCUAGUAAUCUCUUUGUUAUUUUUAUUUUUACUUUGCCUUUUUCUCAUGUAAAAAAAAAUACUAGACACUCAACUUAUUAAGAAUGAUUAAUUUAAUUUAUAAUCGGUGGUUGCGUUUUCAAACAAAUUUUCUGUAACAUCAUACACAGCUAGUUGGUACUAAAUAAUUAAUUACUUUUGUCAGCUUUCUUUUUUUAAAAUAUUUAGUCGACUUUUGUGGGGAGAAGUAUUAUUGCAAAGGGCUUAUUUAAUUUAAUUUGAUUAUUUGGUCUCUGACUAUAAAACGUUAAAAAUAAUUUAACACCAGCCCCACAUAGCCAGUGAUUCAAAUACAUUAUCACCUAAUCCUUGUUCUUAAGCAAUAAUACUAAGUGGCUUGUACAAGUGAACAACGAAGAAAAUAUGUGUUUAGCUACCUUUGCUGAAGCAAUUGGUCUACUUAUGGAGUAUAUUUUAUUCCUUAAAAAAUGAAGUAUUUUUAUUAUAUUUUAUAAGCUACUUAUGGAGUAUUUGUUUAUUUAAUAUUCCUGCACACAUGGAUUUGGAAGCCGAUUAAGAUACGACAUAGUAUUACCAUUAUCAUUAAUUAUAAAAUAGAAUUUAACAGCCAUGCAUCUACGUAGUACGUACUAUUAUUUAAUUUAAGUUCAUAUAUAAUUGCAUUAUUAUAUUCUAUUGUUUUCAGAACAUUUAUGCCCUAUAUAGUACACAUGGAACAACUAUAUGAUAAAACAAAAUGAUUAAAAAUAAUUUAUACAAGGCACCUGAUGCCAAAUUAAGUACAUCAUCAUCAUAAUCAUGCUAAAAGGUAUAUUUCGAAGAGAUAAGUACAGCGAUUUGUAUAUCUAAACGGCAAGAAAAAUGAAAUCAAUAUGCAUGGUUGAAAAAAAAAUAGUAUAAUGAAAAGAGAAUAUACAACGUUCAACAAAAAAAAACAUAGACAAAUAAUAAUGAAAAAUGAAAUGGGUUUGUAUAUACUUGGAGUCAAGGUCAUUGACCUGUGAAGAAGUAAAUUAUAUAUUAAAAAACUCUGCUGAAAAUGCAUUUAACUCAAAUGAAAACUAUUGAAACUAUUAACAUCAUGAACAAUCGGAGAGAGAAUUCUGAUGAGAAUGGAGCAUUUUCCAAUUCAUUCAACUCAAAUGAAUUAUUACAUUGUGGAAGGUAAUUAUAGUUUAAACAUCUAACUAAUUCAGUUAGAACUAAAUCCGUCUUAAGAUUAUUUUGCACGGGUCUAGUGUGUAAUUUAUACUUAUGUAAGUUAGUGUUUUUAAUAAGUGUUUUUAGAAAAAUUAUAUGCACUCUAUGAAUGGUUGAAAUUAAGAAUUAUCUAAAUAAAAAUUCUUCUAAAGAUAUGAUGUCAACCUCUAAUGUCAUAAAUUUCAAAAAUCUUCUCUAUACACUACAUUUGAAGUUACCUUAAUAUCUUCACAUGAUUAAGCGAAUGUCCCGCUUAUUAAUAGUCAUUGCAAAGAUAGUCUAGAUAUGAAAAUCUUAUCGCCAAUAUUAAUUACUUCCUGACAUAACACUUUGUUUAAGGACACUCUUCACAUUUUUUGCAAUAAUUAGUCGAGUUUCAUUGUACAACAUCAUUGACACUCCAACUUGAGUCUCAAAGCUUUAAGAUCGUCUUGAGAGCUAAAAUUAAAGAACCCACCAAAAUCUAUUUGCAUAAACGAUCUUAAAGCUCUCAAGACGAUCUUAAAGCUGGCAGCAAAGCAAAAUCCAAAAACAAUUGCAUUUGCACUCAAUGAAAUGUAUAUAUUGGAACAUCAGGGGAGUUGGCAACCUUGAGACCCAAAUACAUUUGUUCAAUAUGAUUAAAACUCACAAGCCUGACAUCUUGUUUCUUGAUGAGCCUCUGAUGCAUUUUACAUCUAUUCAUGCUUGGUAUUGGAAGAGGCUUAAUCUUCACCUUAGCAAAAAUUGGACAGGGACUCUCUUGGCAUUCCACUCAAUGGUGGCCAUCUGCACUACUUUCUUCCUUAAUUUUCUCUCUAGAGAUAGAUUAGGGAUGCCAUUUACUAGAUUUCAUAUGUCUUGAUUGUUUCCCUCCCUCCCUCCCGAUUUGGUUUUGGGAGGGUUUGGUUUUGGUUUGUUUUGAUCGGUUUAAUUGUUUUUAGAUGUUAUCUUGUUUGAGGUUCAGGCAUCACCUGACUUUUAUAUUGAAUUUCUAGCUUUAUCAAAAAAAAAAAAAAAACAUCAACAUUGCAAAGAAUACAAAAAACCAUAAAGCCGAGAGUAGGAAAGCACAACAAACCUCUUGAUACGUUUUCGAAUUGGAAUAUCAUAUCAAUGACCAUUAGAAAUUAUCACAAAUAAAUGCAUUGUCAAAACGAGAUGUGGGAUAAGAGUGGGGGCGAAAAAUUGGAAUGAGUUGUCAGGCUGGACGUCAUGAUCAGAUUUCGACCCCCCGGUAUCUACACUUAUGUAUGAGUUUAUAAUGACUUUGACAUUCUGCCUCUCUACCCAAAAAAAAUAAAAUGAAAUGCUAUGAACUUCUACUAUAGCCAUCAUCAACAAUUGUUUUAUUUUUUUUUAUGACAGAAGGAAUGGGUAAAAGUUUAUGAAUAGAUUUUAAUUUUAAUUUUAAUAUAUAGAUAUAAUAAAAUCAAAUAAGCUUAACUAACAAUCAUAAUCCAUAUAUAAGUUGUUAAUUAAGUUUGCUAAUACUAAUUACUAAGCUUGAAUGAGUAUAUAAACUGCACUAUAUACUAGUAAUUUUAACACGUAUUUUAUGAUAGAUAUUAGAUCCGAUAUGUGAAUAUUAGUAGCAUGCUCUACAGUUUGUAGACAAGCAUAAAAUAGUUUACAAGUACAAGUAGAAAUUUAUAAUUAAUUUAGUAUGCCGACCUAAUUGCAUAAUAUAGUACAACUACAGACUACUCUGCAGACUGACUACUACUGUCCAAGAAAAUGAAAAGUCAAGCGAUGUAUGCAUGCGUUCGACAUUUAUUGAAUGUGAUAUAUGUAUGACACUUGGUAUUUUUGUACACUUAAGAGCGUCCAUAAUGGUAGUAUACUAGUAACAGAGACUCAUUAAAUGGAUCAUGUACACAUCAUUUAUUUAUAAUUUUAUUGUGAAAUGCUAACUUGUACCCUUAAGAUACAAGUUAAUAAUUCAAGUAUAAAAAUAAUUUGUUGGAAUGUAUGCAUUGUAUUUAAUAUUUAACUUUUUAAUGAAUUGAAUUUACAAAAUUUUAAAAAAUAUUUCUUCUUUUGGGUUUCUUAACAUGUGCUCUUAAGAUACAAGUUAGCACUACCCUUAAUAAAAAUACCUAUUAAGAACUCAAUGACUCCAAUGACAAUACAUUAAUAAGGAUUCCAAUUAAAAGUAGUUAAAUAUGUCUCAUUAACUUAAAUAGGUCCCACUAACAAGGAUUCCAAUUUAAAGUACUUAAAAUAUUACUUUUUUUUUCCUAAUAGGAUCAACUAGUACAUAUUUUAUUACUUCUUUUAAACAUGGAUACGGUAGUUGCCCAAGAGAGAGUGUGUCAUUAUAUAGUUGUCUGUUACUUAAGGGAUUGAUUUUUACUUCCUCCAAUGAAAUGUCCUUAACGGGGAGUGGACCUUGUUAAGUAAGGACCCUCCAUCGAAGAUGUUGGUAGUUUUUGUAUAAGUUUUUGACAAUUACUCUUCUCAUUUUUAUAUUUGUUCCAAAUCACUUGAAAAAUAUCAAAAUAUCUUUCUAAUAAAGGAAAGAAAGCCUCAACCAGAACCACAUUCCUUUUGCGUGCGGAUUUAGCUAAGUGUCUGACUCUACCUCGCGAUGUACUUUUUGACCGACUCGCCUUGGAGCUGACUAAGUCUUGCCAACUGUCGUUUAAAUUCGUUAUAAAUAACAUUAACGAACCUAUUUAAUUACCGUUGAAAUAAUUUAGUAUUUUGGUGUGUUUUGGAGCAAAAAUAAGAAAAGUAAUAACUUAAGUUUUUGAAGAUUGCUUUUUAGGCCCCUCCAAUAUCUCUUUAGGCCCCCUAAAAAUACAAAAUUAACCUUGGUAUUUAAAAAUUGGUGCCUCCGGAGUGUAUCUACCGGAUGCACAGUUUUCAGAUUUCUGUUUUAAACCUCCAGUAUAUACAUACCGUACUGCAGGUAGCUAUAUAUAAAAGGGUUUGUUUUUUCAAAUUUCUUUUUUGAACCUUUUAUUGUUUGUUUCAACUUUAUGUCUCUGAUUAGUCCUUGUAUUGGAGCUCUAAUAUUAUGUGUUGUGGGAACUUAAUAUUAUAUCAGAAGAGGAAUCAAAUUAAUCAAAAGCAGUAAUAAUUGAUUGAUUAUGUGUAUUUUCUUGCAGAUCGGCCACUUAACAAAGUGAGUUAAUCCACCAUCGGUAAACAUGUUAUACUGUCCUUACUUGGCUCUCACAAUUUUUUUUUUUAGCAUAAAGGAUAAUAAUUUUUGAAAUAUCAAAAUAAAUAUUCAACAAUAAUCUGAUACAUAUUAAGCAUGAAGUUUCAAAGUACUCAUCUAUAUCCAGAACCGUAAACUAAAGAAAACAAGCCAACUUUGUCCCAAUUACAAAAACUAUGAAAAUACAAGGUGAACAAAAGAAAAACGACAGGCAAGUCAGGCAUAACCAGUUAAAAAAGGGACCAAACUUAAGUAUCUGCAAUUGUAAACUAAUUCCCAGUCCCCAAUUUUGAGACCCUAAAUCAAUCAACUGGAGAAGGAAGGAGAUAUUGGAGAAUCGAGUUGGGUUUCUGACAAGCCACUGGGUCGGAUAGAACUUGUGUGACAUAGAGUUUGGUGACAUUGAUGACAUUGACCGAUCACAAUGUCACAAUGCUUGUGAAAGAUAGAGAAACACAAGUAUUAUGACAUUGUGAUUGGCCAAUGUCACCAAUGUCACCUAACUCUAUGUCACCCAAGUGCUACCCCACUGGGUCCGGGUUUCUGACCAUUCUCGUCUGGACAUUAGAGAAUAAGAGAGAAGGGAAGAGAAGAGAGGAUGGUAAAUGGUGUAAUAUAAAAGAAGUCUGUUUGGUAUGUUUUUUCAUGAGCAAAAUGGUCCUCCGGUAGAUACAUACCGGAUUGUUCAGAAUUUAUAUACACAAAGGUUAAUUUGGUCACUUUAGGGGGCCUAAAGAGAUAUAGAGGGGCCUAAAGAGUAACCUUCUAAGUUUUUUUAUGAACUAGUCUAAAAGACCAGUCCCCUUGAUAUUGGGCCCAAACAUAUUGAUUUAGUCACAUUGAAUCUAUGUUUGGUUAGGCGUUUUGAUGCCCCACUUUCCAAACGCGAUUUCCCAAUUUCAUUUCAUGUUUGGACAACAGCAAACGUGAAACUUUAAAGUGUGUUUUUUUUUUCUGCACCGGUUUCCGAUCCACCAAAGUGGGGUGCAUUGGUCAAGCGUUGUUCCCCCUGAGAAUCGAACUCGGUAUUCCCCGAGUGCGUCCUUGGAAUGAGCUCCUUGCCACUAGAGCCCAAACAACUUAGUUACUUUAAAGUGUGUUUUUAUCCCCCAAACUCGCGUUUUCUCAAAGCUAGAAAUAAAAGCUUUUGUGGCAACCUAAAACACUUUGAAAAUUUGAUGUUUAGUAACAAAUGUAUUUUCUUCAAUUACCCAUUAUUUCUUUACCGUUUUCCCUGAUUACCCAUGACUUCUUUCUCAGUUUUUAGUUUCCUCCAUUUCAAUAAAUUGAACAUAGUGACGAUUUUGUCAAUCCUCAUUUUUUUUCUUCUCUACCUUGUUUCAAGCAACCUGCAAACUUACACCACUCUCUUUCUCUAUGUUAGAAAAGAGGAAGUUUUACCAUGUACCCCAACAUUUAUACCUUUACCCCAACAAACCAUAGAAGAUUGCAAUUUUACCCUUUUUAUUAAGGAAAAAGAUAGGUAGACACCCUUUUUCAUACACCACUUAUGUACACUCCAUGUGUUAGGGGUAUUUUUAGUAAUUUAACAUCAUAUCAUCACCCUUUUUAUAUCUUCUUUCAAUGUUUUUGCCACGUGUCACAGAUGUGUGUGGGUGUAAAAGGGUGUAUGCCAUCUAAGGUGGUUCAUAUAUAAGAGCUCUUUUAUUAAUUGACUUCACCCCUACAUAAUAUUUUCGGUUCAUAAAAGUCAUCCAGAAGCUAAACUUUUUUUAUGGAAACACAAAAGAUUUCCGGAAUUUAAAAAUUGCAGAAUGUCAAGGCAAUUUAAACUUAAGCCCUCAAAAUGAAAAGCAAAAUAAUGGACCCAAUAACAUUUUUGUUGUUGUAUUUAUCCAAAAAUCAAUUUGUCGUUGUAAUAACUAAACUAAGAGACAACCAAUCCGUUUUUUUGUUCGUUUCCCAUUGACACCAUAUGUAUUAUUACCUUCAGAAUUUGUUCAAUAGAAGAAAAAAAAUAUUGUUUUUAUGAUUGUUUAGGAGACGUUGUAUAGAAUUUGUUAAGUACUCAAUAUUAAUAUAACAAAGGUUUUUAAUUUUUUAAAUAGAUAUUAAUACUCAUUUUGGUAAUUAUACAUUCAAAAUCAACAUAUGACUUUAUAAGAAUCACUUUAAGUAAGUGCAUACAAUCAAUUCACAUACAACUCACUUUUAACUAAAAUCAAUUCUUGUCGCCGUCAAACCAAACACACAUUAAGAUUUGAUCCAAUAAAUUGUUUUGGAUCCACCUAAUAACUUCAACGACUAGCUCUGGAGCCUAAAAUCCUUCAUUGAUGGAGCGCCGAUCAUGACGGGCUCUCAUUAACUCACGACGACUCAUCAUUGUCCACAUCUAUAAAAGACAUCUUUAACGUACAAUUCAUACAUGAGAUAAUUGUUUAUCACUAAUAAAAUUAAUUAUUAUUUUUUUAAUAUUUUCUGGACAAAAAUAAGAAUAAUUAUAAUAUAUAAUCAUAAUUUACGAUAAAAGCCAUAUAUGGGACAAAUGUUAUGACUAAAUAAUUAGUUGAAAUUAGUAUUUUUUUUUUAAUAUCAACGACAUAAAAAAUGAGAAUAAUAUAAUAUACUAAUUAUAAAUAUAACGAGAAUAAUUAUAAUACUGACUAUAAUUUUCACACUUCAAUUGUUCAUAUUGUUUUCUCUCAAAAAAAAAAAAUUGUUCAUAUUGUUUUUUUUAAAUGAGUCGCUAAAAAAGUUGUUGUUGCGUACAAUUUAUACUUAGCAUAAUGUAAAUUAUUUAUCACUAAUCAAUUAUUUUGGAAGGUUGGAUAGCUCGGCAGAUUUUAGUCAAAGGAUUAAGGAGUUUGAGGUCAUGGGUUCAAACCUAGAGAAAGGAGAAAAAAAUGGAUCUAAUAACUAAUUAUUAAUAACAUCGAAAACUAAUCAAUUAGUUAAAUUUAGUAUAGAUUUGAAUCCAUCUACAAAAAUAAGAAUAAUUAUAAUAUACUAAUUCGAGUUUAUUAUAAAAAUUAGACACAAAACAAAUGUUUAUAAUUAAUCAAUUAGUUUGUUUUUUAAGAAACUAAGCGAAAUAUAUUAAAGAAACAAUCAGUCAAUCAAGCACAAGGCGUGCCGAAGGGAGCUGAAAAAUGUUAAUUACAAUAGAAGAAGGCUAGAAACAGACAUUACAUAGUAGUUUGUAAACAACAUGAGGGGUUUUGUCUUCAAAAGGGUAAUCUAAAUCGAACCUGAUGAAGUUCGAUUUCAACCACCAAUACGUUUGAAGUUUAACCCUUUCAAGAAGAGCUUCAAGAUGAUCAAUGUGAUUUUGGAAAAUUCUCCUCUUGCGAUCUUUUCAUAUAACAAAUAAGACCGAAAUCCAUAUAAUAGUAAAAGUUGUCCUAGAGUUCUUUGAGAAACCUCCAAGAGUACAAAACUGAUUCGCAUGUGUAUGUAAAUCGCCAUGUAAAAUCGUAACAAUACUAAGCCAAUGCGAGAUCAAGAGCCAUAACCGUCCGUAGUGGUCGCAUUUAAAAAUUAAAUUUUUACACUUCCACCUAGAUAACUGCCUCCGUAUCCUCUCAACCAGCGGAUACCAAAAAUGAAGCUUCCGAGGAUCCCCACCCAAGGGCAAUCCUAAAUAGAGAAAUGGGAUCCGACCAUGUUUACAAUGCAUUACUACAGCUGUCUCAUGAAGCCAAGAGUCAUUAACAUUCACGUCAAAUAACAUGCUUUUGUGGAAUUAACUUUCAACCCUGAGACAGCUUCAAAUAACAACAGAACUGCCUUCAUGAUACGAACAUUAGCCCAUGACUUAACACCUAUAAGUAAAGUGUCGUCUGCAAACCGAAGAUGGGACACCAACGGUGGCUCCUGCGCCCCAACACCGUAUGGAGUAAACAACCCACUCGUCACCAUCGCUGACAUCAUCACAUUAAGGCCUUCGGCAGCUAACAAAAACAAAAACGGAGAAAGAGGAUCCCUUGGACGGAGACCUCUCUCAAAGUUAAACUCAUCAAUCGGACAUCCAUUAACUAACACUACCGUCGUUGCCGUUGUAACACACUCCAUAAUCCAAGAGCACUACAAUCGCUUAGUUUAACUAAUUAAUCAAUUAGUUAAAUUUAGUAUUUUUAUAUAUUCAAAAUUAAAUUGAGAACAAAUAUAAUAUAUUAUAAUUAAUAAUAACUAUAAUAUGCUAAUAAGAGUUUAUUAUAAAAACUAUACACAAAACAAAUAUUUGUAAUUAAUCAAUUAGUUAAAUUUAAUAUUUUUGUAUAUUCUAAAUUAAAUUGACAACGCUUAUAAAUUAGGUCUAUACACAGAUACCCUCUUGCAUUAGGUCUUUUGUUGUUCAGAACAAGUUAGGGAUGCCUAACUAUAGAUUUAUAAAUUAUUAGAGAGGUUUUAGUAUAGUCUCCCUCCUUCUCUUUUCUUUUUUCCACUUUUGGUUAAUAUAUGUUGGUAGUCUAGCACUUUGCAAGCUACUUUUUGGUUUUUUUUUUUUUUUUAAAGAUUUCAAAAAAAAAAAUCUUCUUUAUAUUUUCAAAAUAUUUUUUUUUUUUUUUUGGAAAUUUAUUCAAAAAUAGUAGAAACUAUGUCAAACUCAUUUGGUAUAAGUUAAAAAAGAUAUGUUGACAUUCACUGACUUUAAUAUCCAUUGUUUGAGAUUUUACAUAGUAAAAAUCACAUAUUUUUUUUCAAAAUGACAUCUUUCAAAAAUGAUUUUUAUGAAAAGCUAUUUGAAAUAGCAUUUUUUUUUUAGAAUUUUUCAAAAUUUUAGUAUAAAAAAAAUUAUAACAAAAUGAUGAAAUACUUAGAAUGACAUUUUUAAGAUAAGUUAUUCAAACAAAUUUUUCUUUUAAAGAUUUCCUUCAAAAUUUCUUUGUUAAAAAAAUUAUAACAAAAACAUAUUACAUUACAAAAAUCUAUUUUUAAAAAAUCUAUAACAAAUGGGCCCUUAACCUUGCGACCACCACCAUUGGAGAACUUACAAACCCCAAAAAAAAUUCAGUCCAAACAAUCAUUUUUUAUCCACCUUUAUCUUGGUUUAGUUCGGAUGUAGUUGAUCCAUUUUUUGACUCAACCGCACAGUUCGGUCCAGUUUGCAAUUUUUAUUUUAUCAACCAAGUCAAACCGAAGCAAACCACAACAUAACAUAAAAGAAACAGUAAUUAAACUUUUAUCACCCAACCAACUACUCAUAAAAAUUGAAUAGAAAAUUUCAUAAAAUGACAUGUUUUUCCUCUCCUUUUGUUUUUGACUAAGAAAUGUUUUUUCUCUUGUUUAAUUUCUUCUAUGCUUUUGAUUUCAAAAAUGUAUUUAUGUUUUUUAAUUUCAUUCUACUUGCAUUUUUGCAUAUAUGUUUAUGUUAGAUAUAUCUUUUGUUAAUAUUUUGCAUUUUUCACUUAAGAGGGUUUCUUUUAAGUCCAUGUUUUUAAUUUGAUCGAUGUUGAUGGAAACAUUGUUCGAUGAAAAUUAUUUGGUCUAUGUUGAUGGAAACAUUGUUGGAUGAAAAUGAAAUUGUAAUGUCAGAUCAAAUUUCAAACAUUGUUGUUGGAAAAAAGUUGUUUUUAACUUGAUUUUAAUGUUGGAAAUAAAAAAUUGCAUCGUCUCCCAAAAAACUGAAUCAACCCAAACUGCAUUGGUUUGGUUUUUAUUUUCAAAGACAACCAAAUUAAAUUGCAUAUUUUUUUAUCUUACGUUUCGGAUAACUUUUAACAUCAAAAUUGAACUAAGAUGCACUCUGAACACUCUUAAUAUUAUUGGUUAUAGUGGUUGUAACACACUUUGAUGAAGAUUUUCUAACAAUAUUUUGGUUACAGUGGUUGUGACACACUUUAAUUAAUUAAAUAUACUAUUCAUUCCAAGUUUAAGGAAGUUCAUGAAGGGAUGUUAUUUACACCAAAGUAGUUGUCUUGUUCUUUAUUUGGAACAACGACCAAUUUAGGGGAAUUAGAUGUGUGUAUGAGGGGUCACAACCUAUGUAAAUCAAGAAGUUAUUUAAAAUAUGCGCAGGUGAAAUCUCAGAUUCAGUUACUUCAGAACUUGGGGCUGAUAAAUUACCAAUAAAAAAUAUCCUUUCAGCUACUUUAGGCGAAGUACCAGAUCCAAGAAUGUUGAUCCUCCUCCUAUUAGGGUACAAUGAAGCCUUCUUUUUUUGAGAGAAAACGAGACAUGAGAAGACAAGAGUUUAAAGAAACUAGGCAAUUAAUUAAGGGAAUGUCACAAAUACCUUAUGGUCCAAUUCUGACCCACCGAAGAAGCUGGUGCAGCUGACCUCUUCUUUAAGGAUGCAAGGGUGGUAGGGUCUACGAUGUAAGCAAUUUGAACACCACUAGAUAUAAUAUAUCUCCUAUGAAGAAGAGGAAUUUCAUCUUUUUUCAUCUUCAUCCAUCACGUUGGACACUUGCACUUUGCCCUAAUCGACACAACCUCGACUAGCAUCAGCAGCUGCUUGGGUUUGGAAAUAACGGGAAGACUACAUUGGAUUGGAAAGUCUAACUUGUUAGUAGGCUUUCUUACCAGUGGUCGCUCUCUGAGAGUAGAGCUUCUCAAACUAAGAAAAUAGCUGAUCGCGAACUAAAUUUCACCUAUUGACGAAGGUGUUGGAUUCCCUAGGGCAACUGUCAAAGGCUCUAACCAAAAUGCCUGAAUUUUGUUCCAACCAAAACGAGAAAGAUGAUCUAUGGAAUCAUGGUCCAAGAGAGUCUCUGAGAUAACUAGGACCAGUGAAUCAUACCCAAGUAGGGCUGGAAAUGAGUCGAGUCGAACCGAACUUGUCUGAGCUUUACUUGACUCGAUAAGAAAUGGUUUGGCUCGAAACUCGACUCGAGUUCGACACGAACCUUUUUUUUAGCUCGAGUUCGGCUCGUUUAAAGUUCACGAGAUUCGACUUGAUAGGUUCAUUAGCUCAAUUCAAAUAACCAUGACCAGGGUUCGAACCCCGGUACCUCCACGUAUGUGUGUGAGUUUAUAAUGGCUUUGCAAUUUCGUCUAUCUAGUAUAAAAAAAAAAAGAGAAUAAUUAGAUCCACAAUUUUUUUUAAAGACAAGUCCAUUAAAAUCGAUUAAAUUCAAACAAUUUCAUAGAUAAAAUCACAAAAAAUAUAACUGUAUACAAAGGCUCUGUUUGGUAAAAAUAAGCUAUAAGCUAGCUGAUAGCUGAUGACUGAUAGUUUAUAGCUGAAAAGCUUGCUUAUUAAAAAUAAUGUGUUUGGUAAAAUUAGCUGUUGAAGUGACUGAUAAGUAUAAAAGGACAUAAAAGGACAUGUUUUUUUUUUAAUAUACAUAUAGACACACACAUUUUUUUUGUAAUGUAUUUAUUUUUUAAUAUUUUUAAUUAUAGUUAAAUAUGUUUUUGGUCCCUAUAAAUAUUCAAUCUUUUGUUCUUAUUCUCCAUAAAAAAAUUCUUCGACCUUUAAUACUAAAAAAGAAAUUCACCGACAAUUUUGAUCUCUGCUUUAUGAAUCCCAAAAAUCCCAAAAAUAAGAGAGAGGUGGAAACAAAAUGUGAGCUAUAAUAUAUAAAAUUUUACAACGUACAAUAGACUGGUUAUUUUUUCCUUUAAAAAAAAAAUAGGCUAGUUAUUUUUUGUGUGGUGUACGGCAGGUGAUCGUUGUCGUGGACGAUCAAAUUUAAGUAUUUUAAAACAAGUAGUACAAGGUAGUUAACCUUGGUUGUCUCUCGAGGAUUUCUGAUUUAGCAAUUACCAAUAACAAGAACAACAACUAUGAAUUCAAAAAUAUAAAUCGGGGGUUUUUGUUUGGUUGUAAAGAAAAGUAAAUAGGAUGAUGAAUUCAAUUAAUAGAAAAACAAUCUACUGAUUUUAAGAAACUUUGUUUAUCAUCUAUCACAGGUUCUCAGAGAGUAUUUGUUAAGAGUUUAUGCUUUGGUUGAUUAUAAAACUCAUUUAACAAGCGAAAAUCGGUUUUAUAUAGAAUUCGUUUGAUUAAGCAUCAUACGUGUUCAACUAACUAUGGUGAUGAUCAAGCUUCACCAAGAACAAAGUUAAUAUCAUAACAAGAUUCGAUCAACCCUUUUUGCAAGCGAAAAGAAAGCAUGUAUAUUUUUCUGUUCAAAUUAAUUUACACAAGUGAUGGAUUAAUUCGAACAAUCUCAACGGUAUGAAUAUGAAACAGAAUAAUUAAGCAUCAAUUGUACCAAAUUCAUACACAUAAGAGAGACAAGAAAAUUGAUAUAUGAUCAGCAUAAACAUAACAAAUUGCUAUUAAAACCGAACCUCAAGAGUCACAACAAAGUUCCUUUGCCAAUGGAUCGAAAGAGAGAUUAGUUCUCCAUAGCAAGCGGCUGCCUUAGGGUUUCUAUUUUCUGAAACGUGAAUGCAGAAUGAGCAGCCCUAGCUGUGUUUUUUAGUUUUUAUCUU